RNAcentral lists this long non-coding RNA (105038 nucleotides) under Zea mays. Its description in RNAcentral is "long non-coding RNA (ZMAY_LNC000441)". Lineage: Eukaryota; Viridiplantae; Streptophyta; Magnoliopsida; Poales; Poaceae. The record is from RNAcentral.
CUGCCAUGCCUUCUCGACUGCGGCGUUGAAGUGGACCAUUCCGGCCGUCCAUGGGUUGUCGAGCAGUGUGUUGUCGGAGAUGAACAGGACUUUGUGCGCCAGCACGUUCUUGUAGUACUGGUUGUCGAAGGUCGCCGGCGUGACUGGGUCAAGCGGCACCACCGUGGGGUCCAUCUGGUCGUCGCUGGACGGCCAAGGGCACCGUGCCUUUAGGUGCCCGGCGUAGGCGGGGUCGAGGGACGGGUCUGUCUGCCCCAGCUGCCCGCUGAAGUUGUAGAGGCGCUGCGUGAAGGAGGAGCAGUGGGAGCGGCCGAUGGUGUGCGCGCCAGAGAGCGUGACCAUGUCGUCGGCGUUGAGCCCCUUGCGCUUGAAGCUCUCGAUGAGCUCGUCGACCUCGUCAGUCGGAGCUGGGACAUUGUUGUCGAGCACCUCCUCCUCUUUGGACACGCGGCCAUCACGGCGGCCAGACGGGACCUUGUAGUCCAGGCCGCCGGCGAGGUAGGUGCUGUCACGGGCCGCGAACGCGACGAUGUCGGCGCAGGAGACGGUGCGCGGGCAGUGCGCCUCGAGGACGGCCUUGGCGUCGUCGAUGACGUCGAAGCCGCGCAUGGAUGCUGGGGUUGUUGGCCACUGAGUCCUUCUCGGCCUUGUUGCCCGGCGUGGAGUUGAUGAGGAUGGAGCCGUCGCAGCCCCGCGCCUACGCCGGGCUCACGGGCGAUGCCGCGGCGGACGGCGUUGCGCACGAUAUCCUCGGCCUGUGGGCACGAGUGCUCGUAGAAACCGACCUCAAGUUUCCCAGGCGGCGAGGCGAGUGCCACCGAUGAGGAGGCGGCGGCGAUGAGUGCCACCAGCAAGGCAGCAGGCAUCAGCCAGCAUGUCGACCGCCCCAUAUAUGAUCAACUGCAGUCGUAUAUACCCAAACUCUCAGCAAGUUUGCUAUAGUCGCUUGAGUUGAUCGAGGUCGAUGGUGAUGUUGAGAAGUGAAGCUGAUGAGGAGAUUUGAAGAACGGUGCCGCCGCUGGGUCUCUAUUUAUACAUUGGAAGCUUGCAUGGCGACAUGUCGCAGUUGGAGGAUGGCGUGUGUAUGUCAUGUGCACCCGGUCAAGAAAUAAGACCCAAUCUUCGCGUUCCCUAGCUAAUGUCUGCUAGACCCUCUUAAUUUCCAUGCACCAUCAUUAAAAAUAAAAAAAACUCCUUCGUCCUUCCUAUAACAAAACAGCUGCAAAACACGCAUCUUGUCUUUGUUUUGAAUUGCCACACGCGUCACUUUCGAUUGUAAAUUAUGUAGCUAUCACGAGGGGGUAUUUUUGAUCAAUCAACGUAAUGAUAAGCAGAGCAGACAACUGUUUAGAGAUGGACAAUGAUAUUACUUGCUUGAUCAUAUAUAUAUAUAUAUAUAUAUAUAUAUAUAUAUAUAUAUAUAUAUAUAUAUAUAUAUAUAUAUCAAGUUUCAUUGACAUGGUCGAUACCGCUGCCGCAUGACCAAGACAAAUCGAAGCCGUGUCAAAAUGAAUUAUGUUAUCACUAAGGCUAGGUGUCAGCUUCACUAAUCACUAGCUAACAAUAUAUUGUAUAUGAUUUGCCAAAUCUUAUAGGGUCAAAUGACCCGAUAAGCCCACAUAGCUCUCUGCCUUUAGUUCAACCGAAGCCCCUACCACCCGAGCAUGUGGCCUUUGCAUGCUGUCAGUACUGACUGGCCCUGCCAAUCAGUUGGCGUGGUCAAUACAGGAUUGUUUUAGAGGUGGGGUGGGUGAGGCUCAAGCCCCGUACCGCUCUAGAGCUUAUAUAGUCCCACUAAAGACUCUCCUAAAAUUUAAAAUAUACAUAGUAUAAUUUAUUAUGUAUUUUAUGGUUUUUAUCUUCAUCGAUUUUUAAUAAUACUACUCUAAACUAUUAUAUAUAUUUAUUGUGAGUGAUUUAGUGAGAUUAUAUCGAUGUAGUGGUUUAGUUAAAUAUGUCUUAAAAUAAGGUCAGUAUUGUUCAUGUUGAGACCUUGCCGGUCGUAUUAUCCGUGGCUUUAAAGUACGGGUCAAUAUCGAUCGUCUCGUGCUGAAGUAGCAGCUUCUGAUUGGCUAGCUCCAUUUUAACCAUUUGGAUUUCCAUAUCUAUAUCCUUCUCAUUAUCCAUACCGACCAUCCGUGGAUGCUCCUCCUCCUACGACCGACGCUCCUUCUCCUACCUGUGAAGUUCCAUCCACUAAAGCUCCUUGUCGAGGAAUUUCUCGAUAGUGAAUUUAUGUGGGCGGAUUGCGCGUGAUCUAGAGAAGAAAGUAAGAACACAUGGACACAAAUAAUUAUACUAGUUUGGGCUCUCCUAGGAGAUAAUAUCCUACCUCUAGUGGCUGUCGGUGAUCUCCUUUCCAUGAAAUGUCUGAUACCGCCUUUUAUAGUCUAAGGAAGCAAUCAGUUAUAGGAAGAUCAGAUAAAGAUUCUUAUGUAAACCUAUCCUUAUCUACCAAUCCCUCGUAUCUCGGGUUCUAUUGUUACAACAAAAACAUGUAGAUGAGUUAAUCGUCCUGCCCCCAGAUCCAUUCUUGACGUGAGAUCUUGAGAGUUCCGUCCGAGUCCGAGUUGGGAGCGGGGACUAUGUUAUGCCACAAGUUAGUUUCGUGAAUAUUGACGUGUUCAGGAUAGCCAUGAUGUCUAUCUUUUACAAUAGCCUAUGAGUUUUAUCAGAGUGUUUCGGGCAGAUGAAACUCUUCUAUUGAAUCUUGUGAAUGUUUUUGAACUAUUUGUGUCUGACUUGUUUUUAUCUCCUGAUCGAGUUCCAUGCCGGUUGUCAAGUGCUAAGUAUCAAAGGUGCCAACUCAUAUGGGUUUGAAUCUUGAAAAACGUAAAUAUGCACCUCUGGUGCAUCCUAUGGAUGUAGCCCCCGAGGCCGACUUAUAGAGUUACCAGCUUGGGUAAGUUAGCCUCUGUCUCUUGAGGAAUAUCUACCAAUUCUUCGGCUAUUAAUAGGAGCAUUAUGUGGGCAAGAGUCCAGCCUCUGAGACUUGCGAUUCAGCCUUUUACUAUCCAAAUCUCAAUUUGAGAAUCUUUGAGCUAAUACUUGAAAACUGCUCUUCCCAACGAGUUGUAUGAGGUGGCAAUUAGCCCUCCGAGCCGAAGGCAUUUGAUGUUCGUUCACCUGUCGUAUGGUGAUGUUUCUAAAUAGAAUCAUAUUUAAAGAGUCUGGAUUAAAUCAAGAUAUUCUUCAGUGUGUUACUUCAAAUGAGAUCUUAAAGCACCAAGUCGGGUACUAGGACUCAUCAGUUUUAUCAUGUUGAAGGAAAAGGAAGCGGGUCUUCAGAAAGGCCCCCCUCAGUAGGCUAAAUCUUGGGAUUUAGCAAUUGACAUACCAUCGGGGAAGUAUGCAUCUAAGAAUUCGAGCCAAAAUACUCUACAAUUUCACACAUCAUCGAAAGAAACUAUCGCUGCUUGGAUUCCCUCUUUGUUGCCCUCAAAAGGGUCUUUAUGUUGCCCUAUCGGUGAACCAAACUGAAAGGGGCUUUUGCUAUCCCACGAAUGGGUCACAAGCGACAAGCAGGGCCAUGUAGGUGAUACUUGCCAUUUCCCUAGAGUGAUCCCUACUCCAUCCAAAUUGACGUAUAGGCGUUUUAGCGGUGGUAAUCGAAUCCCCUUAAUACCCUUAAAAUUACUAUCAAGAUGUGAUGUGGUAGGGGGAGGUUCCAUCGAAGCUUUGCACCAGGUGGUAGCUAAGGCAUGUAGGUGGCAUAGAUAGAGGGUGAGGCUCAAUCUUCCUUGAGGUAGGAUAACUUGAUUUGGUAGAGAUCUUGACAUUGAUGAUCCGAUCCUCGCAAUCACUACACCACUGCUCAGUUGGUUAUUACCCAUGACACACGAGUGACCUCGCCAUGAAGUCUUAUCCCUGCAAGUGCAAUCAAGAACACAAGUAAGAACAUGAAAAACACAAUCAACUGUAUUGAUCAUGAGGUGGGGUCUCACAAACCAAUGAACAACGACAAUGUUCGAUGACAGAAUGAAUCUAAGAAAAACCCAAACCCUAAUGUGGUGGAGGCUGCUGAAACAAUAGAAGUUAGGGGCGUGCAAAACCUCUGGAGGUACCCCUAAUGGGCUCCAACACGAUACACGGGCCAACAGCCCUACAGACGAUGUCACAACAUCGAAACAGAAUCUGAACGCUGACUUGUUUCGACGAUUCUUGUUGACUCCAGAUAAAUUUUAAGAUGGUUCUAGUUGUGUUGGAAAGUGUGUCACCUUAGAUUUCCAUCCAUAUAAAGUCCUACCUAAUCGGAGAUGGAUGCAUCAUGGGCAUCCAUUUUAGUACAGACUGGUCCUGGACUUCGAGGUGGAGACGAAGUUGACUCAGACUUGGCUCCCUCUUGUCGCGAACGUCCUAACAUCUCAUCCUUGACAUCUUGGCCUUUACCAAGUCCUUGCUACUCCUUUCCAAGGUUCCUAAUCAUCAAAACAUUCAUAGCAACAAGCGUAAUCUCUAAAACACAAUUGACUAGGUUACAACGAAUCUGGAGAUUCAGUCGUCGUGCACGUGCUCAUGUUAUCGGUCCAUGCAUUGUCUGUAUGGGAGUGAUGUCCUCAUCAUCCUUCCCCUAUUGAAUUGGGGUCAUAAUUGACUUAGGCGGUGGCCAAGGGGGUGGUCGAGCAACCCUAGGGUGUACAAGACCUUUAGGCUCAAAAAUAGGCAUCACUGAUUUCUAGAAGAUUCUGGACGUCAUUUUGUUAUGAUGAUUCCUAUUAGCUCCAAGUGUAUUUUGAUAUGGGACAAGUUGGGCUGGAAAUCUUAUCUAUUUAGCUUUUCAUUGCUAUCUAGAACGUCAAAACGGAGUCCGUAUGUGGCCUGAGCGUCCUUUAUCAUGAGACCACUCUUGUAGUCCGAACUGGAGUCGCGAAUAAACUGAACUUCAACUCUCUUGAGCUUGGGAAUCUAUGAUUGAUUUGGCCUAGACCAUAUAAUUGACGUCCAUGUACUCAUCAAUCUCUCCUUCUUGGUUUUGAGUCAUCCUCGACUCAAAGUUGUUGGUGCCUGCAUAAGGUAUUGUUGUAGGUCUUGACAUCGUCCAACCUUGCUCCCCUUCUUGAAGUUGAUACUGUUGUUGCAAAACAUACAAAGAAGGACAAGUGGAACUGGACAUGAUAUGGUUAGCUUUAACACAUCACUCUAGUUGAUCAUAUGUUUCAUGACAAAAGGAGAAUUCAUAUUUGAACAAAUAUAUACUCGAUGUACACUAUAUGCUCAUUUCUAAUUAUAUCUUCCAAUAAAAUAAUAUGUAUGUUUAGAUAUCCAUGGCAAAUCAGUACUAGAAGAAAGUUUCCCUUCUAAAUUAUUCAGAUUACAUAGACCCCCAAAUUCAAUACAACCCAAAGUAUUUGAAGAAGACGACAAUUUUAGGUCAUCAUGCACACUAGUUAUGGGAUUGAAAAUUCUAAUUUCAUCACAACUAGUAGGAUUGGAAGCAACAUUAUCAAGUUUGUUCUCAAGUUGUGGCAUAUAGGUAAUAGAAGAAUCAUCACUCAAUUCUUUGUUAUCACAAGAAUCAGUAGUACAAUCAUCACGUGACAAAGGUAACUCAGAUAUAUUUGAAGGCAUGGCAUCAUUGGAAGAAACAAAUCGUUCUCUCAUAAGCGCUUUGAUAUUAGCCCACGAUUUUGGUUUGUCAUAGUCAUGAAAAUUGUUCCACCAAACUAAUGCAUGAUUCAUUAAAGUACUAGCCACAAUCUUAAUUUUUCUCCAAUCACAAAUACGCCAUCGUGCAAAAAUCUUAUCCGUUAAUUGAUACUUCCCAUUCAGUAUACUCACUUGCAAUAUUUUAAUCAAAAGAAGAGAAAUAUGGAUAUAUAGAACCUGAGGGAGAUGAAUCAGCAUCAAUGGCGUGGCUCUCAAAAGCUUUAGUCAAUGUGGGCAUCAUUUCCUUUAAUUCCAGAUGGGAGACACUCACCAUCAGUAGGCUUAGUGCCCUUAACCUUGUCUCUUUGGUCCUGUCAUUGUUAGUACAAAACAAAAACAAAGGCAACAAAUAAACAAUAUAAACCCUAUAGCUACUCUAAGGGGUGGUGCUGGAACACAAGUUAUGAAGCGUCUUACCCCGCUCUUAUAAGGUUCUUACUAGCACUGCAGGUGGCAAACGGUGGCCGGUGUGACAACAAUUAGAGUGUGGGUGUGACUACAAAUAAGUAUCUAUUCUGCUCAAGAUAAAGGUGAAGCUUUGGGAAGAUUCACUAAAUAUAUAUCUAUGGAACACAAGUCAGUAACAUAUAGCAAUGUUGAAUAAGUGUCCAAAGUACUUGUCCUAGCUACUGGCCCAAAGGAUUUAUUAGAAUAGUUGGGGAAAGACACAAAGGAGGUAACAAGAAUUGAUGUAUAGCAAGGGAACAAGUUGGAAGGAAAUACAAUUAUAAAGGUGCAUAGGUCAAUGGUGUCCCUGCUUAUGUGCACUCUAUUAUCUCUUUUUCUCUUUUUUAUUUUUUAUCUUUGUUUUAUGUGGCUUUUUUGCACUUGCCUUUUAUAUUAUUAAUUUUUGGAUAAAAGUGCCGCAAAACAAGAUAUAACAUAAGAGUAUCAAAAAAAAUCUUGUAUGCCUGUCAUAUAUUUUCUGCUCUAACUUCAACAGACUGUUUGACAAAUUAAGCUACCUUAAACGCAAAAACUCACAACACAAAAAUUGUCUGUCUCCUUUUUAUCGUUAUUUUAGAUAUAUGGAACGCCUAUUUUGGAUAAAUUAAGUGGGAGAUAUUGACCCAGAAAUACAGACUAAUCCUAAAUUUCAGGAUCACAAACAUAUUUACUUCCAAUACAGAUAACUCCUUAGUUCUGUAGUUUUCUAGAAAUCUUGUACAUAAUAAAGUUUAACGUAGAUAAUUUUAUAAGCUUUCUAGAAAGUACAAGAACACUUAAUUCCAAGUUCGUAUGCGAGAUUUAUGCUCAAAAUACCGAACUGGAUAAAAACUUAUCUAAUAAAGAUGAGAUGAUGUGAUUAAAAAUGAUGGGAUCUGUUUUGGAGAUUAAAUUUGUGGGAUGGAAGCGGAUGAAAAGUAUUAAACUGAACCAAAACAAAUCUAAACUAACAACCAAACACAAUCUAGGACACAAACUCAUAACUCAGGACUCCGAAACUGAAUUAUGCCAAGGCUAAGGCGGUGAUUGUAGGUCAGGGAACAAUCGAUCUAUAUACUUGUUGGCUUUUGUGGACUAUGGGACGAAACAAAAUGAAUCUAAAAGUUAGAUUAUACCUCAUGGGCAACCUGAAUCUUUAUACCACUUGAUAGAGGGGGAGGCCAGAUCUUCCAUGAGGUAGGAUGACUUGAUUGGGCAGAGAUCUCGACGUUGAUGAUCCAAGGCUCAUAGCGAACGGACCUCGCAAUCACUACACCACUACUCCAUUAGUUAUCACCCGUGACACAAUCAAGAACAUAAGUAAGAACAAUAAGAACGCAAUCUCGACAUUGAUGAUCCAAGGCUCCUAGUGAAUGGAUCCUCGCAAUCACCUCACCACAAAGGCUUAUCUAUACAAGCGCAAUCAAGAACAUAAGUAAGAACAAUAAGAACACAAUCAAACUAUAUUGAUCACGAGGUGGGAUCUCACUAACUGAUGAACGACAAAACUGUUCGAUUACAUAAUGAAUCUAAGCAAAACAAUGUAGUGGAAGAAGCUGAUAAAAUAGAGGUUAGGGGAAUGUAAAAGACAUGAAGGUACCUCUAAUGGGCUCCAACACGAUGCACGACUAACGACCCAACACAUGGUGUUGUAGCACCGAAACAUAAUCUGAACACCGACUUGUUUUGACGAUUCUCGUUGACUCUAGAAGAAUUUUAAGUUGGUUCUAGUUGGGUUGGAAAGCUUAUCUCCUUAUUUUUCCAUCCAUAUAAAUUCCAACCUAAUCGGAGUUCGUAUGCAACCUAGGAGUCCAUUUUAAUGCAGACUAGUCCUAGACUCUAAGGUGGAGACGAAGUUCAGUCGGACUUGGAUCCCUCUUGUCACAAAUGUCCUAGCUUCUCCUCCUUGACAUCUUGGCCUUUCCCAAGUCCUUGUUGGUCCUCUCUAAGAUUCCUAAUCAUCAAAACAUCCAUGGCACCAAGUGUAUGCUCUAAAACAUAAUUGACUAGGUUAGAACGAAUCUGGAGAUUCAGCUGUCGUGCACAAGCUCGUGUUAUCGGACCAUGCGUUGUAUGUAUGGGAGUGAUGUCCUCAUUAGGUAUUGUCGCCCUUCCCUCAUGGGAACCCAACUCUGCCCAAGCCGAAUCAUCUAGGCACUUCUAACAGCAGCGUCAACGCCUAAUAUCCUUAGAGUGUUGACCAGAUUUGUUGGAGUUUGGAGGGCUGAGCCAUAUUUUGUCCUUCAAGAAAGAUGUUCAAGAAGCAAUUAGUAACCAACAUAAAUGAAAAAGUUUGUAGGAAUAUAUAAUGGUAUGAAAUAGUUAAGAGAAAAAUCUUUGGUCGUGAUACAAACACUGAAAUUGUCCAAUAAUACUUGCUCGAAAGUGGGGAAUAUGCAAAAAUAGCGCAGUAGCUCGACAUUUUAGAGAUUAGUAACGAGGGUACCAUCUUCUUGCUGGAGUUGACAAGCACAUGAUCGAAGCACUUCCAAGAUGAUGUAAGGGCCUUUCCAUAUGGGUGAUAACUUAUGUUUGUCAUUCAUGCUUUGGAUCUUUCACAACACCAGCCCCCCUACAGUAAAGCUUCGAUCUCGAACAUUUUUGGAGUGAUAUCUCUUCUUGGAUUGUCGAUAUAGUGCUAACUACACUAUCAUUAAGUCCCUUGCGUCCUCAAGUUUAUCAAGGUCGGCAACUCGACCCUCUCGAGACCAGUCUUCUGUGAAAUUUAGAACUCAGAAGGAUUGGUGCUUCAUUUUAGAUGGGAGCAUGGCCUUAUAUCCAUAUACUAAAAAGAAUGAGGCCUGACAUGUUGUGGAACUUGGUGGAGUACUGUUGGUAACUCUUCGACCCACAUCCCUACAUAAGCGACCUAAAAUCAUGGGCUUCAAACCCUUAAGAAUAAGGCCAUUGGCUCUUUCCACGUGGCCAUUGCUUUGGGGAUGAGUGACAGAAGCGAAGUUCACUAUGAUCCCGCUUUCAGAAGAAAAUUCCAUAAAUGCUUGAGAAGUAAACUGGCUUCCAUUAUCUGUUAUGAUGGAUCUCGAGACGAUGAAUUGGUUAAAGAUUUCCUAUGUGAACUCCCCAGCUCUAGUGGCCAUGAUCUUUGCCAUAGGUUUUGCUUCAAUUCACUUGGUGAAUUUGUCAAUGGCAACAAGAGGAAAACCACACCAUCUUUGGCCAGUUUGAAAAGUCCCACAAUGUCUAAAGACCAAGUGAUUGGGAUGGUUUGGAACGGUGCAGCUAUAAUGUGGGCGGUGGGCCUGGUGCACAAAAAUUUGACAUCCUUCUCAUGUUCGCGUAAGUUGUUGGGCAUCAGUUACCGCAGUUAGCGAGAAAAAAACUUGCCGAUAGAUUUUCCAACCAAUGUUUUAGCUUCUACAUGAUUUCCACAUAAGCACGAGUGGAUUUCACUGUGUUGUGCUCUUCCUUCUUUGGUGGGGACACAUAUCAUCAAGACUUAUGAAGCACUUUUUUGAUAUAGCUCAUCGUUUGUAAAUACGUAUGUGUUAGAUUUCCGGUACCCUUGAAGGCUAGCUAAUUUGAUUCAAUGAUCAUUACACUGGGCUCUCCCCCAUCAAGCAUCUCUAAUCCUGGUUGUUUAGCUAACUCAGCCGAAGGGGAUUUAGCCAUCUUACUGAUGGUUGGGGAAGUUAAUUUUCCAAGAUGGCUCCUGGUGGCAUAGGGGAUCUUGACGAUCAUAUUCUUGCCAAUAUAUUUGUUUCUUCAUUCUUAGCCUGUAGGAUAUGCGUAAAUUGGAUCCCAUCAAACUUUUCUUUGAGCUUCCGAGUUUCCUGGUAGUAACUCAGCAUUUUGUCAUCGUUGUAGGUCCACUCUUUAUUUAUUUGAUUGAUUAGUAAUGAGUCACCUAAAACUCUGAUCUGGUGAAUGUCGAGAGCGAUGGCAAUUUGCACAUUGAGUAAGCCUUAUAUUUGGCAACAUUGUUUGAUGUCGGGAAGUGUGUUUUAAGAACGAACUUAAACUUCUCACCUUUUGGAGAAGUAACCACUACUCUCGCUCCUACUCCAGUGGGUUACAAGGUUCCGUCGAAGUUUACGAUCCAAUAGUCUAAAUGUUGUGACUUGGAUGGUAUCUGUAUCUCCGUCCACUAGGCGACAAAGUCACCGAGGACUUGAGCUUUGAUAGUCAUUCUUGGCUUGAAGACAAUGUUAUAUAGUCCAAGUUGGAUGGCCCACUUAGCAAUUUUGUCAGUGGCAUCUUUAUUGUGUAGUAUGUCCCUUGGUGUUGAAACUGUGUGUACUUUGAUUCAUUGUGCAUGAAAGUAAUGCACUGACUUGUGAGAAGUAAUGAGCAAAGCAAAGACCAUCUUUAUUAUAUGAAAGUAUCUUAAUAUGGACAUGUUGAGUACCUUUGAGAUGAAGUAGACCAGGAACUAUGCCUUCUGGGUACUGUUAGGACUCUGCUGCUCCACUACAAGGGUUGUGCUAACCACGUGAGUGGUGGUCAAGAAGUAUAGUUAGAGUGUCUCCCCUAAUUCAGGGGCAACCAGCACAGGGGGAUUCGUCAAACACUUCUUUGGGUGCUUCCUGAGCUUCCUGGGCCUCGCUAGUCCAUAUGAAAUGCUCUUGCUUUUUAACAGCUUGAAGAAAGACAAACCUCCAAUGCUAAGUCAAGAUCUGAAUCUUCUUAAUGAAGCCAUACAUCUAGUCAGUCUCUAGAUAUCCCGAAGACAACUCAGAGGUUCCAUCUUCAGUAUCGCAACCACUUUUUCUAGGUUCGCCUCAAUUCCUCUAUGUGAAAUUCAGUACCCAAGGAGUUUUCUCGAAUGGCACUGCAAAAGUGCACUUGUCGGGAUUUAACUUGAUACUAAAGUUUCUCAGAUUUUUGAAGGUUUUUUCUAAGUUAGAUAUCGAGUCCUUCUUGACCCUAGUCUUUAUUGCCACAUUAUUGACAUAUGCUUCCACAUUUCUAUGUAGUUGAGGUGCUAGGAACUUCUAGAUUCCCCUUUGGUAUGUAGCCCUUGCGGUCUUCAACCUAAACAACAUAGUGGUGUAACAGUACACAUCGAAUGGGGUGAUGAACGAAGUUUUGAUUUGGUUCACUUUUUAGUGGGAUUUGGUGAUACCUGGAGUAGCAGUUCAAGAAAGAGAGUAAGUCAUAGCCAGAUGUGGAAUCUACAAUUUUAUCGAUCCAUGUAAAUAGAACAGAUCUUUCGGGCAAGCCUUAUUUGGAUCGACAUAAUCAACAUACAUGCGCCAUUAUUUAUUUUUCUUUGGUACAAGUACAGGGUUUACUACCCACUCAAUAUUUCUCUAAUAAAACUAGCUUCUAGGAGUUGAGUUAUCUCCCUUUUAUUAUUUGACUAGAUUUGAGGUAGGGCUUACAGUAUGAAAGGGAAACAUGCCAUAAAAUUGUUUCUAUAUUUAUUUUGGUGUCCGAUGACCAUCAUAACCAUGUGAACUAACUAGUUUGUUAAGUAUAUGAUCAUAGGUCCAUAAGAAAAUACAUCAAAAGAUCAAACUCAAAAUUUAGAAGGCACGGACGGCCCAUGCCCCCAAUCCGGACCAUCUAAGACACAAACUCAGAGUUGGACAGAAACUAUGUCGAAUGGAAGAAGAGAACUACGGACCGUACGGAGCUAAACUCAUUUUAAAUCCAAAAUAAGUUUUUAUAUUUCAUUUCAAAAUCUUAGUUUGCAAGUGGAUCUCAACAAAAAAAAUAUAGUGGUCUAUUUUCCCUCCAAAAUUCUCCUCAAGAUAUCAUACAAAUAUUUCCCAAGUGAUCUCUUCAAAUUCUUUCUAGAAAUAUUGACUAAAUAUUUCACCAAUAUUUUCCCAAAUAUUUUUCUCACGAGAAAUACCCUCGGAAUCAUUUUUAAAAUUCCUACAAAUAUUUUGUUAAUAUUUUUUAUGCUCAUACGCAUAUAUACGCCACUGGUGUCAUACUGUAAGGCCCAAAAUUUGUAUAAAAAAUAAUAAUAAUAAUAAAAUAAAUAUAUGAAGAAAUAAAAUAGAAAAUUCAGAUAUAUCAAAUUAUACUUGAGUAUUGAGAAUUGAGGAUAGAAUCUUGAAAACCAAGAACUAUUUUAGAAGAGGAGUAAUAGAGAAUUUUUCUAUUCAACUGAAUGAUUAUGCAUUUCAUGAAAUGAUGCACCAUAAGCAAUCAUUUACAUGAAUAUUUAAUUUUAAAGUAACUUUAAUUCCUAUUCCACAAUCAAAAUAUUAUUUUCCUAAAGAAAAGAAAGGAACAAUAGGAAUGUGUUUCAUAUUUCAAACAUUUAUCAAACAAAUAAAUUAAUUAGAAUAAAUAAAUAUCUACUGCAUCAUGAUUGAUUUUUAGUGGGUAUUAAAUUUGAAUUCUUAAACUAUAUCUUAGAUUGGAAUAGUAAUUUUGUAAUGUCAAAAAAGGAAUAAUAUGGGAAUAUAACAAUGAGAUGAGAAUUGGGAUUUAACCCAAAGGUACAAUUCUAAGAUUUGAGAAAAGAGAAAAAAUUACUAAACAAAUGAGAUAAAAUAAGUAUAUAAAUAAGAAAAUAUUUCCUUACACUAACAUUUGAAUUUGGUAUAUUUUGAUCCAAGGUGAGACUCAUAACAAAACUUAAAUUUAAGUUUGAAAAUCAAGAGAAUGAAAUACAAAACAGAAAAGAUAAAAUGAAAAGGAAAACGAUCCAGUUGGGCCAAAACCGUGGAAUUCGGCCCACUCGACUCUCACGCGCGCGCGCCGGCCCAACGUUCGUGCAGACGCGCGCCUUGACACCUGACACUCGGGGCCCGCAUGUCAGUCCCGUUCCUCAGUUCUCAUCCCCUCCACCAGUCUUACCGCUGGGACCCCUUGGCGGUCUCUAUCUUUUUGUGCCCGCUUCUCUCGCUCUCACGGAUUUGCGGGGUCGUGAUGUCAGGAGCUCCUUCUUCCGCGGGUGGAUGGUUGGCGGCCGCGAAUUCUGCUGGCGUGGGUGCGCCCACCUCCCCAACAUCCCUGCGGAUCACUCGGGCGUUGAUCUUCUGUUGUGCGUUCGUCGCAUGGGGUGAUGGGACCCACCUGCCCACCUUCCGCACCAGUAAUCGCGGAAGUGGGCGGGUUGGCCGUGCGAGUCCACCGCGUUUGCGGUGAUCGCUGCGCCAAUGGGCAAGAGCUACAGAUAAAACCCCUCAGCACCUUCCCGACCGCGAAUCUUGAAACUCCACACCCUCCUCGGACUAGUCGUUCCCCUCCUUCACUGCGAGAACCGCACCGCAAGUGACACCGUUGCCCGCCGCCAUAGACCUGUGUCUGCACCGACAAUUGAAGGCCAAGGUGGCGUCGGUAUUGUUAGUUGGCACGCGUUGGUCGUUGGCAUGAAGUAUUGAGCUCGGUGACCCGUUCAAUCAUUCAAAAUUUCUCGUCGUCGACGGUGAUCCGCCGUGCGCCGUGAACGCCGCUUCUUGGUACUUAACUCUCGGUAAUAAGUUCAUCUCCAUUCAUAUUACCUCCUUCGUGCUAUGUAGCAAGGCCGAAUUUGGAAACCGACGCGGCAGUGUGGGGUGUGGCUUCGCCGGACAUGGCCACCGCCGUGCGGGGGUAGCACUGUCGGCCGUCGGUGUUUGAGUUGAGGGAUACCCCUUCAUCCCAACCGUUAUCCACCGAAGAUCGGCAAUCUGGCGGCUAAAGCGAAAUGGUGGGUCAUCGAUCUCAGAUCCGACGAUGACUCGAGAAUCAGGAUUUAUAUCCAUCGUCGAUCUAAUCUGGCGCGUCGAGUUAGAUUGGACGGUUGUGGUCGCAUGAUACCCCUUCGCGUGGCUCGUUUUACAUAAGAGACCUCGACUUUUUAGGAAAACAACCCGCAGUCCAUGGUCAUUGUGCGCUGAGUUUGGGGUAUCUUACACCAAGACCCCUGUUGUUCUCUAAUUUUGUGCACCUAGUCCAGAGAACAGUAAACCAGAUAAAAUUCAUUAGAAAAGGAUUUUUAAUGUAAAAAUAAACCCCUAGAACUUGUUUAAUUCAUAUAAAAUUCAUACUUCGUCCAAAUUGGUCCAUUCCAGUUCCUAUAAUUUUAUAAUAUUAUUGUUUAUACAUUAGUACGACUGUUUUGACAUGAAAGUCACAUUAAAAUUUAUUUCCUAACUAAUCUUAUACCAAGCACGUAAAAUCUUUGGAAAUUCAUAACUUAAAAUCUAUAACUCCAAAUUUAAUGAUUCCUGUUCCUAUGAUCUUAUUUUAAUGUGUAGAUUAUUAUUAUGUAUUUUGUUUACAUGUUUGGUGUGAUGUUAAUUUCUCCUUUAUACUAUGUAUGUUUGUAUUGAUGCGAGUAGACGAGCAAGUCACUGAGGAUCCUGGUGCCCAGCAGAUAGAAGUUGCUGAGCAGGAGCUCAUUGAAGGCAAGUUGUGCCCUUGAUCACUUCCUUUUUACCCAGUCAUGUUCUUACUAAUCAUAAUGAUCUGCAUAGGUUAAUUUUGGUGGGACCCAAUAGGUUACCCUAGUUUUGGCUAUCUUUAUACCUUGUUUUACCACUGAAUUUUUGGGUAGCAUAUGCUAUUGCUUUAUGUGGUUUUGGGUAUAGAGAUAUACAUUACUCAUGUUCACACUUUUGUUAUCAGUUUAAUAUCUAUUGUUCAUGAUAAGAUCAUUAUGUUAAUGGGAACAUGGAGAACCACCCGGGAAAACAAUGUCACCACAAGGGUGGUAUGGGACGCCCUUGGCUGACUAAUUAGGAAAGCUAGUGGAAGACUACCUUACCCGAAAGGGGCAAGGGCAGUAGGGGAGUUGCAUGCAGGGAGGUUCUCAGGUUGAUUUUGCUUCGAUGGCGGUCAGACGAGGGAUUCUUGCAAGUGCUCUUCCCAUAAACUGUAGCGGGUUUUCGGAAGCUAGUGGAACUUUGUAAAGGUCUCGUAGUGGAUCCCUAGCCAUUCACCUCGGUAGUGUCUAAGGGUCUUGCAAACCUUGGCGACAUGGGAUACAUGACUUGUGGGUACAGGGUACAACCUCUGCAGAGUGUAAAACUGGUAUACUAGUCAUGCUCAUGGUCAUGAGCGGCUCGGACACUCACAUGAUUAAUUUAUGGAAUUAAAUUCAAUUUGUCAUUUGCAUCGCAUUGGGAUUACUUUAUUAUUACUUCUAUUUAUUAUUACUACGGUUUGGUAUUUACUUACACUUAGUAUUUGCUAAUAAAAUUUUGACCAACUUAUAAAAGCAAUGCUCAGCUUCAACCUUUAUUUUGUUGAUCAACCUUACACUUCACAUGAACUCCCACCUUUGGUGAGUUCAUGCACAUUAUUCCCCACAACUUGUUGAGCGAUGAACAUGUGUGAGCUCACCCUUGCUGUCUCACACCCCCCACAGGAGAAGAACAGGUGGUUCAGGAGGAGCCACACAACGAGGAGUUUGAUCUGAUCUAGGUGGCGUCUCUCAGUUGACUUUAUGACGCCAAGGAUGGACUUUAGUUCAAUCUAUAUUUAUCUUUUAUUUUGUAAGACUUCCGCUAUGUAAUAGGUACUCUUAUUAUAUUAUGACAUUUAUCUCUAUAUAUUCUGUUAUUAUAUGUGUUGUCUUCUUUGGUGCAUAUAUGAGAUGCACCCAGCUUUGUCCUUUAAAUCCGGGUGUGACACAUACAAUGAGCUUGUCGGGGACCAUAAUUAGGGGUACCCUCAAGACGCCUAAUUCUCAGCUGGUAACCCCCAUCAGCAUAAAGCUGCAAAGGCCUGAUGGGUACGAUUAAGUCAGGGAUCAGUCCACACGAGUGACUCGAUCACGCUUCACCCGAGCCUAGCCUUGGCCAAGGGCAGCCGACCUCGAGAGACUUCCGUCUCGCCCGAGGCCCCCCUUUUUACGGCGGACACAUCACCGGCUCGCCCGAGGCCUUGGCUUCGCUCAGAAGCAACCCCAACUAAAUCGCCACACCGACUGACCGAGUUGCAGGAGCAUUUAACGCAAAGGUGGCCUGACACCUUUAUCCUGACACGCGCCCCCCGGCAGAGCCGACGUGACCGCCGUCACUCCACCGCUCCACUGACCAGUCUGACAGAAGGACAGCGCCGCCUGCGCCACUCCGACUGCGGUGCCACUCGACAGAGUGAGUCUGACAGACAGUCAGGCCUUGCCAAAGGCGCCACGGCGAACUCCGCUCCACCCGACCCCAGGGCUCGGACUCGGGCUAAGACCCGGAAGACGGCGAACUCCGCUCCGCUCGACCCCAGGGCUCGGACUCGGGCUAAGACCCGGAAGACGGCGAACUCCGCUCCGCCCGACCCUAGGGCUCGGACUCGGGCUAAGACCCGGAAGACGGCGAACUCCGCUCCGCCCGACCCCAGGGCUCGGACUCGGGCUAAGACCCGGAAGACGGCGAACUCCGCUCCGCCCGACCCCAGGGCUCGGACUCGGGCUAAGACCCGGAAGACGGCGAACUCCGCUCCGCCUGACCCCAGGGCUCGGACUCGGGCUAAGACCCGGAAGACGGCGAACUCCGCUCCGCCCGACCCCAGGGCUCGGACUCGGGCUAAGACCCGGAAGACGACGAAACUCCGCCUCGCCCGACCCCAGGGCUCGGACUCCGCCCUGGCCUCGGCCGAACGACCUCCGCCUCGCCUGACCCCAUGGCUCGGACUCGGCCUCGGCAACAGAAGACAGACUCAACCUCGGCUUCGGAGGAGCCCCCACGUCACCCUGCCUAGGGCACAGACCCGCCACGUCAACAGGAAGCGCCAUCAUCGUCCUACCCCGAAUCGACUCGGGUCACGGAGAACAAGACUGGCGUCCCAUCCGGCCAGCUCCGCCGGAUGGGCAAUGAUGGCGCUCCUCAAGCUCUGUGACGACGGCGGCCCCCAGCUCUCUUACGGAAGCAGGGCGACGUCAGCAAGGACUCGACCGCUCCAACAGCUGUCCCUCCGCCAGGCUCCGUCGCACCUCCGACAGCCACGACAUCACGCCAGCAAGGUGCCAAGACCUCUCCGGCUGCCACAUUGGCAUGUACCUAGGGCGCUAGCUCUCUCUCCGCUAGACACGUAGCACUCUGCUACACCCCCCAUUGUACACCUAGAUCCUCUCCUUACGACUAUAAAAGGGAGGACCAGGGCCUUCUUAGAGGAGGUUGGCCGCGCGGGACCGAGGACGGGACAGGCGCUCUCUUGGGGCCGCUCGCUUCCCUCACCCGCGUGGACGCUUGUAACCCCCCUACUGCAAGCGCACCCGACCUGGGCGCGGGACGAACACGAAGGCCGCGGGACUUCCACCUCUCUCACGCUUGACUCCGGCCACCUCGCCUCUCCCCCCUUCGCGCUCGCCCACGCGCUCGACCCAUCUAGGCUGGGGCACGCAGCACACUCACUCGUCGGCUUUGGGACCCCCCUGUCUCGAAACGCCGACAGUUGGCGCGCCAGGUAGGGGCCUGCUGCGUGCUGACGAACAGCUCCCCGUCAAGCUCCAGAUGGGCAGUCUCCAGCAACCUCUCCGGCCCGGGGCGGUGCUUCGUUUCGGGACUCUUGAGUUCAUGUCCUUCGACGGCAGCUACAACAUGAUACUUCUUCCACCGCCGCGCGACAACGACAAUGGCGGCCGACAACCCGCCCGCCGGCGGCGGAAUCGACGACAUCUUCCCCGCGUGGUGGAAGAGCAACAUUCGAGCUCGCUCCGUUCUCUCCCCCGCCAACGGAGGAGGAGGCGGGGCCAUCAAGGCCAAGCGGGAGGCCGCGCUUCGUUGGCCGUCGAGCGAAUCGACGCCCCCGACGCCCCGACGGAAGGCACGCCGGACGUCGACCUCGCGUUCAAGACGAAGGCAAGCGCCGUCCCCCCGCGACACGCUGACCCCGAGCAAGAAGACGACGCCGGCGCGCUCGCGGAAAGCCUGCAGGAUGUCGCCCUCGUACCUGAGAUGACGGUGCAACCAGUCCCCGGUGUGACUACGUCGCUCCUCGUCGACCAAAAGGUACCGACUAACUCCCAUCUUACGUCAUUUCGACUCGGCCUCAACCCGCCAAACGACCUCGCUUUGGCGGGCGCUCUCAUUGAGGCGAGUGCAACCCCACUGGGGUUUCGUAUACGGUCGCCUUGGGACCGGCUGACGGACGUCUCGACCUACGGGCCCUCUGGGUCCGAGGAAGAUGACGACCCCAGCGUCUGUUGGGAUUUCUCCGGACUUGGCAACCCCAGUGCCAUGCGGGACUUCAUGACCGCAUGUGACUACUGCCUAUCCGACUGUUCCGACGGAAGCCGCAGCCUUGGCGACGAGAGCUGCGGCCCAAGCCGCGAAUGUUUCCACAUCGAGCUAGGGGAUCCCUCCGAAGGCAACCAUCUCGGCAUGCCGGAGGACGGUGAUCUUCCUAGGCCGGAGCCUCGCGCCGACAUCCCACGGGAGCUAGCUGUGGUCCCCGCUCCGGCGGGGGGUUACGACCCACAACUCGAGCAAGUCCGCGAGGCGCAGGCCAGGCUCAACGAGGGAACAGGAGCGCUUGAGCCGAUCCGUCGGGACGUCGGGCAGGUAUGGGCGGGCCAACCCCUGGCCGGAGAAAUACGUCACCUGCCCCAAGGUCUCCAGCACCGCGUCGCCAACGAUGUCAGGGUCAGGCCGCCGCCCGCAUCCAGCGGGGUUGGUCAGAACCUGGCAGCCGCAGCGAUGCUCCUCCGCGCGAUGCCGGAGCCAUCAACCACUGAGGGUCGGCGAAUCCAGGGAGAGCUCAAGAAUCUCCUGGAAGGCGCUGCGGCCCGACGGGCCGAGAGCACUGCCUCCCGAAGGCAAGGAUACCCCUCGGAACCUCAUGUCGUGGCUUCCCGAUUCAUGCGGGAAGCCUCGGUCUACACCGAGCGCACGCGCAACACCGCGCCUGCGGCCCCGGGCCACCUCGGCAACGAGCACCAUCGACGCGACCGUCGGGCCCACCUUGACAAAAGGGUGCGCCGAGGCUACCACCCCAGGCGUGGGGGGCGCUACGACAGCGGGGAGGAUCGGAGUCCCUCGCCCGAACCACCCGGUCCGCAGGCCUUCAGUCGAGCCAUCGGACGGGCGCCAUUCCCGACCCGGUUCCGAUCCCCGACUACUAUCACGAAGUACUCAGGGGAAACGAGACCAGAACUGUGGCUCGCGGACUACCGCCUUGCCUGCCAACUGGGUGGGACGGACGACGACAACCUCAUCAUCCGUAACCUCCCCCUGUUCCUCUCCGACACUGCUCGCGCCUGGUUGGAGCACCUGCCUCCGGGGCAGAUCUCCAACUGGGACGACUUGGUCCAAGCCUUCGCUGGCAAUUUCCAGGGCACAUACGUGCGCCCCGGGAAUUCCUGGGACCUUCGAAGCUGCCGGCAACAGCCGGGGGAGUCGCUCCGGGACUACAUCCGGCGAUUCUCGAAGCAGCGCACCGAGCUGCCCAACAUCACCGACUCGGAUGUCAUCGGCGCGUUCCUCGCCGGCACCACUUGCCGCGACCUGGUGAGCAAGCUGGGUCGCAAGACUCCCACCAGGGCGAGCGAGCUGAUGGACAUCGCCACCAAGUUCGCCUCUGGCCAGGAGGCGGUCGAGGCUAUCUUCCGAAAGGACAAGCAGCCCUAGGGCCGCCCAUCGGAAGAGGCUCCCGAGGCGUCUGCUCCGCGCGGCGCCAAGAAGAAAGGCAAGAGGAAGUCGCAAUCGAAACGCGACGCCGCUGACGCGGACCUUGUCGCCGCCGCCGAGCACAAGAACCCUCGGAAGCCCCCCGGAGGUGCAAACCUCUUCGACAAGAUGCUCAAGGAGCCGUGCCCCUACCAUCAGGGGCCCGUCAAGCACACCCUCGAGGAGUGCGUUAUGCUUCGGCGUCACUUCCACAGGGCCGGGCCACCCGCCGAGGGUGGCAGGGCCCACGACGACGGCAAGAACGAAGAUCACCAAGCAGGAGAGUUCCCCGAGGUCCGCGACUGCUUCAUGAUCUAUGGAGGGCAUGCGGCGAAUGCCUCGGCUCGGCAUCGCAAGCAAGAGCGCCGGGAGGUCUGCUCGGUGAAGGUGGCGGCGCCAGUCUACCUAGACUGGUCCGACAAGCCCAUCACCUUCGACCAGGCCGACCACCCCGACCAUGUGCCGAGCCCGGGGAAAUACCCGCUCGUCGUCGACCCCGUUGUCGGCAAUGUCAGGCUCACCAAGGUCCUAAUGGAUGGGGGCAGCUGCCUCAACAUCAUCUACGCCGAGACCCUCAAGCUCCUGCGCGUCGAUCUGUCCUCCGUCCGAGCAGGCGCUGCGCCCUUCCACGGGAUCAUCCCUGGGAAGCGCGUCCAGCCCCUCGGGCGACUCGACCUCCCCGUCUGCUUCGGGACGCCCUCCAACUUCCGAAGGGAGACCCUGACGUUCGAGGUGGUCGGGUUCCGAGGAACCUACCACGCCGUACUAGGGGGGCCAUGCUACGCGAAGUUCAUGGCCGUCCCCAACUACACCUACCUGAAGCUCAAGAUGCCGGGCCCCAACGGGGUCAUCACCGUCGGCCCCACGUACAAACACGCGUUCGAAUGCGACGUGGAGUGCGUGGAGUACGCCGAGGCCCUCGCCGAGUCCGAGGCCCUCAUCGCCGACCUGGAGAACCUCUCCAAGGAGGUGCCAGACGUGAAGCGCCAUGCCGGCAACUUCGAGCCAGCAGAGACGGUUAAGGCCGUCCCUCUUGACCCCAGUGGCGGCACCACCAAGCAGAUCCGGAUCGGUUCCGGGCUCGACCCCAAAUAGGAAGCAGUGCUCGUCGACUUUCUCCGCGCAAACGCCGACGUCCUUGCGCGGAGUCCCUCGGACAUGCCCGGCAUACCGAGGGAUGUCGCCAAACACUCGCUGGAUAUCCGGGCCGGAGCCCGAUCCGUCAGACAGCCUCUGCGCCUCGGUCAUCAAGGAAGGGUCGGCCUCGCCUUGGCAGAGCCCGACCCUCCCUCGGGGGCUAAAAAGGGGGAACCCCUCUACGUCAAGAUCGGGCAUACUUCUCCGUGUCAAAAAUUUUCAAUCAAAAAAGGGGCCUCUUGCGUCCUCCCGGCUACGUUCUCCCGGCCAUGUCAGAAGCAGGGUCUCGAGGAGCGAACGCGGGUACAUGUAAAUGGCAAGGCCGACUGAGCCGAGGAGCUCCUGUGCCUCCGGGUUAGGGAUACCUCACUCAUCACCUGCCACGAAGAAUGGCCCGACUCGAGAAGCCACCCUAUUAUUGACAAGCCAGGACGAACAUGCAGAUGGAAAGAAAGGAGAGUACGACUCCAUGCAAGAAAGACAAAGUGUUUAGGCCUAAGCAGCCGCGGUGAGACGCACAUCCAACAAGAAACUGUUCAAACAAGAAUUAGGCGCCGCCUUGGGAAGGAGCCGCGCCCUCAGCUCCAUCCCCGCUUUCGGUGGGGUCCAUCUCGGCCUCCGGUAACGUCGCAGGGGGAAGGAUCUCCGCCUCAAAGGUGGUCGCCAGCACCGCGCUCGGACCCGCGGCGACCGCGUCGAGCCGUUGGACCUCCGCUAGGGCAGCAUCGUCUUCGUCAGGAAGACAGUACCCCUCACUAACCCGCUCCAGGUCCACAACGUAGUGGGAAGCAAGCACGGCGAAGGCCCGCCUGACGCCGUGGUGUAGCGCUUCGCGGACUCUGCCGCGCGCGUGAUCACCCAAGGCUCGAAGGCGGCUCUGAGGGGAGCUUCCUGAAGGGACGUCGCCGGAACCGAGGACACGAUAAAAGUCCGAGACGGCCUCGGACAUGGCCGCAAGGUCCGCAUCCCUCUGCUCGGCAGCUCCGGCAAGCGUCUCAGCAAGCGCCUUGGCGGACUCGUCAAGGGCGGACUCAAGCUCUGCAAGCAACCAGGAGAAAUACCUCAAGCACAAGCAAAGGAAACGGACAAGAAAGAGAACCAGGGAGGACCAAGACGUACCUCCGGCUCGGGCACGAUGCUCCGAGGCCGCGACCUGGGCCGCGGCUAAGUCAGCCGCAAGGGUCUCGGCACGGCUUUCGGCCUCGGCAGCCCGGCCCUGAGAUCGGUCCCGUUCCUCGACGACCUGGGCGAGCUCCGAUCGCUGCCGUUGCGCCUCCGCACGCGCUGCAGCCGCCUCGGCUCUCAGGUCGGCGCAGAGCAGCUGGAGGUCCGCCACCUUGGCAUCCUGCUGAGAAAGGCGCGCGGUAGCCCCGGCGAGCGAGGACCUCAGGGAUCGCAGCGAGCCCCAGACAUCAACCUCACGGCGGAUGAACGACGACUUGGCGGCGCUCCGGUCCGACAGAUCCUGGGGAAAGGAAACAGGGCGUCACGACGAGUGUCUCGCCCACAGAAGGAAAAAAGGUAUGCCCGAAACCGCUACCUGGAGGAUUUUGGGGACGUCUCUGCAGAAAACCUCCAGCGACGACCGGAGCGACCCCACCGUUGCCUCUGCGCGCUCGCGGAGCUCACCCCAGGACUGGUCCUCCUGCUCAUCAUCGAGAACGAAGACGGGGUCCGAGGCCUCGCGGGUCCGGAAUCGGAGCAACGGGCGCCGGGCCUCGGGGCUCCGCCGCACAGCGAUGAGGCUGCUGCCCGGCUGGACGGAUUGCGCGUCCACGCCCACCUCUUCUGAAGUCUUGGGCGCCGACGCAUCAGCCAUCCCGACGCUGGCGGCAACUGGACGCCCUUCGACAGGGACGGCGGCAACCUCGGCGGUGGCAGGCGCCGGCAUGACCGGCACGACAGGCGAACUCAGGGCCGCGUGGGCGUCAGCCGCCUCCUCAACCACGAUAGCCGCCUCGGCUGAAGAGCCGGCCUCGGGAGCCCGCUCCUCAGAGAUUGGCGACGCCCGAGCCCCCGGUGGUGAAGUACCCCGCGAAAGGGUCGGUGGAAUGGCGCUGGCCACACAGUUCGGCACCGUCUUGAGGGCCUUCCGGGGUGCCAGGUCGGUCUGGCCAUGACUUCGCUUGCUGGAUAUAAAAAAAGAGAGGAGGAAAGAAAGAUCACGACCGAGACAUAUGAAUGGGAAGCCAAGACGAAGACAUUCCGAGAUACUCACCCACUUCGGGCCAUGAUCCACCGCGCCUGGGGGGAGCCUUCUUGGAUCCCGGCUCCCGAAACAGCCGCCGAGGUCCGCUUCGCCGGCACCUUCGGCACCACCCUUGCUUGGGGCGCCCGGGAAGCGGAUUCCCCGGGCACGGCCGCGACGACUUGAGGGUCACCCCCAUGCGCCACCGACACGAGCGGCGGCCCCUAGGGAACAGACGCCUUGGCCUGGACCACCGAAGCUGCCUCAGCUCCUCCGGUUGAGGGGUCAGGUGACCUCUCGGUUCGCCCCCGUGCCUCGGGUCGGGAGCCCGACGCCCCGACUUCGGGGGCUGACGGAGUCGGCCCGCUCGGGGGCUGGCUCGACGGCUCCUGGCCACACCCCAAGCUGGGGCUGAGGCCGAGACGGGCGGCCAUGUCAUCCUCUUCAUCAUCAUCAUCGUCAUCAUCGUCGUCGGGCGUCUCCGGCGACGGCUCCCUCGGGAGUCCGUCCCUCUCCUGCUGGCGACGGUGCUUCUCCAAGGCGUCCCGAGCCCGCCUCCGCUCGCGGGCCCGGGCCUUCUCCGCGUCCUUCUUUUUCUUCUUCUCCUCCGCGGCGACCCGCCGCGCUGCACGGUCCACCGCGUCCUCCGGGACCCGUGGCUGGGAGGGUUUGUGCCACCCCACAUCCUAAAAGGAGGGGAGAAAGGAACCCGAUCAUAAGGACCCGGAGCGACCCGAUAUACGAAGAAGGAAGGAGCGAACACUCACCAAAGUCACACACCCCUGGUCGGGGCGCAUCCAAAGCUGGGAGUAUGCGUGGGGGUCCGGCUUCCCCAUCGCAGCCGACACCCUCCGACGGUGGAUAGCGGCGAUCACUCCCGCAGCGGUGAGUCCCCCCUCCCGCAACUCCUUCAGGGCCUGGAGAAGGGGUUCGAGAUUCUUCUGCCUCUCGUGCGGGGUCCCGUGGCGCCAGGCGUCGGUGGCAGUCGUAACUACUCGCUGGGAAAACGGUGGGAGCAACUCACCGUCAUUCCGGAGGUAGAACCACCGGCGCUGCCACCCCUUGUUCGAAGACGCAAGAAUGGCAGGAAUGUACUGCAGCGCCCGCGACUGCCUCAACAAGAGAAUGCAGCCGCCGGCCCGCACCGCUGCACGGAUCCUCCUCUCCCCCGUCGACAAGGCGAAAGGCUCGGCGAGGAAGAGAUGAGUCCACAAAUCCCAAUGAGGAGCGAUCCCCAAGUAUCCUUCGCAUACCGCUACGAAGAUAGCGGCCUGCGAGAUGGAGUUGGGGGAGAGGUUGUGCAACUCCACCCCGUAGUGGAAUAGGAUGGCCCGCAUAAAGCGGCCCGUCGGCACACCAAAUCCCCGCUCAUGGAAGGAGACGAAGCUCACGACAUACCCCGGCGGUGGGGACGGAGCGGCUCCGCCCACGGGAGGAAUCCACUCUGGCCGCUGCUUGUCGGUGAGGGGGCGGAGCAAACCUUCGCCGACCAGCUCCUCCUGAUCACUCGCCGUCACCGUGGAGAAGGGCCACAGAUCGCGCGGGGGGAUUAUGGUCACUCGAUCCGCCAUCACCAAAAUGGAGAAGAUGGCGGCGCGGGGGGCAGGGAGAGCGGUUUCUCUCUUCUCCGACUAAAGUUUCCCGGGUUGCGAAAACCUAAAGGGAAAAGAAGGGAGCAGAGCGAAGAACCGUCACUGGACCCCCUCUCAAGUAUAUGAAGGCCAGGGCGAAACUGUUUCCAGCACACCGCCUGGACCGGACGCGGGAUUCAAAAAGCGCGAAGCGGUACAGCCGUUCCUCAAACGGCUCGCGCACGCGUAACGGCCACCCCGCCAACCACUCGCCCCGUCGCAUUAACUCCGUGGCGGGACACGCGGCGCCUCUGGCAGGAGAAGCGCGCGACGCUUCGCCUUCGCCGUAAUAACCGCGUCAAAAAGAGGUACGCCACGUCGUUCGAUUUCGUAUCCCUUUCCUUUUUUCUCUUUCUCUAUCUCUUGCAACAGGGACCGGGAAAGGGGGAUACCCCGAAAAGGAUCCUUCUCCGCGAAGGAACCGGGCUCCGAGCCCCCCCUACUGAUCAGGGGUUCGAAGGCCAGCCCCCCGAAGGGUUCCAUGGCCGCCUCAGGCUACUCGGGCUCCGCGCCCAUUACUGAUCAGGGGUUCGAAGGCUGGCCCCCGAAGGGUUCACAGUCGCCUCAGACACCGAGCGAGGGAUGACCAGGGGUACGUUCGAUACAUAACCGAGGCUCGGGCUGCGCUCCCGAGGUACCCUAGGACAUUUCCGAGACCAGCGGGAACGAUCUUGUAACGGAAUCCCAUCGGAGGGAGGCAUCGAGCCCUCGGACCCCGUCGCCAGGGGACCGGGUCCGGCAAAUCACCCGCAGGUACUUUUGGGCGUGCCUCUGUGCCCCUAGCCGACCCCCAACGAACGGGGCACGGACGUCCACUCGGAUUACCCGCUUGCAGCUCACCGGAGACACCAUGUUCUGUGCCCAUCGAGGGUAACAUGGCGCACUCCCCCCCUCCGCCUUGCGGAAAGGCGACGUAGGAGCGUAUGUAAAAAGUCGAGUCUGUCCCUGAUCGUCCUCUCGCCCUGUGCAGAGGCUCGGGGGCUGCUCUCGCAAAAACCGGCUCUGGCCAAACCGUUGACAGCGUCAACAUACCAGCCCGAGAGCUUGGGCCCCGACCGUGCACCCGGGCUACGGCCAGUUCGCAUGAGGGAACGACCAGACCAGUCGAAGCAUUACGCAAGGUAUUAAGACCUCGAAGGAGUGUAACCACUCCUCCGAGGCCUCAGGGACUACACCCGGCGGGUGCGCUCGCGCGCACCCACCGGAACAAAAUGCAACCGAGAAAGGCUGGUCCCCUUGCAAAAAAGUGCGACGAAAGCCUCCAAGCGAGUGCUAACACUCCCUUCGAGGCUCGGGGGCUACUGUCGGGGACCAUAAUUAGGGGUACCCUCAAGACGCCUAAUUCUCAGCUGGUAACCCCCAUCAGCAUAAAGCUGCAAAGGCCUGAUGGGUACGAUUAAGUCAGGGAUCAGUCCACACGAGUGACUCGAUCAUGCUUCACCCGAGCCUAGCCUUGGCCAAGGGCAGCCGACCUCGAGAGACUUCCGUCUCGCCCGAGGCCCCCCUUUUUACGGCGGACACAUCACCGGCUCGCCCGAGGCCUUGGCUUCGCUCAGAAGCAACCCCGACUAAAUCGCCACACCGACUGACCGAGUUGCAGGAGCAUUUAACGCAAAGGUGGCCUGACACUUUUAUCCUGACACGCGCCCCCCCGGCAGAGCCGACGUGACCGCCGUCACUCCACCGCUCCACUGACCAGUCUGACAGAAGGACAGCGCCGCCUGCGCCACUCCGACUGCGGUGCCACUCGACAGAGUGAGUCUGACAGACAGUCAGGCCUUGCCAAAGGCGCCACGGCGAACUCCGCUCCGCCCGACCCCAGGGCUCGGACUCGGGCUAAGACCCGGAAGACGGCGAACUCCGCUCCGCCCGACCCCAGGGCUCGGACUCGGGCUAAGACCCGGAAGACGGCGAACUCCGCUCUGCCCGACCCCAGGGCUCGGACUCGGGCUAAGACCCGGAAGACGGCGAACUCCGCUCCGCCCGACCCCAGGGCUCGGACUCGGGCUAAGACCCGGAAGACGGCGAACUCCGCUCCGCCCGACCCCAGGGCUCGGACUCGGGCUAAGACCCGAAAGACGGCGAACUCCGCUCCGCCCGACCCCAGGGCUCGGACUCGGGCUAAGACCCGGAAGACGGCGAACUCCGCUCCGCCCGACCCCAGGGCUCAGACUCGGGCUAAGACCCGGAAGACGAUGAACUCCGCUCCGCCCGACCCUAGGGCUCGGACUCGGGCUAAGACCCGGAAGACGACGAAACUCCGCCUCGCCCGACCCCAGGGCUCGGACUGCGCCCUGGCCUCGGCCGAACGACCUCCGCCUCGCCCGACCCCAUGGCUCGGACUCGGCCUCGGCAAUAGAAUACAGACUCAACCUCGGCUUCGGAGGAGCCCCCACGUCACCCUGCCUAGGGCACAGACCCGCCACGUCAACAGGAAGCGCCAUCAUCGUCCUACCCCGAAUCGACUCGGGUCACGGAGAACAAGACCGGCGUCCCAUCCGGCCAGCUCCGCCGGAUGGGCAAUGAUGGCGCUCCACAAGCUCUGUGACGACGGCGGCCCCCAGCUCUCUUACGGAAGCAGGGCGACGUCAGCAAGGACUCGACCGCUCCAACAGCUGUCCCUCCGCCAGGCUCCGUCGCACCUUCGACAGCCACGACAUCACGCCAGCAAGGUGCCAAGACCUCUCCGGCUGCCACAUUGGCAUGUACCUAGGGCGCUAGCUCUCUCUCCGCUAGACACGUAGCACUCUGCUACACCCCCCAUUGUACACCUGGAUCCUCUCCUUACGACUAUAAAAGGGAGGACCAGGGCCUUCUUAGAGGAGGUUGGCCGCGCGAGACCGAGGACGGGACAGGCGCUCUCUUGGGGCCGCUCGCUUCCCUCACCCGCGUGGACGCUUGUAACCCCCCUACUGCAAGCGCACCCGACCUGGGCGCGGGACGAACACGAAGGCCGCGGGACUUCCACCUCUCUCACGCUCGACUCCGGCCACCUCGCCUCUCCCCCCUUCGCGCUCGCCCACGCGCUCGACCCAUCUGGGCUGGGGCACGCAGCACACUCACUCGUCGGCUUUGGGACCCCCUGUCUCGAAACGCCGACAGAGCUCUACAAGCUAAUUUCACUUAUCCACGGCUAAUACAUGCUUAUCUCCCACUAAUCAUUGCCUCCUCCCCCUAAUCCCCCACCUUGCCUAUAAAUAGAGGGCCAAGGGGCUCCCUCAUGCCAUCCCAAGCCAUUUCAUGGCAACUCACUCCCAGUCACUCCCACUCUCACAUAAACACAAGGAUCAUUCGAUCGUUGAUUCGAUCGUUCGUCCAAAUAUUCUUAGUUUGUUCGCUCGUUCGUCCGAUCGUUCAUCCAAUUGUUCAUGGUUUGUUCGUUCGUUCGAUCGUUCAAUCUUUCGUCCGUUCGUCUGUCCAAAUUUAGUUAUUGUUCAUUCGUUAUGCUGCAGAAAUUCCAAUCGUUCGUACAUUCGUUCAUAAUCCCUAUUCAUCGUUCGUUCAUACGAACUAUUCAUCAUUCGUUCAUAAUAAGUAUUCAUCAUUCAUAGUUACUAUUCAUCGUUCGACCGAUCACCCAAUUAUUCAGCUACUCAUCCAUCAUGAUGUUCAGCUCACCUAAGACAUGUCGACCAAUAUCUCAGUAAUGCGGACUUCAGUGACUGUGAUUUUCCUUCCAGUGAGUACUUCUCGUCUAGUCACUCAUCCUCCAAGUUGAGCACACUUAACUUUGAGGUUCUUCUGAACUAAGCUUCCAAAAAGAAAGGUGAACCACGAUUAUAUGGAUACACUAUCAAUCCUAUAAAACUCUAGGCCAAGAUACCACAACCUGCCAAGGCCAGGAUAUCAUAGUUUUCUAGUUGUCUAGGUCCCACCUAAUUGUUGUCCCAUGUGACAUACUAAGUAGGAAUAGUUGUCACUAACAUAAACCUUCGCUCACGAAUAGCCUAGAAAUAUUUCCUAGCACUCCGCUCAAAACACAUGUUUUUGAACUUCCAAAUAUCCCCAAAUAUUCAAUUUUUGGAAUAUUCUAGGAAUAUUCCUUUUUCUUUUUCAAAUUCCUAUGAUUAUAAAAUCCAAAACUCCUUCGUAUAGACUCUGAUUUCGACAAUUCUAAUUUUCUAAAUUCUUAUCAAAUUACCCUCUAUCCAACUAUCGUGGUUUCGGAAACCAGAGGGUAGUAAGAUUUGUGUUCGACAGGGUUGCUAGCGUGGACUCACUCCAAAUGGUGAAUCGGUGGAACUCGAGCGAGAGAUCUGGAACACGAGGUUAUUUUGGUUCGAGUUUGCACCCUACUCCAGUAUAGUGCUGACCAUAGUAUUCCUUCGAGCGUGUUACAACAAGUGUGCUCAUGUGCCUAUAGAAUAAAUAAGUCUCGCCCUUUUAUAGUUCAAGGGUGGGACCUUACAAGGGUGACUUGCUCUCUACUUGGUAUGAGGUUGGUCUGUUUCCCUGGCUUGUCGUUGUGCACCUUGUAUCAGGCUGUCCGUUGGGUCAGCCUUCUCUUACACCAGUCUUUGAUAAGGAUGCUCAACAAAGACUUGGUCAUCGGCUCCGCCUCACAAGGUUUCUCGGCAGAGACUUGGUCGUCCGCUCCACCUCGCGAGGUUGCUCGGCAGGGUCUUGGUCGCCUGCUCUGCCUCGCAAGGUUGCUCGGUAGGGACUUGAUCGCUUGCUCCACCUCACAAGGUUGCUCGGUAGGGUCUUCGUCACCCACUCCGCCUCGCAAGUUUGCUCGGUAGGGUCUUUGUCGCAUGUUCCGCCUCACAAGGUUGCUCCACAUGGACUUCUUGGGCUUUGUUUGGGCACCCCAUUCCUGGGUGCCCAACAUUAGCCCCCAAGCCUUUACGCGACUUCUAGGAGUUGUGUAGAGGCUUUUAUCUAAAAGGCAGAUUUCCUUGGUGCGCGCAAGUGCUGCUAGAUGCAACCCUUGAGCUAUUUGUGAGAAUUGCUCGAGGGUUUACCAGGUUAAGUCUGCAGUUUAAGGGCUGACCCUUGCUAUGGUGGUCAUCACACGUUGAGCAUAGGUUCACUAGUAGCUAAGUGGUGUGUGUGGCACAAUGAUGAUGACUCUAGUGAUGCGAGCAAACGAUCAUGUCUCAACGUGGAAGUUGAUUAUAGCUCCUUGUCACACCUUAUUAGCCAUGAUAAGGCAAGAGCACAACACAAAGGUUAGGAGACAACAAUGACUAGCAGUGAGUCCUCUUCCAUGGAGAAGAGAUGAUGAGGACAUCCUCCUCUAUUACCCAUUAGCAAAGACACAAUGGCCUAGUUGGUCUGCUUGUAGUCGGACAACGACUGUGUGAGCCUAUAAAUUAUCCCACAUCUAUUAACAUGGGAGAAGAAAAUCACCUUAAAAGGGAGAGCCACCCUUCCACUAUUAGACUAGUCUUUUAGGGUGAUUGGGCCUUUACUUGAUUAGGUGUCCUUAAUGAAUUUUUGUUGCCUAGGCAACACUAAUUUGUUGGGCCUCGACUAACACCACCUGGGUUGAGUGUAUCAUUUCGUAUUAGAGUUUGGUCCCAUUUGAAGAUGGUUGGAAUGAUGAGGACAUCCUCCGAUAGUAAUCGCUGGCAAUGAUGCAAUAACCCAGUUGGCUCAUUUGUAGUUUGGUGACGACGGUGUGAGCCUCUAAAUUACCCCACCUCACUUGACUUUAGAGGAGGAAGCCGCCUUGAAAGAGAGAGCCACUCUUCCCCCAUCGGACUAGUCUUUGGGGUGAUUGGGCCUUUACCCAAGUAGGUGUGCUUAAUGAACUAUUGGAGUUCGGGCAGCCCUAACUUGUUGGGCCUCUACCAACCCCACUUGCAUUGAGUGUAUUAAGAGCAUGGUGAACAAGCUCUACAUGGCUGGCUUGAGGAUAACUGAAUCAAAAUUGUUUAAGCACAUCAUCAAGUUAUUCGAUUAGAUACCACCAAUAUGGGCGAUAACAUGAAAAAGGCCCACAAGUUGGUCGUAAAGAAUUGACCAAGCAAUUAAAAGUAGAUGAAGAAAAUAUAGUAUUGUAUCAUUUUUUACAAACAUGUAUUUUUAUUUUUAAAAAUUACAUUCUAUCUAUUUUGAAUUACAUUUUUUAUUUUGUUAACUACAUGAUUAGAUGAUUUCUCCCAAAUAAAAUGUCAUGUUUUGUUUUAAAUACAAAUCUAUAAAAGAAAAGAUAAUGUGGUGUUGUGGUGGCUACAAGUUGACGGUAAAGGUUGUGUACAAGAGCGAUGUAGUAGACAUGGGUUGACGGCAGUCAAUAACAUGGUCGGUAAUGUGAUCGAUAGCUGAUGUGGUGGGUGGUAUGGCUGAGUGCAUUAGCUCCAGCCUAGGCCAUAUGGAUUAUAUUAUCGCUACACCUGGAUGCACUAUUCCUGUAAGGAUUAUGUUCGUGUCUGUGGCAUAUGGUCAAAAGUAUUGAUGUUUCUUAAUGUGAAUUCAUGCCAAAAUGCUUUUGCACUGACAGUUGAUGAUGGAUGCAAGAGGUUAUAUUAGAAGUUGUGUACCCAAUUAUAUUCAAGGGUAUUUAGUCGAAUAUCCAAAUUUUUGGGCAAGAAAAAUUAUAGAUUUAGUGUUUAUAUAUGUAUUGGAUAAAUAAAUACCAAUUAAGAAUUAUGUCCAAAAUAUAUUUUUCUACUCCUAUCCCCUCCCCAUCAAUGACUCAAUGGCCCAUUUUGACCGAAGAAUGUACUGGGCAAAAACCAUCGGCCUCCCCACCCUACAUUGUCACUUUAUUUCUCAAUCUCGCACCCAUGACCUCUGAAAGCAUCUAAGCCCUUAGUAGUUAUGAUGAUUAAUGAUUUCAUAAUAUUAUUGUGACUAAUGUGUGUUUUGCAUAGACAAAUUUGAGUUAGAUUAUAGUGAUGGAUAUUGGUUUAUGUAAUAUAUGGUUACUAUGCCCCUACUUAUGAAUUUUGUUGCGGUUUUUGCAAGGAUGAAAGACAAGGUUAAGAAUGGACUACUUCUAAGUGUCGAUUGGAGUUGAGGCACACUUAGAGUAGUUUAGGACUUUGUUUUUCCUUUGACCAUAUUAUAAAGGGGUAUAAACUAGUAGCUUGACCUAGAUAAGUCUAGUGAGUUUAGUGUGGCGUAAACUAGUUAUCUUUAUCUCUAGCUGGUUUAGGAGAGGCCCAAAACUAGUAAGGAUCAAAACCCAAUUCCAAUGUUGCAAAAUUGGACAAUUUAGAAGGGUUUCAAUGCAUUAGACCUUGUGUUUUAGGGUUAUUGGACCAUAGUGGAUUGGUCUGACUCCUCCAGUUGUCAACCUAAGAGCACCCAAUUGUCAAACCCUAUGAACCGUACCUCACGAGAACAAUGCAUUGGGCCAACUGUUUGUGUGAUCAAACCGUCAGUUCUAGGGGUACAUUGAACUGGUCCUAUGAUAUGUGUUGGACUGAACAAUGACAUUGUUUUAGCUUGGGGUUUGGCUAUAGGGUCAUUAGGCCCUAUGAACAGUUGUCUCGUCGAACCAAAGAAUAUAAGUCCAACAAGUGUUCACAUUGAAUAUAGAGGUUCUAGUGGGCGUCGGACUAGUCCAAUGAUGGGUGUAAGACCAUACACCCAAGGCUCAGUUUUUAAUGGCUAGUUCUAUCAUGGUAGUACAAUAGUUACCAUUAUGUCCCAUCAGAUGUUGUGUUAUGGAACAAAGGUGAUUGUUGGACAGUAUGGUGAUGUCAAAUUUAGCCUGUGUUGGAAGUAAUGGCUACUUGGCUAGUUAGGGGCAAUAAAUACCCCACCAAUUAACCAACACAUCUAACAUUGCCUCCAUUUAAUAGCCAAAUCAACCCAUAUAGUGUGAGUCUGUGAGAUAAGGAGCCAUUGCAUAGUGAGGGAUUGGAGUCAAAUUUAUAAAGCCCUCAUAGCGCAUGCAAGAGUUAUUAGGGUGCACCCAUUGAUCUCAUCAAUUUUGUUAGAGUCAAGUGAGAGUUUGUGUUUAUUACUCUUGGUGACCAGCAUCACCUAGAUGGUUUAGUGGCGCUCGAUGUGUAGUGAUUGUCUAUAGAGGUUGCAUGUGAUCCAACUCAGGAAGUGUAUAUGGUUGUGAGCGGUUCCACCAUGCUAGAGUGCCAAAGAACAAGCUUGUAGUGAGCACUUGGUCCUUAUGCAGAUCAAGGGUGUGUGACACCCUUGUGUGGGUGCUCCAAUGAGGAUUAGUGGAGAAUAUCGACUACCGUGACAAGAGGAAACACUUGAAAAUCUUUUAAAUCCUUGGAUAAAUUUCCACAAUUAUAUUUCUAAAAAUUUACAUUCUUAGAUUUUUCAUGAUAGCAUAGUAUUGGAAUUUAGGCACAAAUUUUUUGUAUACACAUUAGGCACUCAGGUGAAGUUAUGCUAAUAAAUAUGAUAAGCAUAUGUAUUGUCACGAAGAAAUCAUGAAGAUAAAUAAACAUCUAGUGAAGAAUUCAAAUUAAAAUAGACUUUUUUCUACGCCCCUCCCAUCCCCACCUGAUGGCCUAUUUUGACACAAGAAGGUAUUGGGGAAAAAUCCUCAUCCAGCCCUCCGCCCCUCCCCACCUAUUCGCUCUCUUUCUCAGUCCCUCCUAUGACUGUGACUAAAAGCUAGUGAUCGACAACACUGCAAGCCAACAACUUCUUCCUCUUUGGAAUCAAACACCAAAAAGGAAGAUAUUAAAAGCACUAGGGAUGGUCAGUUUUUGUGACCCUACAAAAUUUUCUUCCUUCCAUAUGAAAUCCCCCUUUAUUAUAAGAAUUUGUUCACGAAAAAUUGACUCUUGCAAUAUAUAGACUAAGUUGGCCCUAUAUUUAUGCAUACAUAUGAUGAAUAGCAAACCAUAUGCAUAACAGAGGAAUUAAUUGAAAGCAUGUGGAAGUUUAACCUAUAUAAUGUACAAAUAAAUCAUGUAAGAGAUACCAAAUGAUCUGAAAAUAAUUUGCAUGAUAUUAAAGUUGAUACUAGUAUGUAUGAUACCAAUUGUUGUAGAAAUCUUGAAAUAUGAAACAUGUUGCUUCUCCAAGAACUCUAAUUUCAUUUCAAUGCGAGUAAUACACAUGGUAGGCUUGAAAUAUGUGCUAGUUUUAAAGAUACCAACUUUUAGAGUGACCUCAACCUAAAAGUGUGCAUACAAGUUUUAAAUACUUGUCGGAGACAUGCACUUAGACUUUUAUCAACAAAUUACCACUUGAAGGAUAUUAUCACUUGAAUUUGGUAAUAUAUAUAUUUUAAACUAAGGCACCUUUUUGUCUCCUAGUAAAUCCUAUGGAAUAAAUAAACUACCGUUGUACAACUAUCUCUAUCACAAAGAGUUAUACAACCUAGGUUAUGAAUCUAUCAACUAAGCUAGGAAGGUAAAGCACACAACAAAGGCUAAACAAUAUAAAUGCAGAAGAUUAAGUGCAAUUGAGAUAAAACUCCCAUUAUUGCCUCUGGUAUUUUUACCAAGAUAUUGAUAAGCACACAAGCUUCACUCUAAUCCUUGUUAGAUCCCUUGCAAGGAUGCCCAUACGAGACUGUAAAAGAAAACAAAAAUUAAAAGCUUCGUAAGAGCAGCUUGUCUACCAAUUUCACCAUGGCUGCUAAUUUAAAAUUUAACUUAAAAAUAAUUUAUCCUUUUUAUGACAAUGAAUUAUUAUGGUGAUCGAUCGAGAACACAUAUUUAGGAUUAAAGAUUCUCUAUGAAGGAGGACCUCUACUCUAAACGCAUCGUCUAUUUUCAAUCGGGUAACUCCAUGGAUAGCCUCGUCUUUUUCUAUGCGCAACUAGUGCGCCAUUGUAGUCUCUCUUGGAUGCUCUUUGCCAUCUUCACUAUCGUGUUUUUGGCCAAAUCAUCAUGGGCCUUGUUUCAUUCAUGCACUUUGAUUGAUCUAAGUAUUGAUGUUUAUUUCCUAAUAAUAAAGUAUCUUGCCUUUUAGUUCAAUGCAAUAACACUUUUGUUUUAAUAAGGAUGAAGGAGGAAGUACUCGCUGUGGAUAGGACAGUGGCAAAUUCAAGAACAACUUGUAGGGUUUUUAAAUAAAGAGGUCAUAUCUAAAUAAGGAGAGUUUCAUCUUGGUGGACAAACGCUUCAACACACGGCCGAUGAACAAGAUUCAUAUUAAGAUCAUAGUGUGGAGACAGUAGUUAGAAAACUUCAUAGACAUUUAUGUAGAUAUCCAUUUGUUUAUAUAUAUAUAUAUAUAUAUGAAUCAACACAUGCAUAUGUGUCUAUGUUCAUUAUAUAUAUAUAGUUUAUGUAUUUGAAGCCCUAGGCUUUCACUAACUAAAGAAAGCCCUAGUCUAAUGAUACCUCUCGUCGAACCACACCACCCCAAUUCUUUCCCAUUGAACCGCAACCCGGCUACCUUCCGGUUCAAUCGAUACCCGUUCCCGAGAACCCUAUACCAUGUCGCGCACCACCUUUACUCGUUCCAUUAUUCGUGGUCCCAUCUGCUCCCCAGUCUUUCCAACUGGAACUCCUCGAUCCACGGUCACGGCAGCGAUUGGACUCUCGCCCUCUCCCCAGCCGUAGUCCAUGGCAGCAGUGGCAGCAUGCCCGAAAGCGCCUCCCUAAGAAGGGCCUCCCCAAUAGUUACAGGAAGUGCCUCCCCAAGAAGGGAAGCAGUGGCGGCAUGCCCGACGAUGAUGGGCUCGAUGACUUAGGGUUGGAGGCAAGCGCAUGCCAGCUCGAUGACUUUGGGUAUAUUGGGAGCCCAGGGCUUCUAAUAGUUACCGGAAGCCCUAGCCACCCAAUGGUCCGUGCCCAACAACUAGGUACGUGCAGCCGGGCGCGUCCCGCUGGCAUGCACCGGUCAAACCUUCCCACGCGCGUCAGUCAAACCUUCCGGUCUCCUGCGUGGGACAUAAGCCAUAAAUUAAUUGUGGUUCUGUGUUUUUUUGCAAAUAGCGUAAAUAGUUUACAUAAAUAGUUCAUAGAGAUAGCAUAAAAACCUCGCCCAGACACUUAGUUCAUAGAGAUAGCAUAAAAACCUUGCCCAGACACUGGACCACGUCCAUAUGUGCACGCGCAUGCAUGCAGAUCAUAUUUUUAUGGUAGAUCCAAAAAUUAUGGUAGGUCAUGGGAGUUUCCAUUGCAUCUGCACAAAUUUUGGAUGACAUUUUCGUUUCCACUGCAUGCGCGCAAAAAUUGAUGGCUCCAUAAAUAUAGGUGUCGGGUACCGUAAUUAGGGGUACCCCCAACACUCCUAAACACGGCGGGUAACCACCAUCAGCACAAACCGCAAAGAUUGAUGGGCACGGUUUAGGUCAAGGCCUCGUCUACCAAGGGACGCGAUCUCGCCUCAUCCGAGCCCGGCCUCGGGCGGGAAGAGUAGUCCUAGACGAAUUCACGCCUCGCCCGAGGGCCUCCUCAAGCGACGGGCGCACCCUCGACUCGCCCGAAGCCCAGCUCGGGCAGGCUUCGUUGUGAAGCAACCUUGGCCAAAUCGCCUCACCAACCGACCGUAUCGCAGGUGCAUUCAAUGCAAGGAUCGCCUGACACCUUAUCCUGACACACGUGCCUCAGUCGGCAAGGUCGAAGUGACCGCCAGUCACUUCGCCCUUUCGCUGACCGACCUGACAGGAAAACAGCGCCGCUCGCCCCGCUCCGACUGCUGUGCCACCCACCAGGGUGAGGCUGACAACAGCUGAGUUCAGCCUCGGGCGCAACAGGAAAUUCCGCCUCGCCCGACCUUAGGCCUCGGCCUCGGAAGGAGGUCUCCGCCUCGCCGGACCCCAGUGCUCGGCCUCAACCUCGGCCUCGGAAGGUGGUCUCCGCCUCGCCCGACCCCAGGGCUCGGCCUCAACCUCGGCCUCGGGAGGAAUCGCGUCCUCGCCCGACCUCGGCCUCGGCCUCAGGAGGAGUCUCCGCCUCGCCCGACCUUGGGCUCGGACUGACCGCACCACAGGGGAUACAUCAUUACCCUACCCCUAGCUAGCUCAGGCUAUGGGGGAACAAGACCGGCGUCCCAUCUGACUCGCCCCGGUAACAAGUAAUGAUACUCCCCGCGUGCGUCCAUGACGACGGUGGUUCUCAGCCCCCUACGGAAGCAAGGAGACGUCAGCAAGAUCCCAGCAGCACCGACAGCUGUGCUUCUACAGGGCUCAGGCACUCCUCGAACGGCCAUGAUACCGCGUACACAGGGCUCUAGCACCUCUCCAACAGCCACGUUGGCAUGUACACAGGGCUCAUGCACCUCUCUGCCAGACACGUUAGCGCAUAGCUACACCCCCCAUUGUACACCUAGACCCUCUCCUUGCAUCUAUAAAAGGGAGGUCCAGGGCCUUCAUGCGAGAGGGUCGCGUGGAGGGACGAGCUGACGAACAACCUCACUCUCUCACUCUCUCUCGCGAACGCUUGUAACCCCUACUACGAGCACCCCCCUGGUGCGAGAUAACACGAGCCGCGCUUUCCCCUUGUGUUCCAUCUUGCGCCAACCCAUCUGGGCUGGGACACGCAGCAACAAAUUUACUCGUUGGUCCAGGGACCCCCCAGGGUCGAAACGCCGACAGUUGGCGCGCCAGGUAGGGGCCUGCUGCGUGUUAAUGAACAACUUCCCAUUGAGUUCCAGAUGGGUAGUCUUCAGCAACCUCUUCGGCCCGGGGCGGUGCUCCGCUUCGGGAGUCUUGAGUUCAUGUCCCUCGACGGCAGCUACGACAUGGUACUCCUCCCCCCGCAGCGCGACAGCGACAACGACGGUCGUCAGCUCGCCCGGCGGCGGCGAACUCGACGACGUCUUCCCCCCGUGGCAGAAGAGCAGCAUCCGGGUUUGUCCCGCCACCCUCCUCGCCACAGGAGGAGGAGACGGGGCAACUGUGAACAGGCUGGAGGCGGCACCUCGUCGGCUGUUGAACGAGUUGACGACGCUGGCACCCCAGCGGGGGACAUGUCGGGCAUUGUCCUCACGCCUGAGACAACGACGAGUGUCGUUUCCCCGCAACAUGCCAACCCCAAGCGGACAGAUGACGCCAGCACACUCGCGAAGGCUUGCUGGGCGUUAGCCUCGUACCUGAGAUAACGGUGCAGUCCGUUCCCGAUGUGACUUCGUCACCGUCCAUCGAUCAAGAGGUACCGUUCGUUUUCCACCUUGUGCCUUUUAGAUUCAGCUUCGAUCCACCAAGCGACCCCGCUUCGGUGAGCGCUUUUGUAAAGGCAUAUCCUAACCUUCCGGGGUACCAUAUGUGGUCAUCUUGGGACCGACUGACGGCCGUCUCAACCUACGGGCCCCCGGGUUCUGAGGAAGAGGACGGUCCCGACUCCGGUUGGGAUUUCUCCGGGCUCAGUAAUCCCAGUACCAUGCGAGACUUCAUGACCGCAUGUGACUACUGCUUCUCCGAUUGCUCUGAUGAUGGCCACAGCCUUGACGACGAGGGUUGUGGCCCAAGUCGUGAAUGUUUCCACGUCGAUCUAGGGGGUCACGACGAAGGCAACCACCUCGGUAUGUCGAAGGAUGACGAUCCCCCUAGGCCUGCUUCUCGCGUUGACAUCCCGCGGGAGCUAGCUAUGGUUCCAGUCCCUGCGGGGGGUCAGGACACACAGCUCGAGCAAAUCCGCGAGAUGCAGUCCAAGCUCGACGAGGAAGCAGGGCAACUUGUGCAGCUCCGGCAGAACAUCGAGCAGGAGUGGGCAGGCCGAGCACUCGCCGGAGAAGCGCGUCAUCAGGCCCGGGACGUCCAUCGCCGUAUCGUUGACGAUGCCAGGGCAAGGCUGCCCCCGGCCUCGAGCGGGGUCGGCCAGAAUCUGGCUGCAGCGGCAAUACUACUCCGAGCAAUGCCGGAGCCAUCCACCACCAAGGGGCGGCGUAUCCAGGGAGAACUCAAGAAUCUCCUGGAGGAUGCCGCGGUCCGACGGGCCGAAAGCUCUGCCUCCCGAGGGCAAGAGUGCCCCCCGGAGCAUCGCGCAACGACUUCCCGACUCAUGCGGGAGGCCUCGGUCCACACCGGGCGCACGCAGGACACGAUGCUUGCAGCCCCAAAUCGCCUCGGGAACAAGCAUCACCGCCUCGACCGUCGAGCCCGCCUCAAUGAGAAGGUGCCCCGAGGCUACCACCCCAGGCGUGGGGGACGCUACGACAGCGAGGAGGAUCGAAGCCCCUUGCCCGAACCACCAGGUCCGCAAGCCUUCAGUCGGGCCAUAUGAUGGGCGUCGUUCCCAGCUCGGUUCCAGGCCCCGACUACCAUCACCAAGUACUCGGGGGAAACAAGGCCGGAGUUGUGGCUUGUGGAAUACCGGCUGGCCUGCCAGCUGGGAGGAACGGACGAUGACAACCUCAUCAUCCGCAACCUCCCACUAUUCCUCUCCGACGCUGCCCGGGCCUGGCUGGAGCAUCUGCAUCCUGCGCAGAUCUCCAACUGGGACGACCUAGUCAAGGCCUUCACUGGAAACUUCCAGGGCACGUACGUGCGCCCUGGGAACUCUUGGGAUCUCCAAAGCUUCCGCCAGCAGCCAUGGGAAUCCCUGCGAGAGUACAUCCGGCGGUUUUCGAAGCAGCGCACCGAGCUGCCCAACAUCACCGACUUGGAUGUCAUCAGGGCUUUCCUCGCCGGCACCACUUGCCGCGACCUGGUGAGCAAACUGGGCCGCAAGACUCCCACCUAGGCGAGCGAGUUGAUGGACAUCGCCACCAAGUUCGCCUCUGGUCAGGAGGCGGUCGAAGCCAUCUUCCGAAAGGAUGAGCAGCCUCAGGGACGCCAACAGGAAGACAUCCCCGAGGCGUCCGCCCAGCGUGGCACGAAGAAGAAGGCGAAAAAGAAGUCACAAGCGAAGCGCGACGCCGCCGACGCAGAUCCUGUCACUGCCGCCAAGCACAGGAACCCUUGGAAACCUCCUGGAGGGGCCAACCUGUUCGACAAGAUGCUCAAGGAAUCGUGCCCCUAUCACCAGGGCCACGUCAAGCACACCCUUGAGAAAUGCGUCAUGCUUCGGCGCUACUUCCAUAAAGUCGGAUCCCCGGUGGGAGAUGGCAAAGGCCAAGACAACGACAAGAAGGAGGAUGACAAGGCAGAGGAGUUCCUCGAGGUCCACGGCUGUUUCAAGAUCUACGGUGGGCGAGUGGCGAAUGCCUCGGCUCGGCAACGCAAGCAGGAGCGCCGGGAGGUCUGCUCGGUAAAGGUGGCGGCACCAGUCUACCUAUACUGGUCCGACAAGCCCAUCACCUUCGACCAAGGCAACAACCCCGACUGCGUGCCGAGCCCAGGAAAGUACCCGCUCGUCGUCGACCCCGUCAUCGGCAAUGCCAGGCUCACCAAGGUCCUCAUGGACGGAGGCAACAGCCUCAACAUCAUCUACGCCGAGACCCUCGGGCUCUUGAAGAUCGAUCUGUCCACGAUCCGGGCCGGUGCGGCGCCCUUUCACGGGAUCAUCCCCGGGAAGCGCGUUCUGCCCCUUGGACAACUCGAUCCGCCCGUCUACUUCGGAACUCCCUCCAAAUUCCAAAAGGAAACCCUCACGUUCGAGGUGGUCGGGUUCCGAGGAACCUACCACGCGGUGCUGGGGAGACCGUGCUACGCCAAGUUCAUGGCCGUCCCCAACUACACCUACCUCAAGCUCAAGAUGCCAGGCCCCAACGGGGUCAUCACCGUCAGAUCCACGUACCGACACGCGUACGAAUGUGGCGUGGAGUGCGUGGAGUACACUGAGGCCCUCGCCGAGUCUGAGGCCCUCAUCGCCGACCUAGAGUGCCUCUCUAAGGAGGUGCCUGAUGCGAAGCGCCACGCCGGCAACUUCGAACCAGCUGAGGUGGUUAAGUCCAUCCCUCUCGACCCCAGCAACGACGCCGUCAAGAAGGUUCGGAUCGGCUCCGAGCUCGACCCCAAAUAGGAAGCACUGCUCAUCGACUUUCUCCGCGCAAAUACCGAAAUUUUUGCAGUGGAGCUCAUGGGCGAAACACUCUCAUUCGUCCCUCGGAAGGCCAUAAAAUCCCAAGUCUUGGCGGAUUUCCUGGCGGAAUGGGUCGACACCCAAUUGCCAACAGCUCCGAUCGAACCGGAACUUUGGACCAUGUACUUCGAUGGGUCGCUGAUGAAAACAGGAGCAGGUGUUGGCCUGCUCUUCAUCGCACCCCUCGGGAAACAUCUCCGCUACAUGUUGCGCCUCCAUUUCUCGGCGUCAAACAACGUGGUCGAGUACGAGGCUCUAGUUAACGGGUUGCGCAUCGCCAUCGAGCUAGGGGUUCGGCGCCUCGACGCUCGUGGUGACUCACAGCUUGUCACUGACCAAGUCAUGAAGAACUCCCACUGUCGCGACCGGAAGAUGGAGGCCUACUGUGACGAAGUUCGGUGCCUGGAAGACAAGUUCUACGGGCUUGAGCUCAACCAUAUCGCUCGACGGUACAACGAGACUUCGGUGAGUUGGCUAAAAUAGCCUUGGGGCGGACAACGGUUCCCCCAGACGUCUUCUCCAGAGAAAUACAUCAACCCUCCAUCAAGAUCGACGACACGCCCGAGCCCGAGGAGGCCUCGGCCCAGCCCGAGGUAUCCUCGGCCGCCGAGGGUGAGGCCCUGCGCGUCAAGAGAGAGCGGAAUAGGGUCACGCCUAACCCGAACUGGCAGGCCCCGUACCUAGAAUAUCUCCUCCGAGGAGAGCUACCCCUCGACAAGGCCAAAGCUCAGCGACUGGCGCGUUGCGCCAAGUCGUUCGUCUUACUGGGUGACGAAAAGGAGCUCUACCACCGCAGCCCCUUAGGCAUUCUCCAACGACACAUAUCCGUCGCCGAAGGACAGGAGCUAUUGCAAGAAAUACACUCGGGGGCUUGCGGUCACCAUGUAGCACCUCGGGCCCUCGUGGGGAACGCCUUCCGACAAGGCUUCUACUGGCCGAUCGCGGUGGCCGACGCCACUAGGAUUGUACGCUCCUGCCAAGGGUGUCAAUUCUACGCGAGACAGACGCACCUGCCGCUCAGGCCCUGCAGACAAUACCCAUCACCUGGUUGUUUGCUGUGUGGGGUCUGGACCUCGUCGGUCCCUUGCAGAAGGCACCCGGGGGCUUCUCGCGCCUGCUGGUCGCCAUCGAUAAAUUCUCCAAGUGGAUCGAGGUCCGACCCCUAACCAGCAUCAGGUCCGAGCAGGCGGUGGCGUUCUUCACAAACAUCAUCCAUCGCUUUGGGGUCCUAAACUCCAUCAUCACCGAUAAUGGCACGCAGUUCACUGGGAAGAAGUUCCUGGACUUCUGCGAGGACCACCACAUCCGUGUGGACUGGGUCGCCGUAGCUCACCCCAUGACGAAUGGGCAGGUGGAGCGUGCCAACGGUAUGAUUUUGCAGGGACUUAAACCGAGGAUCUACAACGACCUCAACAAGUUUGGCAAGCAAUGGAUGAAAGAGCUACCCUCGGUGGUCUGGAGUCUGAGGACGACGCCAAGCCGAGCCAUGGGUUUCUCGCCGUUCUUUCUAGUCUAUGGGGCCGAGGCUAUCUUACCCACAGACUUAGAAUACGGUUCCCUGAGGACAAAGGCGUACGACGACCGAAGCAACCAGGCUAGCCGAGAAGACUCACUGGACCAGCUCGAAGAUGCUCGGGACGUGGCCUUACUACACUCGGCGCGGUAUCAGCAGUCUCUGCGACGCUACCACGCCCGAGGGGUUCGGACCCGAGGCUUCCAGGUGGGAGACUUGGUACUUCGGCUGUGGCAGGACGCCCGAGGACGCCACAAGCUUACUCCUCCCUAGGAAGGACCGUUCAUCAUCGCCAAGAUUUUGAAGCCCGGAACAUACAAGCUGGCCAACGAUCAAGGCGAGGUCUACAUCAACGCUUGGAACAUCCAACAGCUACGUCGCUUCUACCCUUCAGAUGUUUCAAGUCGUUCAUAUACCUCGUUUUCUCUUUACAUACAUAAAUAAAGUCUAACCGUCAAGGAAGGGUCAGCCAUGCCUCGGCAAAGCCUGACCCUCCCUCGGGGGCUAGAAGGGGGGAACCCCCUCUACGUCAAAAUUUUCCUCGAAAAAGUUUUCUACCAAAACGACUUUCGUGCUUUCCGACUAUAUCGAUAAUAGAAUCCUGCAAGCGAGUAAGAGCGCACGUAAGCGGCAAGGCCGACCGAGCCGAGGGACUCCUACGCCUCCGGGAUACGGAUACCUCACUCGUCACCUUCCGCGAGAAGUAACUCUUGCUCGGAUAAGCGAUUCUGCUACCGAUGAACAAGUUCGGAUACUCGAAACGAGAGGAAAGGAAACGCAUCUUUAUAACACGACAAUAAGAUGUUUAGGCAUCGGCGGCCGUGAAAAACACAUGCAUACUCCAAACAAACUGCUCCGGCAGAAUCAGACAUCGCCCAGGGGAGGAGCGGCACCCUCGGGGUCGUCUCCACCCUCGGCGUCAUCUCCACCCUCCGCAAGAUCUGGCCCGGCCCCAGACGGCGACGCGAGCGGAAGGAUCUCCACCACGAAGGAGGACGCCAGCACCGUGCUUGGGCCCGCGACGGCUGCGUCAAGCCUCUGAACCUCGGCUAAGGCAGCCUCAUCUUCGUCGGGUAGACAGUACCCCUCGCUGACCCACUCUAGAUCCACGUCGUAGUGGAAAGCAAGCACGGCGAAGGCCCGCCUAACGCCAUGAUGCAGCGCCCCGCGGAGUCUGCUGCGCACAUGGCCGCCCAAGGCCCACAGGCGACUAUGGGGGGAGCUACCCGAGGGGACGUCAUCGAGGCCAAAGGCCUGGCAAAAGGCCGAGAUAGCCUCGGACAUGGCCACGCGGUUGGCCUCCUUCUGCUCAGCCGCCUGGGCAAGCGCCUUGACGGACUCGUUAACAGCCGUCUCGAACUCUGCAGACAGCCGAACAAAAUUCUUCAGACACGAGUUGAAGAAUGAAGCUGAAUCGAAGUCACAAAGCAGCCGAAACGUACCUUCAGCCCGGGCACGCUGCUCCAAGGCUACGGCUUGGGCGGACUGAGCAGACCCGACGACCACGGCCAGGUCCUCCGCAAGGGUUCCGGCCCGAGCAGACACCUCGGCCAGCUAACCUCCAAGGGCCUCAGCCCGGCCUACAGCCUCGGCAGCCUAGCUCCGAGAUUGGUCCCGCUUGCCAAUGACCUGGCCAAGCUCUAGCUGUCGCUGCUGCGCCUCCGUCCGUGCCGACGCCGCCUCUGCCUAUGCCACCGCUGCCUCUGCCUCCAGCUCAUCACAGAGCAGCCGAAGGUCCGCCACCUCAGUGAUCCGUUGGGCGAGGCGUUCAUUAGCCUCGGCAAGCGCGGCCCUCUGGGACUGCAGCGAACCCCAGACACCGCUCUCGCGGCGCAUGAACAGCGACUUGGCGGUGCUCACAUCCGCUAGUUCCUGAGGAAGGGAAGCAGGGUGUUACAAAGAAUGCCUUGGUCAUGCAAGGGGUAUGCCUAAAAUCCUUACCUGGAGGACCCUGGGAACGUCCCUGGAAAGGAUCUCCAUGGUCGACCGAAGCGACCCCAUCGCCGCCUCGGCAUACUCACGAAGCUCAUCCCGAGACUGCUCCUCCCGCUCAUCGUUGAGGACGAAGAGGGGUUUUGAGGCGCCGCGGCUCCAGAACUGGAGCGCCUACCCACACCACUCAUUGGGGUUGCGCCGCGCGGGAAUAAGGUCCCCACUCCCCAAGACGGGUCGCGGUUCUGCGCGCCCCUCCUCCAAGGCGUCGGGACCCCCUGCAGUCGAUGCAUCGGGUACCAUCGCUGUCGACGUACUGGGCCUCCCCUCGGCUAAGGAGGCGGGCCUCCGAUCACCGACCUCGGCAACGGUGGCCGCCCUCUCCUUAUGGCCGAGACUGGGGAGGUCGCGGACAACCUCGAGUAGCGACACCUCAGCCAUCCCAACAUCAGCGGCGACGGGCGGAUCCACGGGCAAAUCAGCGACGACCUCGGCAGGAGCUGAUGUCGGUGCCGGCAACACGUCAGGUGGGCUCGGGGCCGCGGCCACGUCAGGAGCCUCCCCUGGCACGAUGGCCGCCCCAAUGGAGGGGUCAGCCUAGGAGGCUUGCCCCAUGGCAACUCGUGCCGCCUGGGCCCCCCGCUCGAGGGCAUCUUGUGCAGAGGCCUGCCAACCGGCAUGGCGUGCUGCGGCACUGGCUGCAGAAGCCGGCACUGUCUUAAGGGCCUUCCAGGGGGCCAGGCCAGCUGAGCCCUGCCUCCGUUUGCUGAAAGGAAGAGAUAAAGCAGGAUCAGGGCACACGGAGAAAGAGCCAAAACAGAGGUAUCCUCAGAUACUUACCCGCUCCGGACCAAGGGCAAUCGUGCCUGCGGGGAGGCCCCUCGGGCCUUGGUCCCCGCAGGCGCUGCCGAGGAUUGCCCCGCUGCCGGCUUCAGCGCCGUUCCCGCCUCGGGCGCCCGAGGCACCGAAGGGACAGCCUGCCUAGGCGUCGUCACGACGGCCCGAGGAUCAGCCUCCUGUAUAGCCGGCGCGAGCGCUUGCUCUUGGGGAGCGAGCGGAUCGACCUGACUCCCCGGAGUCACCUCAAUUACCUCGGCCAAGGGGUUAAGUACCCCCCCCGGCCUGCCUCCGCUCCUCGGACUGGGACCUUGAUGUUCCGGCCCUAGAUGCUGAUGGCGCCAGCCCACUUGGUUGGCUCGGCGACCCCUGGCCCAGCCUCAGAUCUGAGCUGAGGCCAAGACGGACCGCCAUGUCGUCGCCCUCGUCAUCAUCAUCGUCAUCAUCGUCAGGCGUCUCCGGUGAUGGCUCCCUCGGGAGCCCGUCCCUCUCCUGCCUCUGACGACACUUCUCCAAGGCUGCCCGAGCCCGCAUCCGCUCGCGGGCCCGGGCCUUUUCCGUGUCCUUCUUCUCCUUUUUCUUCUCCGCAGCAGUCCUCCGCGCGGCUCGGUCCACCGCGUCCUCCGGGACCGGUGGCAAGGAGGGUUUGUAAAACCUCAAACCCUAAGGACGGACAAAAGCCCCAACAGUAAGAAUCAAAGGCGACUCGGUGCAAAACAGAAGAAGGAUCGGGCACUUACCAGAGAAACGUACCCGUGGUCGGGGCGCAUCGCGGGCUGGGUAAGGGCACCGACAUCCAGCCUCCCUACCGUACCCACUACCCGCCUGCGGAGGUCGUCGACGGGGAGGGAAGCCGAGUAGGUCUGCAAGCCCUCCAAAUCGACCCCUGGCUUCAUCUCCGAAAGCGGCAACCGCCGCUCCGCCAAAGGAAGCACCCUCCGGCGAUGGGUAGCGGCGACGACCCCCGCGGUGGUAAGACCCCCAUCUCGUAACCUCUGCAAGGCCUCCAGAAGAGGCUGGAGCUUCUCCUGUUUCUCGCGCAUGGCCCCCCAGCGCCAGUUGCUGCCGGCGGCGGUCACCACUCGUUGAGAAAACGACGGGAGCCUUCCGUCGUCGUUCCGGAGGUAAAACCACCGGCGCUGCCACCCCUUGUUCGAAGACACAAGGAUGGCGGGGAUGUACUGCUACGCGCGCCCCUGCCUCAACUGGAGGGUGCAGCCACCGGCCCGCACCGCCAUGCGGACCUUCUUUUCCCCCGUCGUCAAGGCGAAGAGCUCCGCGGAGAAGAGAUGGGUCCACAGAUCCCAGUGGGGGUCAAUCCCCAAAAAACCCUCGCAAACCGCCGCGAAGAUGGCCGCUUGCGCAAUGGAGUUGGGGUUGAAAUUGUGCAGCUCCACCCCGUAGUAGUGCAGGAGCGCCCACAUGAAACGGCUCGCUGGCACUCCGAACCCCCGCUCGUGGAAGGAGACGAAACUAACCACAUACCCCGGUGACGGAGUCGGGUCAACCUCGCUCGCAGGGGCCAUCCACUCUGGCUGCGGGUCACCGGAGAGGGGACAGAGCAAACCAUCGGCGACGAGGGCCUCUAGACCGUCCACCGUGACGGUGGAGAAAGGCCACAGAUCGCGCGGCGGAACAACGAUCAUCUUGUCAGCCAUCACUGAACGAAGGGGGUGGAGGCGGAGGGAACAAGGUGCGCAAUUUUCUUUUCUCUGGCUAUUCUCUUAGGUUGCGGAAACCAAAGCAGAAGGCAAGCGCAAACGGCAGAGUAAAGAACCACCGCCGGCCCCUCUUCCGGGUAUAUAGAGGCCCGAGCGAGAUCCAUUCAAAACUUCACCCGAACCCGCCGCGAAAUUCAAACUCGAAGGCGAAACGCCCAUUCCUCGAACGACUCGCGCACACGCAACGGCCGCCCCGCGAAUCGCCCGUCCCGUCGCAUUAACUCCUCGGUAGGGCAAGCGACACCUUUGGCAGGCGUAGCGGGCAUCGUUUCACCUCCGCCAUGAUGACCGUGUCAAAAAAGGUGCGCCACACCGUCUAAAUUCAUAUCCUUUUCCUCUUCCCCUUUUCUCUCUCUUGCUACAGGGACCGGGAAAGGGGAUAUUUUGAAAGGGAUCCUUCUCCACGAAGGAAGUGGGCCCCGAGCCCUCCUACUGAUCAGGGGUUCGAAGGCUGGCCCCUCAGAAGGGUUCGACAGCCGCGCCCAGAGCACUCGGGCUUCAAGCCCAUUACUGAUCAGGGGUUCGAAGGCUGGACCCUCGGAAGGGUUCGGCAGCCGCCCCAGAGCACUCGGGCUCCGCGCCCACUACUGAUCAGGGGUUCGAAGGCUAGCCCUCGAAAGGGUUCGAUAGCCGCCCCAGAGCACGAGGGAUGACUCUGGGUACGUCUGUUACAUGGCCGAGGCUCGGGCUACGCUCCCGAGGUACCCUAGGACAUUUCCGAGACCAGCAGGAGCGAUUUUGUAACGGAAUCCCAUCAGAGGGAGGCAUCGAGCCCUCGGACCCUAUCGAACGGGUCCGGGUCCGGCAAAUCACCUGCAGGUACUUUUGGAGCGCGCCUCUGGCCACUAGCCGACCCUUAUCGAACGGGGCACGGGCGUCCACUCGGAUCACCCGUUAGCAACUCACUGGAGACACCAUGUUUGGCGCCCUCCGAGGGCAACAUGGCGCUUUCCCCCCUUCCUCCUUGCGGAAAGGCGACGAAGGGCCAUAUAAUAAAAGUCGAGACAGUCCUUGAUCGUCCUCUCGCUCCGUGCAGAGGCACGGGGGCUGCUCUCGCAAAACCGGCUACGGCCAAACCGUUGACAGCGUCAACAAGCUAGCCUAAAAACUCGGAACCUGACCAUGCACCCGGGCUAUGGCCAGGCCGCAUGAGGGAACAACCAGGCCGGCCGAGGCGUCACGAAAGGCAUUAAGACCUCAGAGGAGUCAAAGUGCGCUCGCGCGCACCCAUCAGAACAAAGUGUAACCAAGAAAGGCCGGUCCCCUCGCAAAAAAGUGCGGCAAAGCCUCCAAGCGAGUACCAACACUCCCUUUGAGGCUCAGGGGCUACUGUCGGGUACCGUGAUUAGGGGUACCUCCAACACUCCUAAACACGGCUGGUAACCACCAUCAGCACAAACCGCAAAAGACUGAUGGGCGCGGUUCAGGUCAAGGCCUCGUCUACCAAGGGACGCGAUCUCGCCUCGUUUGAGCCCGGCCUCGGGCGGGAACAGUAGUCUUGGACGAAUUCACGCCUCGCCCGAGGGCCUCCUCAAGCGACGGGCGCACCCUCGACUCGCCCGAAGCCCAGAUUCGUCUCGAUAUGGAUUAUAUGAGUUCACUGUUAUGUCGUUUGGAUUAACUAAUGCACCAGCUUAUUUUAUAAAUUUGAUGAAUAAGGUGUUUAUGGAGUAUUUGGACAGAUUCAUUGUGGUAUUCAUCGACGAUAUUCUUAUCUAUUCCAAGAGUGAUAGUGAUCAUGAGGAACAUCUGAGAUUGGUGCUACAGAAGCUACGAGAUAGUCAACUCUACGCUAAGUUUAGCAAGUGUGAGUUUUGGAUUGGCGAGGUGCAAUUUCUUGGUCAUAUUAUUUCUAAUGGAGGAAUUUCAGUGAAUCCUGCUAAGGUUAAGGAGAUAAUGGAGUGGAGAGUACCCACUACAGUUACUGAGAUUCGGAGUUUCUUGGGACUUACGGGAUAUUAUCGGAGAUUUAUCGAAGGAUUUUCUAAGAUUGCUAAGCCUAUGACCUCGCUUCUAGAGAAGGGAAGAGAAUUUAAGUGGGAUGAGAAAUGCCAAGACAGCUUUGAUCAAUUGAAGAAGGAGAUUAUGUGUACCUCAAGGUGUCACCACUUCGUGGAAUGAGGAGAUUCAAAGUUAAGGGCAAAUUGUCCCCUCGCUAUAUUGGACCAUUCUUGAUCUUUAGGCGAGUUGGGGAGAUGGCAUACCAACUCGAGUUACCUGACAGUCUAUCGGAUGUGCAUAACAUGUUCCACGUAUCUCAACUGAAGAAGUGUCUCCGUGUUCCUGAGGAACAGUUACCGAUGGAAGAGCUCAGUGUUCAGGGUGACUUGACUUACACGGAGUACCCGAUCAAGAUUUUGGAUACUUUGACUCGAGUUACAAGGAAUAAGGUGAUAAAGAUGUGUAAAGUGCAAUGGAGUCACCAUGGAGAAGAUGAAGCUACGUGGGAGAGAGAAGAAGAGCUUCGCAUAGAUUUUCCUCACCCUUUUCCCUAGAUCUUCUUAAAUCUCGAGGACGAGAUUAUUUUUAAGGGGGGUAGGAUUUGUAAUACUCAUCUUGUAAAAGAAAUAAAAGGAGAAUUUCUUUUCCUUUAUAUGUGAUUUUUUUAUCAUCACAUGUGAACACUCCAUUUGAAAAUAAAUGAUAUAUAUACCACUAAAUUAUGCAUCAUGCUGGUCUUGCUGGAUAUUGUUUUUAUGUGUGCAUUUUGUGAUAAGGAAUAUAGUAAAAAGUCCAAAGGGGAAUUCAAACCUUAAAAGAGAUUCUAAAAUUUAGGAAGAGGAACAAACAAAUAUCAUGUGAAAUAAAAAUAUAAAUAAUAUAUAUAAAUAUUUAUGCCCAAGCUAGAGCUUGUCAUGACAUAACAUAAUCUGUGGAUAAAAUUUGCCACAAAACAUUUGGAUUUGAAUUUGGGGCUAAUUUGAAUGGGAAAAUGAAAGGAAAAUCAGAUUAGAAAAAAAGAAAACAGGAACUGCUGCGCCUGGGCUCAAGUUCUUCAUUUUGGCCCAGUAACCAAAACACACUGCGCGGCCCAUCAUUGGAGACCGGCGCCGACCAGUGGGCCCGUGCUGUCACUCACUGAGUCGCGCGGCCCCAACUCCACCCCGCGGCGCCGACAUCCCGUCCCACGCUGUCAGCCUCCCAGAUGUCCCUCGCUCUCGUGUCGGUUGCUGCCUCUGCCGGUGGGCCCAAGUGGAUACCCUAAUAGUGUUCGCCAUAGGCUCUGCAUGGUUCGAGCAAUAGGGAUUUAGGUCCGGCGUCGUCCUUCUCGGGUUUGCCUCACGGCGGUGAGUGCGCCGCCGCAUGGGUGACCGGCGUGCGGUGUUUGGGUAGCGCGAGAGGAAGACGACCGUGGAACGUGCGAUCUGCAUCGGACGGUUCAGGUUAGUCUGCAAGGCGAGUGUGUCCGGGCCGUUUAUCUACUGAUCGGCGGUCUGGAUCAACUCGUGCAUAACGUUUCGCUAGGGCAUGAUCUGGACGUAGGUUUUAGAUCUUACGGUCAGCAGCGCGUACCGGUUCGCGGUGUUAUGCGAUCUAAUUUGGGCUGCACAUGUGUGAUCGGGCAGCCGAAGUCAACCCUUACCCCUUCGUCUCUGUAAAUUUGCUAAAGAGCCCCUCUGAAAUUAUAGAUUAGAACUCGCAGUUUAACUAGCAGUGUUCCCUGUGUCUUAGAAAGAUUACCCCGAACCCCCUGGGUUUCUCUGGAUUUGAGGCCCAGUCCCGAGAGCAUAUAAAAAUAGGUAAAUAAAUACAGAAAUUGAUUUUUAAUAUAAAAAGAAUUCCUAGAACUUGUUUAUUCCAUAUAAACUUUAAAUGAACUCCAAAUUAAUCCAUUCCAGUCUCUAAAAUUUUGUAAUAUUAUUGUCUAUCACAUAGAGGCUCUAUUUUGUCAUGAAAACAGUAGGAAAAAUAAUUUCUCAUUUAAUUCUAUUUCAAGCGCAUAAAACCUUUGGAAAUUCAUAUCUUAAGAUCUAUAACUCCAAAAAUUAUGAUUCCUAUUCCUAGGAUUUUAUUUUAAUGUGUAGAUUAUUAUUAUUCAGUUUGUAUUAUGUUUGGUGUAAUGUUAAUUUUGUCUAUACCAUGUUUGAUUGUAUUGCUACGACUAGCGCGAGGAUCCAAAGAAUCACCCUGGUAACUGGAAACUCAAGUGCCAGGCAAGUUGUGCCCUUGACCACUUUUUACCCAAUAAUGUUCUUUAAUAUCAUUUAUUCAUGCAUAGGUUAAUUUUGAUGGGACCCAAUAGGUUACCCUAGACUGUUUAUCUCAUUACCUUGUUUACCCCUGAAUCACUUGGGUAGUUUGCUAUUGCUUUACAUGGAUUUGGGAUAAUUAUUUAUCAUGUCUAUGUUCCAGUUAUUUUGUUAUUCUAUUUAUGUUCAUGUCAAGAUCAUUAAUGUUAAUUGGAACAUAGAGCUUAACUUGAGAAACACGUGCCACCACAAGGGUUUAUGGACACCCUUGGCUGAUUAAUUAGGAAAGCUAGUGGAGGACUACCUUACCCGAAAGGGGCAAGGGCAGUAGGGGAGUGGUCAGUGUAGGGAGGUCCUUGGUUGAUUUUGCUGCGAUGGCGGUCAGGUAAGAACCCUGCAUUGGAGCUUCCUAUAAACUGUAGCGGGUUUUCUGAAGCUAGUGGAACUUUGUAAAGGCCUCGUAGUGUUACCCUGCCUCGCCUCCUCGGUAGAGGUGUAUGGGAAGUCACGAUCCCUUGGCAGAUGGGUAACAUGACUUGUGGGUAAAGGGUACCACCUCUACAGAGUGUAAAACUGGUAUACUAGCCGAGCUCACGGUCAUGAGCAGCUCAGGACUCUCUGAUGAUUAAUUUAUGGAACUUAAAUUCAAUUUGUCAUAUGCAUUGCAUCGCAGGUGAUGUUGUUACUUUGGUUCUACUACUUAAUUGGGUUGGUAUUUACUUAUACUUAGUAAUUGCUAAUAAAAUUUUGACCAACUUUAAAAACAAUGCUCAGCUCUAACCAUCCUCUUUGGUAAGCCUUACACUUCACGUGAGCUCCCACCUUUGGCGAGUUCAUGCACAUUAUUCCCCACAACUUGUUGCGCGAUGAACGUAUGUGAGCUCACUCUUGCUGUCUCACACCCACCCACAGGUCAAGAACAGGUACCGCAGGAUGAGGCGCAUGGAGGAUGCUGCGAUGAGUUCGUGAGAGAUCUAGGUCGUCGUCUCCCAGUCAACUUUGGGUUGCUGGACCGUUGUCUCCUUAUAAUGUAAUUAUUUAUUUAUUUUGUACAAAACUCCUAUUAUAUAGUAAAGAUGUGACAUUCGAUCCUGUGCCAUGAUUCAUCAUAAGUGUGAGACUUGGUCCCAGCACACCUGAUGAUUAUGUUCGCGCCCGGGUCUUGGUGCCCCGAAAUCCGGGUGUGACACCUACGGAAGCAAGGAGACGUCAGCAAGAUCCCAGCAGCACCGACAGCUGUGCUUCUACAGGGCUCAGGCACUCCUCCGACGUCCACGAUACCGCGUACACAGGGCUCUAGCACCUCUCCGACAACCACGUUGGCAUGUACACAGGGCUCAGGCACCUCUCUGCUAGACACGUUAGCGCAUAGCUACACCCCUCAUUGUACACCUGGACCCUCUCCUUGCAUCUAUAAAAGGGAGGUCCAAGGCCUUCAUGCGAGAGGGUCGCGCGGAGGGACGAGCUGACGAUUAGGCUCACUCUCUCUCUCUCUCUCGCGAACGCUUAUAACCCGUACUACGAGCACACCCCCCUGGUGCGAGAUAACAUGAGACGCGCUUUCCCCUUGUGUUCCAUCUUGCGCCAACCCAUCUGGGCUGGGACACGCAGCGACAAAUUUACUCGUCGGUCCAAGGACCCCCCGGGGUCGAAACGCCGACAAUAGGAUUGCUCCAACACUUAUGUAGCUAGGCUCGUUAGAACCAGCUUAUGAUAUAUACUGAUAGUAAUUAUGCUACAGAGUGUAUGUAUUUAUUCAAAUCGGUACAUUGCGUAAAAAAAUGUUUGCUGCUGCAGGUGCACAAAUUUAGGAUGACAUUGAUGUGCGAUGAAAGGACAUGGAUUGGCAUACAUGGAAACAAAAAAUCUUAUUCAAAUGCUUUAUUUCCUCCAUAAAUAUAGGAUCGCUCAAACAACCAUACAGUUAGUUUCGUUAGAACCAAUUUAUGAUAUAUGUUGAUAGUAAUUAUGCUACACGGUGUAGGUUUUUAUGCAAUACGGUACAUGCGUAAAGAUCUGGCAUGUAGUUCACUGGUGGACGGAUCUCCAUGUUCGAGCGUAAAAUUCUUUGGUUUUGAGCGUAAACACAUGCAGUUAUAAGCGUAACUAUUGAUCCAACAUUCAUGUGGUUCCUUUUUUAAUGUAGAUCCGAAAAUUAUGACAACCACUAGGCAGGUGUUUGUGGUUCCUAUUUUUAUGCAGAUCCAAAAAUUAUGGCAGGUCGUGGGAGUUUCCAUUGUAUGCGCACAAAUUUUGAAUAUCAUUUUUGUUCCCACAGCAUACACGCAAAAAUUGAAUGGAUGGUAUCGAGCAAAGCAUAAAUCAUUAUAAAAAAUUGUAUAAAUACAUACAUCGUACAUCAUAAUUAAUAAAAAAACAAUCCUAGUAUAGACUAAACCAAUAGUCGCAUACAUAAACAAAGGACCGGAGGAGGUCGUCGCCGAAUGAUGCCGUCGAGACCACUAGAUUAGAGGAGUUGGUCACCAAAGAACGCCCGAACCAUCGUAUAGAUUACUGACCCUCGCAGCCUGCGCCUCAAGCGACGUCGUCACCAUCGGAGCCACCCGCGGCUCACAUGGCCGACGUUGCAGGAGACACCACGCCUUGCGCGACCGCCGGAGGGGGCUGUCACACCUAGUUUUGGAAGGCAAACCGAAUGUGAACCAGGAUCAAAAACUCACAUACAUAGUGAUUACAUAAUUGGACACCACCACACAUUGCUCAAAGUAAAUAGUAGAAAGGUACUUUAUUACAUCAAGAUGCCCAAGACAUCCAUAGAUUCAUUACUUAACAUAGUCAUUAACAUUAUCAAAGUGCGGAAAAGCGAACGUAGCAGAUAAGGCCUUCACAGGUAGCUAACUGGGGUUUGCCACUAACAUAACUAGAACUCGUCGUAGUCCUAGAACUCCUCAAAGUCCUCCAUGUUGUCUGCAUCUCCUCUUGAGCACUGAAUACAGUGGGGACAACCUAGGGUGGGGUGGUUUUUAAAGCAAGGGUGGGUACACAUCAAUGUACUUAGCAAAUGUCCCGUUUGGCUAAAGUGGGUUGGCUAUAUGUGGAGUUAAGGUUAAGAAGUUGCUUUUAGUUGGUUAAAUAUUUAUUACUAAUUGUAUAGCCAAGUUUUAGUAAUAAACACAAUUAUUACCCAAAAGUACUCCCUUUAAGAGGAAAUACCAGAGAUCAGAAUCAUAAUUAUCAAUAAUAAUCAUCAUCAUAAAAGUAUCCAAUGUUCUUCUAAUCAAAGAGGAUCCCAAGGCUGCUCUUAACCGUGAGCACGACUGAUAUACCAGUUUCUAACACUCUGCAGAGGUUGCACACUUUACCCACGAGUCGUGAUCCCUUUCCAGCCUAGGUUGUACAAACCUGAUCUUCACUACCGAGGUGAAUGGCCAGGGAUACACUACGUAGUCAUUACAAAGAUUCCCUAGAGGUCAUAAUCGCCCGUUAGGUUUCUCCAGUUUGAUAAACAUAGUACUUCUCUCCACAGGAAGGGUGACUAACAAAACCAAAUCGAAAGAACAUCGGCAGAGCAAGUACUAUGCCCGGACCCCAUUGAUGGCCCUACGGCGAAGCCAACUACACCUCAAGUUCCUCUAAUUAAUCAACUAAGGGCAUCCCAUUACACCCUCAUGGUUGCACUGUUAUCCCGGGUGGUCACUCAACAAACAAGUCCUUAUGGAGAGGUACUCAUGAAACAACCUGAGUCCCCUAAAGUAUCACAAGAUCAUCAUCGGGAUAACAUCAUCGUAUCAUAAAUAUUCACAUCAUGUUCGUUAAUUAAGCUAAAGCAAUAGCAUAAAGCUAACCAUGAUAACCCAAAAGGUAAACAAGGGUAAGGUAAAUACAGACUAAUCGAUCCUUAGGUUUCAAUAAAGUAAUGCAGGAUGGUGAAUUAUAAAGUAAGUAGGACAUAAUGGGUCAGAGGACACUUGCCUUCACCAGGUUGUUGCUCAGGAAGAUCUUCGGCAAUACACUCAGGAACCACAGGUUGCUCAUUGUCUAAACAAAACGAUCAUGCAUUCAAUACAUUUGGAUAAAGACAAAUGAACAAUACACCAAACAUAUACAACCAAGUGAGCACAAAUUUGACAGAGCAGUGUGAACACAAAAGGACAACUUAGGUGCUAGGGUGAACUGGCACACUUAGAGGUUUGUGAUUCCCUAAAUAUUAUCUAUCUCCAUGGAUUACAUAAUUUAAUUCCACUAAUUUUUAGUAAGACACAAAAUUAUAACAGGGAUAAAUUCGUACAUUACAUAUUAUUAAUCUCACAAGGUUAAACAUCUAAUUACCAUCAGAAUUUUUCUUUUUAUUUUCUUAUUUAAUAAACAAACAAUUACAUAUACUAACCUAUAGUCUAGGCAUAAAAUUAACAUGUGUAGACCAUGAGUGAUCAUAAUUUAUUGGACAGACAAUAAUCCUAUGAACAUUUUGCAAUUUGAAUCACUCAAUUUGGAGUUCAUAUGCAAAAGAUAUGAAAUAAACAAAAUUUGAAGUUUAAAAUACAAAAUUAGGCCUAAAUCUAUGAUUAACUAAAAGGUCAGGGGUCUGUCUGCAAGAUUACAGGGGCCUACGAGCAAAAACCAGGGACGGCGGGUUGUUUUCCAGAAAACCGAGGGUUUCUUUAGCAAAGCGUCUGUGCGAAGGGGUAUCACAUCUGCUCAGCCGUCAGAUCCACGAUCAACGGCCGAGAUUAGAUUCGAGCGUGAGCAUGCGCGGCGAGCGCUGACAGGUAGGCUGGGGGGGUUGAGGCACUGACACGCGGGGCCCACGGGUCAGUAGUAUGCUGAUGGCGCGGGGCGCGCUGGCCACUGGAUCGCAGAUCGACGGCUCUAGCUCCACGAACCGUGCGAACCGUUAUCCGCGAAUCCGGGUCGUUAGAUCAGGACUGGGCGGUUACGAUGGGCACUAGGGGGCUUCACCUUCUCCGACCCUGCCAGGGGCGGCACCAUACGCGGACUCAGCGGCUCAAUCACCGGCGGCGAGGCAGACUGGGGCUCCUAGGGCACUAGGGUUUGGUAUGGGUAGCCAGAGAGGUUGGGGAGGAUUCGGCGAAUCCUAUGGUAGGGUCGAAGUUGCAAGAAUGAGGCUGAGGCGACCAGACAACGGAGGGGAAGUCCUCGGCGGAUCGGGGGUUACUCCAGCGAGCAAUUGCGCGCAACGAAGGGCAAACCAGGGGAAAUUAGAGGCAGGGUUAGAUCAGUUACCUUGAGAGAAGGCUCAGGGACUCACGAACGGCGUCCAGGGCACGGUGUGGGCACGGGUCGACGGCGGCGGAGCUGUGGCGGGGCAGAGAGAGGAUAGGUGAGCAUGGACCGAGAGAAACUGAGAGGGAGGGAGCGAACCGAGGGGUGUCCCGGGUCGCGGGUGACGAGGCAAAGCUCACCGAGGCAACAGACACGGCAAGGGCUCGAUGGAGACCGUAGAACGGGCACGAGACCACGGCGAACGGUGGCGAAGCUUCCUAGGUGCGCGCGCAGAGCGAGAGAGAGGGCGAGGGUGCUCGGCUGGGGGCACAACUGAGCGGGGGAGGGCGAGUGAGUGUGGGCGGGCUCUAGAAAAGGCUCAGGCAUGUGGGGGCGUGGCCGGGAAACGAGCGGUCGUGGGCGCGUCCACGGCGGAGAGCGCGGGCGGCUCGGGGGGGACGGUUCCGACAGGCGGGGCCCACAGGAUAGAGAGAGAGCGUGAAAGCGAACGAGCUUCAGUGCUGACGAGCAGGGCCUGCGGGACAGAGAGAGCAAGCGUGCGUGCGCAGAGAGAACUGGCGCCGACAGGUCGACCCCACCGGGCAGCGAGAGGGAGAGAGGCAAGAGAGAGCGGGCACGGGAUGACGCUGACAGGCGGGGACCGCUUGUCAGGGAGGGGCGGACGCACGGGCGCGGGAUGACUGGGCCGAGAUGGGCUUGCUAGGCUAGAAUUGGUUUCCCUUUUUCCUGGAAUUUCUAAUUUCUUUUCUUUUUAUUUUCUCUAUGGAUUUCAAAUCAAAUUCAAACCCCAAACCAAAUUCAAAUAAUUUCAAACAUGUGCAUCAAACAAAAGAAUAAUUUAGGCUCAACACGAUGCAACAAUUCAUGACUCACAUAGUUUUGAAAAAGUAAAUAAUUAAUCCCUCACUUACUUAACCUAAUUCUACUCAAAAGGAAAAGAGAGAGAGAGAGUCUAGAGGGAGAGACAAGAGGUAACACCUGAAUUUGGUAGGCAUUUAGAGAAGAAAUUUUAUACCCCCAAAUUUAGGGUGUUACAGGGGCCAUCACUGUCGUGCGCAUGUGGGGAGCCCUCACACGAGCCUGUGUCCGCUCGCUCCUCCCCGGGCCGAGGUCGGCACUCGCUCCUCCGGGGCCACCAUCGCCGCUGCUCGCGCCUCGGGUAACCACCACCGGCGAGUGAGGUGGCGCGUGUAGCUCGCUUGCGCCUCCCGGGGCCACGGCCGGUGCCUGCGCCUCAUGGGAUGUCGGCACCGCUCACGCCUCUCGGGCCGUCAUCGCUGCUCGUUCUCGGGGAACUAUUGUCGUCGCUCGUGCGUCAGGAUGGUGGCGUAAAAAAAUGAACUCUAGAGGUCUAGAACUCCUUUUAUAGACGUUGGGACCUCGUUGGGUUGGACCAUGUUGCCUAGUGUCUAGCAUGUGCUUCCUCUAGUUAUUGAAAACCCAUAUAUAUUGACUUUAGUACCAAUUUGUGAUUACAACCGGUGCUAAAGUUUCAACUUUAGUACGGCUCUAGCCAAGAACCGAUACUAAUAGGGGACCUUUAGUAACGGUUCUAAGCACGAAUCGGUACUCGAAUACUAUCUUUAGUAUACUAUCUUUAGUACCAGUCAGUGCAACCGGUAAAGUUGCGGGCUUUUAGUGUCAGAUACGGGCUUUUAGUUUAACUUUCAAUCAAUACAAGAAAAAAAAUUCAGUUACUGUUCUCAAAAGCAAUAUUUUUUUGUUAGUACAAAUUAGAUUAAAAUUAAGGUGAAAUCAGAUGCUCUCAGUGUUGUACAGACUACAUACACAGUGCUGGUCGCGGGAAAAAAGAGCUUCUAUAUUUGUGAUCGGGUGUCAUCACUAAAUAUAUACAUGCAUGUUGUGCAAAUAACACCAUUUUACUUGAUAAACUUGUUUGAUUUCACAGCCUUGAAGAGAACGAAAAACACUCUACAUAAUGUUGAUGUAUGGAACGUAUAAACAAACAUAACACGCGCGGGGUAAUUAGAUAAUUAAACUUGACUAGUAGUGUGGGUUGACGGCGAAGCACUUCUCCCUGAUCUCUCCCUCGUCGCCGGUGAGCACCUGGACCUUGCCCAUCUUAACCAUGGCCUUGGCGAACUUGACCUGCCAUGCCUUCUCGACUGCGGCGUUGAAGUGGACCAUUCCGGCCGUCCAGGGAUUGUCGAGCAGUGUGUUGUCAGAGAUGAACAGGACCUUGUGCGCCAGCACGUUCUUGUAGUACUGGUUGUCGAAGGUCGCCGGCGUGACUGGGUCAAGCGGCACCACCGUGGGGUCCAUCUGGUCGUCGCUGGACGGCCAAGGGCACCGCGCCUUGAGGUGCCCGGCGUAGGCGGGGUCGAGGGACGGGUCUGUCUGCCCCAGCUGCCCGCUGAAGUUGUAGAGCCGCUGCGUGAAGGAGGAGCAGUGGGAGCGGCCGAUGGUGUGCGCGCCGGAGAGCGUGACCAUGUCGUCGGCGUUGAGCCCCUUGCGCUUGAAGCUCUCGAUGAGCUCGUCGACCUCGUCAGUCGGGGCGGGGACAUUGUUGUCGAGCACCUCCUCCUCUUUGGACACGCGGCCGUCACGGCGGCCCGACGGGACCUUGUAGUCCAGGCCGCCGGCGAGGUAGGUGCUGUCACGGGCCGCGAACGCGACGAUGUCGGCGCAGGAGACGGUGCGCGGGCAGUGCGCCUCGAGGACGGCCUUGGCGUCGUCGAUGACGUCGAAGCCGCGCAUGCUGGGGUUGUUGGCCACGGAGUCCUUCUCGGCCAGGUUGCCCGGCGUGGAGUUGAUGAGGAUGGAGCCGUCGCAGCCCCGGACGAAGCAGUCGUGGAAGUGCAUCCGGAUGAGCCCCGCGCCGACGCCGGGCUCACGGGCGAUGCCGCGGCGGACGGCGUUGCGCACGAUGUCCUCGGCCUGUGCGCAUGAGUGCUCGUAGAAACCGACCUCAAGUUUCCCCGGCGAGGCGUGUACGUGUGCCGCUGAUGAGGAGACGACGACGAGCGCCGACAAGGCAAAUGCCAACCAAGUGGACCUCAUGACGAAGGUGAACAAUUGGUCGAUCAGAUGCUGCUCUCUCACUCUGAGCUUUCUAUCUGCUUUAGCUCUGGAGCUCGAUCGAGAUGGUGACGAGGAGAGGAGAUGAAGAGCUGCUUUAGAUGUUACUCUCUAUUUAUACAAUGUGCUUGGAACCGUGUUUGUGAACCGGGUCAACGAAUAAUAAGCAAGACCCAAUAUAAUCCCUGCAUCGCGAUAACAAUCGAGUAACAACUGCUACAAGAACCGUGUCAGUGGACUUUGUAGUACAUAUAUGUCAGCAUGUACCUAAUAAUGUUGCCCAGACUUGGUUGUAGCAGCAAAUGAUAAGCAAAGCAGACAGUUGUUUAGAGAUCGAAAUUGAUGUUAGUUGCUUGAUCAGAGAAUUCAUGAAGACACAUACAGUUAAUUUUUUUAUUGACAUGGUCGAUGCCCCUAUCGCAUGACCAGGACAAAUCCAAGCCUUGUCCAAAAUGGAUUGUGUCAUCACUAAGGCAAGGUCCAACCGGAGCCUACGACGUGGCCUCAGUGCCUAGGAUGGAAAUGAGCAUAAACCAGAACAUAACAGAUCAAUAGCCAUCAAAACACAGGACAUAGGGUAUUAUCGCACAACGAGAGCAUGAACCACCCUAACCUAUAUAAAUUCACCCUCGGGAAAUCCUUGACAAAGGGUUUUCAAGCCCAACCUACAAAAGCAUUUGAGCAACAGGAGUUUACUAAGAAAGGCAAGUGUUUUCUUGAUCUCGUUCUUUUACCUAAUAAUAUUUAUUAUUAUGUCCUCACCUAUGCAUUGCAGUUAGGUUAACCCGACGGGACCUAAUAGGUUACCUAACUUUGUUUUCCCUGUGCCUUGUGUACCCCUAAGUUACUAAUUAUUGGGUAGACAUUCUUGUGCUCAACUUCGUUUUUGGGAAUAAUGAUACUUAUGAAUCAUGGUCAUAUUUUAUUAUGAUUUAUUAUUGUUGGUUUAUUUAUUAUGCAGGAUAAGGCCACCGUGUUUAAUUGGAACAUGGAGAACCAACCGAGAAAACAAUGUGACCACAAUUACUUUUAUGGCUCUGGUCUUAGCUAAUUGAUUACGAAAGUUGGUGUGUAAGAACCUUCCUCGACAUGGGCAAGCAGGGAGGAGUUGCUCAAGUAUAGGGAGGUUCUUAGGUUGAUCUGCUUUGUGGAAGCUUUUCAGACGAGGGGUUCAUAUACCACCUCUAUUUGAAACCGUAGCGGGUUUUCUCAUGCUAGUGGAAAUUUACAAAGUCCUUGUAGUGAAUCCUGCCUCACCUCCAAAGAAGAGAUUUAUGUGAGUAUUGAGCCCUUGGCAAAUGGGUAACAUGACUAUGGGUUAAGAUGUGCAACCUCUGCAAAGUGUAAAACUAAUAUAUCAGUCGUGCUCACGGUCACAAGCGGCUCGGACCCUCACAUGAUUAAAUUAUAAAAUUAAAAUAAAUCAGACGUGCAUUUUAUUAGGGGUGAAAAUAGGUCGGGUACAUCUAUCGGGUACUGAAUACUUUACUAUUUUCAUAUGGGGACUUAAGGUUAUCUUCAUGUGGGGACUUAAAGUUAUCUUUUUAUAGACUAUUUGUUGUUCUUGGUAACUUAUUUGUAAUUUUUGGCCGACAUUAAAAUAUUUUAUGAAUUUAAUUGUAUUAUGAUGAUUUUCUAUAAAAAAGGAAUUAAUAUUACACAAAUAGCCUAAAAAUUAUGAAAUUUUGUGGAGGCCCAACAUAUGUUCAUAUAUGAUCAUAAAAAAUAUUUGGUAUAUAAAAUUCAUAAGAUGUCAACGUUUCUUCCAUUUCAGUUACAAUUAUUGCGUGAGUUACACGUGAAAUCAUUCUUGAAAGGGAAAUAGGGUUAACCAUUUUCUAUAAUCAAUUUUGGUGGUUGAUGUAUAACAUAAAUCAUAUGGACUAACUAGUUUGUAUAGAUAUCAUUCAUCACAGGUGCAUAAGGUUCAACACAAACCAAGAAACAAAUACAGUUAAGGACUUAAUCAAAAAUUGGAGCAAGACUUAGAGUGUGCUGAUUUUUGGCGCACCGGACAGUGUCCGCCAAGCCAGCCAUCAUCCAAAAUAGCCACUCUCGGGUUUCUGUUGGGCAUGCUCCACUACAAUUCACCGGACUGUCUGGUGCACCAGCGGAUUAACGACUCCCUGCGCGCCAACGAUCGUUUCGUCAGAUGAACAGUGAUGAACAGUGUCACGAUAGAAGUCAGAGUGCAGAAGUCAGAGGUCACCGGACUGUCCGGUGCAGCAAGACGACAAGGCGCUCCAACGGUCAACUGCUCCAAACCCUAAUGGACACGCUGACGUGGCGCGCACCGGACAGUGAACAGUGACUGUCCAGUGCGCGCACCGGACUGUCCGGUGCAUCCGUCGCCAGCAGACUUCACCAAUGGCUAGGAAGUGAUUGAGGGCUAUAAAUACCCCCCAACCACCUCAUUCAAAGCCAUCUCUGCCUUGUUGUUGAAUUCCCUACCAUCCCAGUCUACUGCAUCGGGGGCGACAGCGUAGUGGUCGAAGGUGUAGACUGGGCCCGUCACUCUGGCGUAAUCAACCAGUCCAAGGAAGUGUUCCCUGCAUAGAAGGCCGAGGAUGCCAUUGGGGUUGUGACCAUGACCCCCUGCAUUCUCCACAACCUUCCAAGACCUGUCCAAGUGAUAAAAAAGUAUUAGUUUAUAUUAUGAAUUUGAGCACAUAAUAUGAUCAAGCAGCGAAAACAUCAAGUUACAUGACUCUCCCCAUCCGGCCGAAUCAGCGGCCACCUGUCUUGAAGUAUGGGACGCUGAAGGAGACUCGCGGGACCUUGCAGGUAGACGUUCUUUGAACCUGAGGCGCUAGAACCUGAGGCGUCCUGCUGACCGUUGUCGUCGUCCUGCUACGCCGCGUCAACAGCGGCUGCUCCACCUACUGCUGGACGUCGUCGUCCUGCUGUGCUUCCUCCGCCGUCCUACGAGUGCUCCUCCUCCCCAUCCUUGUCCUCAUCCCACUGCCCACCAUCUUUGUCCAACAAUCUGCAAUUAAGAGUAAGCAAAUAAGCACAUAUAAAAAACAUGUAUUUAGAAACAAGUGCGAAAUAACAAAUAAUAUAGCAUUACAUCGAUUAAAAAUAAUCUUCAUAUGUGUCGGGGUUAGCCAAAUCAUAAGUCAUAUCAUCACUAUCAACCAUUUCAUAGUAAACACCAUCUGAAGGCGCAAGUUCGUCAUUAAUGUCAUUGUCUUCAAGUAUUACUAAGUCAUUCUCAUUUUGGACCUCAUCAUCCUCCUCCUCAAAAACCAUUUCAAUAUCUACUUUCAUUCCGAUAGCUUCGGUUAAGUCUAUCUCAAAUCGCCCUUCUAGCCCAUCUUCUUGGAAGAACUCUCCAUCAUAUGUGUCAGGGUCUAAGUUAUAAUCUUCAUCGUUUGGAACAGGUAAUUUACUGUGCGACGAUGCCUUAUACACAACAUCCCAACCCUUAAGAUGUUCUUUUGUUUAGCACGCAUAUGAGAGAUAAUACACUCGGGUUAGUUGCAUACCCGUCAUGGAACAUCAACAUCUUGAUCCACUGUAGUACUUCCUUCCUUUGGGCCCUGCUGAGGAUGAAAUCGGCCUUAGGCCUUCUCCAUGUCUUUCCACCACUAGGUGGCUUCAUCUCUUGGUUUGGUCUAUCAUAUAACGUUGCCAGAUCCACUCUUGCCUUUAUAUUAUCCUUUGACUUAUCAGGAAUGUCCAUAAUUGUUGCCGAAAGUGCCUCGGUGACAUUCUUUUCAGUGUGCAUCACGUCAAUGUUGUGUGGAAGUAGCAAGUCGUCAUAAUAGGGGAGUGGAGUCAAGCCCGACUUAUGUGUCCACAUAUGCUGCUCACCAUAUCCCACAAAACCACCAUCUGGAUUGGCCACGAGCUCAUCUAUCUAUUGACGAAUUUAGGCACUAGUCAUCAUUGUAGGUGGGUAAUCUGUCACUACGACACCUUUCAUAAAGUUCUUGAUGUCUAGGUGGAAUGGAUGGUCAGGAGGGAGAAAUUGUCGAUGUUUAUCGAACGAUGGAUAUUUGCCACCCUUCUUCAACCAAAUGAACCUAAGAGCUUCCUUGCAAACUGGGCAUGGGAACUUACCAUGAACACACCAGGUGCAGAAUAGCCCAUAAUCCAGUAAGUCAUGCAUGGAGUACUGGUACCAAACAUGCAUUUUGAAGUUUGUCUUCGUUGCUCGGUCAUACGUUUAUACCCCUUCUUCCCAAGCAUGUAUCAAUUCAUCAAUCAAAGGCUCCAUGUACACGCCCAUUUUAUUCCCUGGGUGUUUGGGAAUUAUCCACGACACGAAUAUGUUCUGUUUUUGAAAGCAUACAUCGGGAGUAGAUUGAUUGGGACAACAAACACGGUACAACAUGUGUAUGGGGCAGUGCUCAUUCCAUAAGGAUUGAACCCAUCUGUGGCCAGCGCAACACGUACAUUACGAGCCUCUUCGGCUUUUUCACGGUGAAUAGCAUCAAAAUGUUUUCGUGCUUCACCAUCGAAUGUGUGCACCAUCUUGUCAGGAUUGUAUCGUUUGCCAUUUUUGUGUCAAGUCAUCUGUUUCGCGGAUUCCUCGGUCAUUGUCACACCCGGAUUUAAGGGACAAAACUGGGUGCAUCUCAUACAUGCGCCAAAGAAGACAACAUAUAUAAUAACAGAGUGUAUAAAGAUAAAUGUCACAAUAAUCAGAGUAUUUAUUACAUAGCGGAAGUCUUACAAAAUAAAAGAUAAAUAUAAAAGGAUCUAAAAUCCAUCCUUGGCGCCAGAAAGUGAACUGGGAGAUGCCACCUAGAUCGAAUCGAACUCCUCGAUGUGUGGCUCCACUUGAACCACCUGUUCUUCUCCUGUGGGGGGGUGUGAGACAGCAAGGGUGAGCUCAAACAUGUUCAUCGCUCAACAAGUUGUGGGGAAUAAUGUGCAUGAACUCGCCAAGGUGGGAGCUCAUGAAGUGUAAGGCUGAUCAACAAUAGGGGUUAAAGCUGAGCAUUGCUUUUAAUAAGUUGGUCAAAUUUUAUAGCAAUUACUAAAUGUAAGUAAAUACGAAACCAUAAUAAAUAAUCAAACAAAAUUAAUACAAAUCCCAUGCAAUGCAAAUGACAAAUUGAGUUUAGGUUCCAUAAUUUAAUCAUGCGAGAGUCCUGAGCUGCUCUUGACCGUGAGCUCGGCUAGUAUACCAGUUUUACACUCUGCAGAGGUUGUACCCUUUACCCACAAGUCGUGUUUCCCAUGUCGCCAGGGUUUACAAGGCCCUUAGACACUAUCGAGAUGAAUGGCUAGGGAUCCACUACGAGGCCUUUACAAAGUUCCACUAGCUUCCGGAAACCCGCUACAGUUAUGGGAAGAGCACUUGCAAGAAUCCCCCGUCUAACCGCCAUCGCAGCAAAAUCAACCCGAGAACCUCCUUGCAUGCAACUCCCCUACUGCUUUUGCCCCUUUCAGGUAAGGUAAUCUUCCACUAGAUUUCCUAAUUAGUUAGCCAAGGGGUCCCAUUCCUCCCUUGUGGUGGCACACGUUUCUCAAGUUAAGCUCCAUGUUCCAAUUAACAAUAAUAUAAUGAUCUUAACAUGAACAUAAAUAGCAUAACAGAAUAAUUAGAACAUGGAUAUAAUGAAAUAUUAAUCCCAAAACCAUAUAGAGCAAUAGCAAAACUACCCAAAUGAUUCAGGGAUAAAACAAGGUAAAAAUGAUAACCAGACUAGGGUGACCUAUUGGGUCCCAUCAAAAUUAAACCAUUCAAUAGUGAUAAUAAAGAAUAUUAUUGGGUAACAAAAGUGGAUCAAGGGCACAACUUGCCUGGGACUUGAGAUUCUAGGUACCAACUUGCUCUUCAAGUAACUUGUAACCUCGCUGUUAGUCGUAGCAAUACAAACAAAUAUGGUAUAGACAAAAUUAACAUCACACCAGACAUAAGAACAAAAUAAUAAUCUACGCAAUGCAACGAGGUUGUGGGAACGAGAACUACUAAAGUCGGAGUUACGGUUAAGGAGUUAUGAUUUUAUAGAGGAUUUAUGUGAUUAAAAUAUCAAACUAUAUUAUAAAUUGGUUGGUACAUACCAUAUAAGAUAUUAUUCCAUAAAUAAUUAAUUCAACUUAAAUUUUAAUCAUAACUUGGCUAGAGAUCAUGCUUUAAUCCUAUUAUAAUUAUGGACAUGUUAAAUUUGAUUCAGAAGAGGUAUUCUAGUAGACAUAGGUUAAAUAAUAUCAAACUAUAAAAUUAUGAAACAUGGUAUUAUUAAUACUGUUACUGUGUAGGUAAUAUUUAUAUGAAUCUAAUGCAACUUGAACGAGUCAAUUCAGAGUUAAAAUGGAGGAGUUCUGAAUUUCCUAAGGUUUUAUGUAUUUGAUAUAAGAUUAAUUAGGAAAUAAAUUUUAAAGUGGCUUUCAUGUUAAAACAAUCAGAAUGAAUUAAUUUGGACUAAGUAUGCAUUUUCUAUGCAUUAAACAAAUUCUAGCAUUCAUUUUUCUUUAAAAAUCAUUUUCUAAUUCCUUUUUCUAGAUUUUAUAAUUCUCUGGACUGGGCCUCAAUUACAGGAAAGUCCAGGGGUUAAUGCGCGAAAAGUCCCAAGACACAGAUCUACCCCGCGGUGGAUGGCGGGUUAAAUAACCAAGACUCCGAGGGCUCAUUUGCAUUUAUUCCUGGCCGAAGGGGUAUCGGCCGCUCUCAUACGUCCGAUCAUCCGCGAACGAUCCAGAUUAUAUUUCCUAUAAAGCGAAACCGGUAUGUCAUACGAGCCGUUAGAUGCCAGAUCCACGGCCCACAUGAGCGCACACUCUUUUACCCCCUUUCCCCUUGGAUCAUUAAUCAACAGUCUAGAUUGGUCGGAUCGAAAUGUUACGCUCAAGCGAUCCCAACCGUUCACCAGGGAUGGACGGCGCACACAUCAUCUUCCUCCACUGGUUCCAUCGCAAUUUUCUCCCCAGCCAACCCUUCGUGGUCGAGCGCCAUAGUCAUGGCAGCAUGCUGGUCAGUGCUCGCCAUCCGAGCCCGAAAUACAGCCCGGACGCCACUACUCAAAUCUUACACGGCCACGAUCAAUAGGUAGGAACACUCACCGGGUAAAGUUGUACACCAAGCCGACCUUGACUUCUACUCGCCGAGGGAGCCCACGUCGAGACCCACUUCUCCUCCCACCGAUGACACUGCAAGCUUCAAGGCCUGCCGCCGAUCCCGCAUGCCACUGCCGAGCCCCCAGCGCAGUCGUUUUACGAACGGUCGACGGUGCGGACCGGAGUUCAUAGGCCACCAGGCAAUUCUCUCUCUCUCUCCUGAUUCCUCGAGUGCUCAGAGGUUUCGCAAUGUACUUGGAUGGCCAGGGUGAGGCGGUAGCAACUUCUUAUAUACUGUCGGCAGGGAAAGCCUGCUCUAGCCGCGCAAGCCAGCGGAUCCCAAGCGAAUCACCCAGAAAUUUUGAGUUCGUUGCGCGGUUAGUUGCCAGGGCUUUCGCCAGUAACGAUGAACGCGCGAGUCCGCUGUUAGACCAUGCCGCAGAGAAAGGAUGCCAGUGCUGCAGCUAGCGACCACCCAGGCGAGCCAAGUGUAGAGGAUAGGCUACGUGCGUGACCCCGCGGCAUCCGAUUUCCGUGCUCCACGUUCAAGAAGAUGGUCUGCGCGCCGGGGCUCGGUUUUAUUCCCAAGGAUGUGCCAACCACUCGACCCAGACCCAUGGAGAUCCCCAACCGGAAUCCAGCUGUUUCAGUUAGUGCGGCCCGAUUCAACAGCCGAGUUACGCGGACGCGCAGCCAGCGAGCUUGAUGGGGGUUUGCUCAGAUCCAGUCAUAGGGAAGAAGGAAUGGCUGACAGCACGGUCCCAUUUGUCAGUGUCCGGGAGCGGAACAACGAGCCCGGGCUUCCGGCUGAUGCGCGUGCUGGCGAACGGGUCCGGCCCGUCAGCGAGGGUCGCAAACGUUAGAGCACUGGCAACGUGGGUUCCUCUAUCAGUGACGAGAAAGCCAGCAUGGGCGCGCACGGUGUGUGUCGACCGAGGGGGCCCACUCGUCAGUGACGCCAGGGCGCGCGGGUGAGUUACUUGGGCAGCGCGGUGGGGGAAAAGAUAGGGUUAGUUGGGCCGCAGGUUUAAGGUUUUGGCCCAAAGUCUGUUUUCCUUUUCUUUUUUUCUUUUCUAUUUCAAAUUCCAAAUAUUGAAAUCCACAUCCUAAUUCCCGUUUUGAAUUCAAAUCUCAAAUAUAAUCCAAAUGUGAGUAUAAAUCCUACUAUUAUUAUUAUUUAUCCUCCUUCCUAUUAUUUAAUUAUGGAAGCAAGAAAUGACUUUAUUACAAUUUUUGUUUUAUAUUUUCCAUUUAUCAUUUGAGGUCAAAUUAAAUCUUGAUUCCUUUAUUCCAACAAAAUGCAUCACAACAAAAUCAUUGGCAUGAGGUGCACAUUUCUUUAUUCAUUUAUUUGUUAGUUGAAUAAUUUAAUACCACUAACUGAGUAUGCACAAAGAAAAGAAAGUCAAACAAUUGCUAGAACACUAUCAUAUAGGUAUACUUAUUUAUUUAUCUUAUAUAUAUUUUUUCUCUUAUAUAAAUUUCGGGCUUUACAAAUCCUACCCCCUUAACAGAAAUCUCGUCCUCGAGAUUUGUAAGAAAAGGAAUGCAAAAUGAUUAGUUUGUAAUUUAGCUUUCAGUUUAUAAUUGGUUCAAAAAUCCAGAGUCUCAAUUUUUUUGUCCAUAGUGGUUGAUUAGGAGAGCAUAGGUAUUCAGCCACUUAUUAUGUAGGAUAAAAGCUGGACAGGUUGAAGUAAGAAAGAUUAUGGCAAGGAAAAGACUUUAUCUGGAAUGUUUAAAUCUUGAUUCAUCUCGAGAUUUGCUUUGACUGUUAUAUCCUUCCUUGUCGAUGUUGAGCUUUUUGUCUCCGGUCUUGGUCUCAUUAAUUUGAGGUUAAUGUAUAUCAUCGGGGUUGGGAUAACCAUUGCAGUUACAUAGGGUAGGUGGAGUAAACAGAGUUUUACUUUGCUUUUGGGAUGAUUGGGUUGGACAACCUAUAACAUAGGCUGGGUUGUGGUUUCACGGACAAGUUGGUCUAAGACACCAAUUUUAGGUUUAAAACUCAUUUAUAGGAAUAUGGUUUAGUUAAUACUUGUAACAUAGAUUAGACCAUAUUAGAUUAAGUAGGGUCUAGAUUAGAUUGGAUAUAACUAGAUUAGACUAGUUUAAGUUAGGCAGAUCUACCAGGGUAGAAUAUGUAUUAUUAAUAUAUGCUAGAAUCCUUUGAGAUAGGAUGAAUUAUAUAGUGUAGGUAGGUCAGAAUCUCUGUCGGUUAAAAUAGAGGGGUUAUGCAACCAUCGGAUGGUUAAGGUAGUUGCAUAUGGCCAGGUUGGACUAAGACUCCAAUUUAGGUUAAAACGUAUUUAUAAGAGUAGGAGCUGAUCUUAUUUUACCAAAAAUUAUCUAACAUGUUUGUCCAUUAGGUUAGAUAUGAUCAGAUUAGAUGGGAUCAGAAUUAAAUUGGUAUAAUCAGAUUAGACUAGAUAAGAUCUACUUAUUUUAUUUUGGAAUAGAUCAUGUUUGUUACACUGUUAUGAGAUAAGCAAAGUGAUGGGGAUAAGUAUGCUUAUUAGGACAAGAUGAGUCUCUAAGAAUAAGAUAGAAUCUUUUGAGAUUAGUUAGAUUUAUUAGGCUAAGAUAAAAAUCCUUUCGAGAUGAGAUGAGUUUAUUAAGGUAAUAGAGUAUCUUUUAAGAUAAUAUGGAUCAUUUAAGAUAAGAGAGAGUCUUUUAAGAUGAUAGGGAUCUCUAUGAAAUAUUCAAGUGGGGGUACUUUUAGUUGGUCUAGUUUAUCUCAUAACAAUUUAAGAGGAUAAAAUUUUUUAACAUAAGAUGAUCCUAUUAGGAUAAGGUAGAUUCCCUUAAGUUAAGAGGGAUCCAUUAAAGUAAGAAAGAAUCUUUUAAGGUAAGAAGGAUCCAUUUAAAAUAGAUACACUUUAAUGGAGGAUAAUCUAAGUUGUUUAGUUAUCUCAUGAAUUUUAUUUAUUUAUAUCUAUAUGUAUAUGUAGAUGUAAUUGUGGACAUUACUCCACAAUUAAUCACACUCAAUCAAAGAUCCAAAUCAGACAAGUAUCAUAAGAACAAACACUCAAGCGUAUAGAUACCUAUAAAAAUAGUUUAUUUUUUUGUUCCUAAAAGUAGGUCUCUUAUUCCUAAAGAUCACUUUAGGCACAGGAUUUCAAAGUGUGGAAUCCACAUUUGUCUUUAGAAAGAAAAGGUAAUAAUAAUCAGAGUAAAGCAGAAAUAGAUGAGAAAAGAUUAAGAAAAGUUUAGGAAGGGAUCAGAGUAGCAAAGGUAAGGUUAAUCAGAGUAGAACAGUAGAAGAUGAGAUUGGAUCAAGAAAAGUAUAGAAAGAAUCAGAGUAAGGUAAGUAGGUAAUGGUUGUUUAGUUCUAUCUAGGUUUCGUCCUACAGUCAACAUACCUCUGAUACCACUUCUGUCACACCAGGAUUUAAGGGACAAAACCGGGUGCAUCUCAUACAUGUGUCAAAGAAGACAACAUAUAUAAUAAUAGAGUGUAUAGAGAUAAAUGUCAUAAUAACAUAGCUGAAGUCUUACUAAAUAAAAGAUAAAUAUAAAAGGAUCUAAAAUCCAUCCUCGGCGCCAGAAAGUCAACUAGGAGACGCCACCUAGAUCGAAUCGAACUCCUUGAUGUGUGGCUCCACUUGAACCACAUGUUCUUCUCCUGUGAGGGGGUGUGAGACAGCAAGGGUGAGCUCACACAUGUUCAUCGCUCAACAAGUUGUGGGGAAUAAUGUGCAUGAACUCACCAAAGGUGGGGGCUCAUGAAGUGUAAGGUUGAUCAAUAAUAGGGGUUAAAGCUGAGCAUUGUUUUUAAUAAAUUGGUCAAAUUUAAUUAGCAAUUACUAAAUGUAAGUAAAUACCAAACCAUAAUAAAUAAUAGAACAAAAUUAAUACAAAUCCCAUGCAAUGCAAAUGACAAAUUGAGUUUAGGUUCUAUAAUUUAAUCAUGCGAGAGUCCUGAGCAGCUCUUGACCGUGAGCUCGGCUAGUAUACCAGUUUUACACUCUGGAGAGGUUGUACCCUUUACCCACAAGUCGUGUUUCCCAUGUCGCCAGGGUUUGCAACGCCCUUAAACACUACCGAGGUGAAUGGCUAGGGACCAACUACGAGGCCUUUACAAAGUUCCACUAGCUUCCGAAAAUCCGCUACAGUUUAUGGGAAGAGCACUUGCAAGAAUCCCCCGUCUGACCGCCAUCGCAGCAAAAUCAACCCGAGAACCUCCUUGCAUGCAACUCCCUACUGCCCUUGCCCUUUUGGGGUAAGGUAGUCUUCCACUAGCUUUCCAAAUUAGUUAGCCAAGGGGUCCCAUUCCUCCCUUGUGGUGGCAUGUGUUUCUCAAGUUAAGCUCCAUGUUCCAAUUAAUAAUAAUAUAAUGGUCUUGACAUGAACAUAAAUAACAUAACAGAAUAAUUGGAACAUGGAUAUAAUGAAAUAUUAAUCCCAAAACCAUAUAGAGUAAUAGCAAAACUACCCAAAUAAUUCAGGGGUAAAACAAGGUAAAAAGGAUAACCAGACUAGGGUGACCUAUUUGGUCCCAUCAAAAUUAAACCUAUGCAUUGAAUAGUGAUAAUAAAGAAUAUUAUUGGGUAACAAAAGUGGAUCAAGGGCACAACUUGCCUAGGACUUGAGAUUCCAGGUACCAACUUGCUCUUCAAGUAACUCGUAACCUCGCUGCUAGUCGUAGCAAUACAAACAAACAUGGUAUAGACAAAAUUAAUAUCACACCAGACAUAAGAACAAAAUAAUAAUCUACGCAUCGCAACGAGGUCGUGGGAACGAGAACCACUAAAAUCGGAGUUACGGUUAAGGAGUUAUGAUUUUAUAGAGGAUUUAUGUGAUUAAAAUAUCAAACUAUAUUAUAAACUGGUUGGUACAUACCAUAUAAGAGAUUAUUCCAUAAAUAAUUAAUUCAACUUAAAUUUUAAUCAUAACUUGGCUAGAGAUCAUGCUUUAAUCCUAUUAUAAUUAUGGACAGGUUAAAUUUGAUUCAGAAGAGGUAUUAUAGUAGACAUAGGUUAAAUAAUAUCUAACUAUAAUAUUAUGAAACAUGGUAUGAUCAAUACUGUUACUGUGUAGGUAAUAUUUAUAUGAAUCUAACGCAACUUGAACGAGUCAAUUCGGAGUUAAAAUGGAGGAGUUAUGAAUUUCCUAAGGUUUUAUGUAUUUGAUAUAAGAUUAAUUAGGAAAUAAAUUUUAAAGUGGCUUUCAUGUCAAAAUAGUGGUACUAACUGAUAAACAAUAAUAUUACAAAAUUAUAGGAAUUGGAAUGAAUUAAUUUUGACUAAGUAUGCAUUUUCUAUGCAUUAAAUAAAUUCUAGCAUUCCUUUUUCAUUAAAAAUCAUUUUCUAAUUCCUUUUUCUUGAUUUUAUAAUUCUCUGGACUGGGCCUCAAUGACAGGAAAGUCUAAGGGUUAAUGCGCGAAAAGUCCCAGGACACAAAUCUACCCCGCGGUGGAUGGCGGGUUAAAUAACCAAGACUCCGAGGGCUCAUUUACAUUUAUUCCUGGCCGAAGGGGUAUCGGCCGCUCCCAUACGUCCGAUCAUCCGCGAACGAUCUACAUUAGAUUUCCUAUAGAGCGAACCGGUACGUCAUACGAGCCGUUAGAUGCCAGAUCCACGGCCCACACGAGCGCACACUCUUUUACCCCUUUCCCCUCGGAUCAUUAAUCAACGGUCUAGAUUGGCCGGAUCGAAACGUGACGCUCAAGCGAUCCCAACCGUUCACCAGGGAUGGACAGCGCACACAUCGUCUUCCUCCACUGGUUCCGUCGCUAUUUUCUCCCCAGCCAACCCUCCGCGACCGAGCGCCAUAGCCGCGUCAGCAUGCUGGUCAGUGCUCGCCAUCCGAGCCUGAAAUACAGUCCGAACGCCACUACUCAAAUCCUACACGGCCACGAUCAAUAGGUAGGAACACUCACCCAUGGUAAAGUUGUACACCAAGCAGACCUCGACUUCUGCUCAUCGAGGGACCCCACGUCUAGACCCCAAUCUGGACUGGCACACCCACUUCUCCUCCCACCGAUGACACCACAAGCUUCAAGGCCCGCCGCCGAUCCCGCAUGCCACUGCUGAGCCCCCAGCGCAGUCGUUUUACGAACGGUCGACGACGCAGAUCGGAGUUCACGCGCCACAGGGCGAUUCUCUCUCUCUCCUGAUUCCCUGAGUGCUCAGAGGUUUCGCAAUGUGCUUGGAUGGCUAGGGUGAGGCGGCAGCAACUUCUUAUAUACUGUCCGCAGGGAAAGCCUGCUCCAGCCGCGCAAGCCAGCGGAUCCCGAGCGAAUCGCCCAGAAAUUCGGAGUCCAUUGCGUGGUUAGUUGCUAGGGCUUUCGCCGGUAAAGAUUAACGUGCGAGUCCACUGUUAGACCAUGCCGCAAAGAAAGGAUGCCAGCACAACAGCUAGCGACCACCUAGGCGAGCCAAGCGUAGAGGAUAGGCUACGUGCAUGACCCCACGACGUCCGAUUUCCGCGCUCCGCAUUCAAGAAGAUGGUCUGCGCGCCGGGGCUCGGUUUUAUUCCCAAGGCUGUGCCAACCACUCGUCCCAGACCCACAGAGAUCCCCAACCGGAAUCCGACUGUUUCAGUUAGUGCGGCUCGAUUCAACAGCCGAGUUACGCGGAGCGCGGCCAGCAAGCUCGACAGGGGUUUGCUCAGAUCUAGUCGUAGGGAAGAAGGAACGACUGAUAGCAUGGUCCCAUUUGUCAGUGUCCGGGAGCGGAACAACGAGCCCAGGCUUCUGGCUGAUGCGCAUGCUGGUGAACGGGUCCGGCCCGUUAGUGAGGGUCGCAAAUGUUAGAGCACUGGCAACGUGGGUUCCUCUGUCAGUGACGAGAAAGCCAGCUUGGGCACGCACGGUGUGUGUCGGCCGAGGGGGCCCACUCGUCAGUGAUGCCAGGGCGUGCGGGUGAGUUACUUGGGCUGCGCGGUGGGGGAAAAGAUAGGGUUAGUUGGGCCGCAGGUUUAGGGUUUUGGCCCAAAGUCUGUUUUCCUUUUCUUUUUUUCUUUUCUAUUUCAAAUUCCAAAUAUUCAAAUCCACAUCCUAAUUCCUGUUUUGAAUUCAAAUCUCAAAUAUAAUCCAAAUGUGAGUAUAAAUCCUACUAUUAUUAUUAUUAUUAUUUAUCCUCCUUCCUAUUAUUUAAUUAUGGAAGCAAGAAAUGACUAUUACAAUUUUUGUUUUAUAUUUUCCUUUUAUCAUUUGAGUUCAAAUUAAAUCUUGAUUCCUUUAUUCCAACAAAAUGCAUCACAACAAAAUCAUCGACAUGAGGUGCACAUUUCUUUAUUCAUUUAUUUGUUAGUUGAAUAAUUUAAUACCCCUAAUUGAGUAUGCACAAAGAAAAGAAAGUCAAACAAUAGCCAGAACACUAACAUAUAGGUAUACUUAUUUAUUUAUCUUAUAUAUAUAUUUCUCUUAUACAAAUUUCAGGCUUUACAGUCAUGUAUAGACGCUGGAUCCUCGGUAUAAAUGGAAGGUGGUGUAGGAUUGUCACGGGGAUGUCGAGCUGACUCUUCUGUCCAUCACCAGAGUCUACCUCCAUGAACCUAGAUGAUUUACACUUUAGAUAGUACUUUGCCUUCGUGUUUUCUUUCCUAAAUAGCACAUAGCCCUUCGGACAAGCAUGUAUCUGCUCAUACGUCAUCUUAAAUGCACGAAGGAGUUUUUAUGCCUCGUACAUGCUCUUUGGCAGAACGUGAUCCUCUAGAAGCAGGCUGCCAAUAACUAUCAACAAGCCAUCGAAUGCGUCUUGACUCAUCCUGUACUGCGACUUGAACGCCAUUACACGCCCAAUGGCUUCCAGUUGAGAAACCUUUGUCUGGCCGUGAAGGGCUUCUGUGCCAUGUCAAACAUGUUGUAGAACGCCUUGCGGUUGGCUCUGCUCGUCCUCUGUCACACCCGGGUUCUAGGGGCGACCAAAACCCGGGCAUGCAAAAUAAUCACCAAGUGUGCUGGGACCAAGUCUCACACAUAUGAUGACUCAUGGUAUAGAAACAAAUGUCACAUCUUUACUAUAUAAUAGGAGUUCUGUAUAAAAUAACUAAAUAUUUAUAUAAUAUGCGGGCAACGAUCCAGCAACCAUAGUUGACUAGGAGACGACGACCUAGACCACUCACGAAGUCAUCACAGCAUCCUUCGUGCGCCUCCUUCUGUGGUACCUGUUUUUGGCCUGGGGGGAUGUGAGUACAGCAAGGGUGAGCUUACAUACAUUCAUCAUUCAACAAGUUGUGGGGAAUAAUGUGCAUGAACUCACCAAAGGUGGGAGCUCAUGUGAAGUGUAAGGCUUACCAAAGGAGAUGGUUGAAGCUGAGCAUUGCUUUUAGAGUUGGUCAAAAUUUUAUUAGCAGUUACUAAGUAUAAGUAGAUACCAACCCAAAUAAGUAAGAGAUUAAAAUUGAUAAUAACACCCGUGAUGCAAUGCAUAUGACAAAUUAAGUUUAGUUCCAUAGAUUAAUCAUGCGAGAGUAAUGAGCUGCUCAUGACCGCGAGCACGACUGAUAUACUAGUUUUACACUCUGUAGAGGUUGCGCCCUUACCCACAAGUCGUGUAUCCCGUCUAGCCAGGGUUAGCUAGACCCUUAGACACUUUCGAGGUGAAUGGCUAGAGAUCCACUACGAGGCCUUUACAAAGUUCCACUAGCUUUAGAAAACCCGAUACAAUUUCUAGGAAGGGCAAUAUAGGAAUCCCUCGUCCGAAAAGCCAUCACAGCAUGAUCGACCCGAGAACCUCCCUAUACACAACUCCCCUACUGCCCUGGCCCCUUUCGGGUAAGGUAGUCCUCCACUGGCUUUUAAGCUCCAUGUUCCAAUUAACACAAUGAUCUUGUCAUGAACAACAAUUAAAACAACAGUAUAAUUGGAACAUGAUCAUAAUGUAAUAUUAUUCCCAAAACCAGAUAGAGCAAUAUCAUAACUACCCAAAAGUUUAGUGGUAAACAAGGUGUGAGAUAAACAUUAUUAGGUAAAAAAGUGAUCAAGGGCUCAACUUGCUUGAGACUCGAGAUUCCAGGUACCAGGAUGAUCAUCAGAUGACUCGUGACCUCACUGCUAAUCAUAGCAAUACAAACAAACAUGGUAUAGGCAAAAUUAACAUCACAUCAAACAUAAGAACAAACUGUAUAAUAAUAAUCUACACGUCGUUAUGAGAUCGUAGGUUCGAGAAUCACUAAAUUUGUAGUUAAGAUUAUAGAGAUAUGAUUUUCGGAAGCCCUUUAUGGUUAAAUAAUAGCAACUAUAUUCUAUGUUGAUUAGCAUAAAUCAUAUGAGAAAAGAUAUUAAAUAAAUAAUUAAUUUAACUUUAAUCUAGGUUAUAAUCUUGAUUAGAGAUCUUGUUUUAGUCAAACUAUAAUUAUAGAUAGGUUGACUUGACUAGAUUGAUUAAUCAACUAACACAAGCUAAAUAAAUAUCCAAUUAUAAAAGUAUGUGGACUGAUAAAAAAAUAAUGUUUUUAAGGUGUAAACAAUUUUAUUACGAAGCUAAUGCAAUUUGAACAGAGCAAAAUAGAGUUAAGACGUGAGAGAUAUGCAAUAAAUAAGAUUUUAGGUUUGUUUUUAUAUUUAUUUUUAUGCCAAAACAACUAUCAAGGACAUGAACGUAAAUACCAGGGACUGGUUUGCAAAUUUCAAGGACUUAUUUGUUAUUCCUUCAGCUUUAACAUGGAUGGCGGGCUUAAUACAUAUAGCCUUGAGGGCUCAUAUGCGAAACUCACUGCCGAAGGGGUAACAUUGCGUCAUAGCCAUCAGAUCUAAACCUGAUGGCACAGAUUAAAAGGGAUGAAGGGUUACUCUGGGUUCUAAUAUGCACCGAACAUAAGCGAUCUAAUAGUCACAAUCUACAUUGCCCCACCCCCAAUCUUGGCCGCACAUCCGAGAUCCCACGGUUUGGUUACACACAAGCGACCGCUGACCACUGACCAUUGGAUUGUCAUCCAACGACCCAAGUUCGACCCCGAAGUGGUAUCAUCAACACCCGAUCACAGUCGCAUGAUGGCCAUCCAACGACCACUUCCUUUCCCCAGCUACACCCCUCCAAGUAGCCCGCGCGCGGCGGCGUUGCCUAGCCCAUGGUGAUGGAGUUCGCUGGAGAUGCACGAUCUCCCUCUCUGGUUCCCAAAACCUGGAUCUGAAGGGUGCUAAGCAGAGGGGGCAUUAAUGUGAAUAAGGUGGGGAGAAUUUUACCAUCGGUCGAAGUCACUAAGCUACGGGUCCACAGCACAGCACGGAGCAUCGCCAUUUUCUGAAAAUCAGUGAGGAAUUACGGCGGUGUCCGGCCGUCCACACGUCGGGCAAAUCUACGGCUAGUCUCCACGCACACAGGCGGUACACCUCCUUCACAACUCAAGGUCCGAAUGAUGGUGAUGCUGGUUCUGCAGCACGACGGCAUGCGCACUACUUUCUUUCUCUCCCCGAACUGCUCACUUUGCUCUAUGUAUUGGUGGCGAGGCGCUUGUGUUGAGGUGGUGACCUAGGAUAGCGAGAUGGGAGGAGGGGGUAGCUAAGAGCUCGCCUCAUAUAGCCUCAACUAACAACAACUAGACCCGAUGCUCACGCAGGUUUGUUAGGCGUUUGCCGGCCGUGGAGGAUCGUAACAACUGGGGAAGAUGGAUCUGGGUGAUGGGCCCCACAAGUCAGUCGGGUAAGGGAAUGGCUGGCAGCAAAACGGUAAUCGUGUACAGCUAGUCUCGCUGGCGCGAGGGGCCCAAGCGUUAGCGUAGUGUGUUCGAGGCGCACGCAGGCAGCCAGCCGACACAACGGACCCACCGGUCGGCGACACACCAGUAUCCAUGGGCCGCAGGCGCGAGAAAAACAAAUGAGCCAAGGGGAGGAAGCGAGAGUGGGCCAACCAGGAUAAUUCGGCCCAUGUAGCAGGUGGUUUUCCCUUUUUUUUAUUUUCCUAUUUACUUUCUAUUUUUUAAUUCCAAUUUGAAUCCCAACUCAAAUCAGGUCUUUGGAUUUCAAAAUUUAUUUAAAAUGAACAAACAAAGAAAUUUACCAGCAAGCAAUGCAAGGUUCAUUUUAUUCCUUUGAUUAAUAGUUUAAUUUCGAAUGCAUAGUUCACGCUUCCUAAAAUUCAAAUAACUUUUCUAUUUUUGAAACCACCUAAUCUCCCAUACAAUUUCUGAAAAGAAUAAUUCAUGUAAACUACUUCAUCCUAUAACUUAUGUUUAAAAUGAUUUAAACACAUAACUAAUAUUUUAUUUUCCCCCAUUUAUUUGGUUUUAGGAAAAUAGUUUCAAGGACAAACCAUCUUUAAUCCAAAUAUUUCAUAGAAAUUUUCUAAUCACCACAGCAAGAUUUUGAGGUGUUACAAAUCCUACCCCCCCUUAAAACUAAUCUCGUCCUCGAGAUUAAUUAGAAAAGGGAUAGAAAUAUUGGUUUGUGAUUUUAGCUUUUAAUUUCUAAUUGUUUUGAAACUGAAGAGUCUUUUUUUACAAUCAUUAGUGGGCGAUUGGGAGAGCAUAUGUAGAUCGAGGUAAGGAAGAUUAAGACACAGAAAGCUUCCAUCACGGAUGGUGGAUCUUGACUCAUCUAGUGAUCUAGCUUGGCUUUUGAAGACCUAAGUUGGUGCUCAUCCUUUCUUGACGAGGUCGAUCUAUUUCUUCUCUAGGCUUGGUGUCUCCAUCUGAGCUAGGGACAUAUGGCUAAGAAAGCUGUGAGUAGGAUAGACUACAUUAAGUAGGUCUAGCUCUGGUUUGAUGUUAAGUUGGAAUGGAUGGUUAUCAUAAACAUGUUGGUUAGUUUGUUUGUUCAUGGCCAAGUUGGUCUAAUGCACCAAUUUAGUUUAAAAUGGGUUUAUAGGAGUAAGGUCUAAUUUAUUUCACCACUAUUAACUUGUUAAGUGACUAACAUUCAAUUAGGUCGUAUUUAGAUUUGAUGGGUCUAGAUUAGAUUGGUAUGACUAGAUUAGACUAGAUAAGAUCUAAUUAAUUUCGGUUAGAUCAUAGUUGUUACACUAGGAUGGGAUUAUCAAAGUGGUUAGGACAAGACGAGAUAAGAUAGAUUCUUUUAAGGUGAGAUGAAUCUAUUAAGUUAGAUACAUUUUAAUGGGGAUAAUCUAGGUUGUCUAAUCACCUUAUAAAUUUUUUUAUGCCUACAUGUAUAUGCAGAUGCAAUUGUGGACAUUACUCCACAACCCAUCACACUCAAUCAAAGAAUCGAAUCAAGCAGUUAUCAUAAGGACAAACACUCAAGCAUAUAAAUAUUUAAAUAUUUACAAAAAUAGUUUUGAUUUGGUUCCUAGGAUUAGGUUUUCUAUUCCUAAAGGUCACUUUAGGUACAUGAUCUCAAAGUUUGAAAUCCACCUUUGUCUUUAGAAGUGAAAAGGUAAGAGUAAUUAGAGUAAAGCAACAAUAGUUAAGAAAAGAUUAAGAAAAGUUUAUAAAGAAUCAGAGUAAAGGUAAGUAGAUAAGGUUGUCCAGUUCUAUCUAGGUUACGUCCUACAGUCAACAUUCCUUCGAUACCACUUUUGUCACACUCGGGUUCUAGGGGCGACCAAGACUCGGGCGUGCAAAAUAAUCACCAAGUGUGCUGGGACCAAGUCUCACACAAAUGAUGACUCAUGGUAUACAAAUGAAUGUCACAUCUUUACUAUAUAAUAGGAGUUCUGUACAAAAUAGCUAAAUAAUUACAUCAUAUGCAGGCAACGAUCCAGCAAUCAUAGUUGACUGGGAGACGAUGGCCUAGACCACUCACGAACUUAUCACAGUAUCCUUCAUGUGCCUCCUCUUGCGGUACCUGUUCUUGACCUAGGGGCAUGUGAGUACAGCAAGGGUGAGCUCACAUACGUUCAUCGCUCAACAAGUUGUGGGGAAUAAUGUGCAUAAACUCACCAAAGGUGGGAGCUGAUGUGAAGUGUAGGGCUUACCAAAGGAGUUGGUCAAAAUUUUAUUAGCAGUUACUAAGUAUAAGUAGAUACCAACCCAAAUAAGUAAGAGAUCAAAAUUGAUAAUAACACCCGCGAUUCAAUGCAUAUAACAAAUUAAGUUUAGUUCCAUAGAUUAAUCAUGAGAGAGUCCUGAGCUGCUCAUGACCACGAGCAUGGCUUAUAUACCGGUUUUACACUCUGCAGAGGUUGCGCCCUUUACCCACAAGUCGUGUAUCCCAUCUAGCCAGGGUUAGCUAGACCCUUAGACACUUCCGAGGUGAAUGUCUAGGGAUCCACUAUGAGGCCUUUACAAAGUUCCACUAGCUUCAGAAAACCUGCUAUAGUUUCUAGGAAGGGCAAUAUAGGAAUCCCUCGUCCAAAAAGCCAUCGCAGCAUGAUUGACACGAGGAACUCCCUAUAUGCAACUCCCCUACUGCCCUUGCCCCUUUCGGGUAAUGUAGUCCUCCACUAGCUUUCCUAAUUAGUUAGCCAAGGGCGUCCCAUUCCACCCUUAUGGUAGCACGGAUAUCUCAAGUUAAGCUGCAUGUUCCAAUUAACACAAUGAUCUUGUCAUGAACAAUAAUUAAAACAACAGUAUAAUUGGAAUAUGAUCAUAAUGUAAUAUUAAUCCCAAAACCAGAUAGAACAAUAGCAUAACUACCCAAAAGUUCAGUGGUAAACAAGGUGUGAGAUAAACAAGUCUAGGGAAACCUAUUAGGUCCCAUCAGAUUAACAUGAGCAUAUCAUAGUGAUUAACAGUAACAUUAUUAGGUAAAGAAAAGUGAUGAAGGGCACAACUUGCCUAAGACUCGAGAUUCCAGGUACCAGGAUGAUCUUCAGAUGACUCGUGACCUCACUGCUAAUCGUAGCAAUACAAACAAACAUGGUAUAGGCAAAAUUAACAUCGCACCAAACAUAAGAACAAACUGCAUAAUAACAAUCUACGUGUCGUAACGAGAUCGUAGGUUCGAGAAUAACUAAAUUCGGAGUUACAGUUAAAGAGAUACGAUUUUCGGAAGCUAGCAACUUUAUUCUAUGUUGAUUAGCGUAAAUCAUAUGAGAAAAGAUAUUAAAUAAAUAAUUAAUUCAACUUUAAUCUAGGUUAUAAUCUUGAUUAGAGAUCUUAUUUUAGUCAAACUAUAAUUAUAGAUAGGUUGACUUGAUUAGAUUGAUUAAUAAACUAACACAAGCUAAAUUAAUAUCCAAUUAUAAAAAUAUGCGGACUGAUAAAAAUAAUGUUUUUAAGAUGUAAAAAAUUUUAUUAGGAAACUAUUGCAAUUUGAACGGAGCAAAACGGAGUUAAGACGUGAGAGAUAUGCAAUAAAUAAGAUUUUGGGUUUGUUUUUAUAUUUAUUUUAUGCCAAAAUAGCUAUCAAGGGUAUGAACGUAAAUACCAGGGACUGGUUUGCAAAUUCUGAGGACUUAUUUGUUAUUCCUUCAGCUUUAACAUGGAUGGCGGGUUUAAUACAUAAAACCCUACGAGCUCAUAUGCGAAACUCACUGGCUGAAAGGGUAACAUUGCGUGUCAGCCAUCAGAUCUAAACCUGACGGCACAAAUUAAAAGGGAUGAAGGGUUACUCUGGGUUCUAAUCCGCACCGCACAUAAGCAAUCUAAUAGUCACGAUCUACAUUGCCCCACCCCCAAUCUUGGCCGCACCUCCGAGAUCCCAUGGUUUGGUUACACACAAGCAACCACUGACCACUGACCAUUGGAUUGUCAUCCAACGACCCAAGUUCGACGCCGAAGCGGUAUCAUCAACACCCGAUCGCAGCCGUAUGAUGGCCAUCCAAUGGCCACUAUUCCUUUCCCAGCUACACCCCUCCAAGCAGCCCGCGCGCGGCGACGCCGCCCAGCCCAUGGUGAUGGAGUUCGUCGGAGAUGCACGAUCUCCCUCUCUGGUUUCCAAAACCUGGAUCUAAAGGGUGCUACGCAGUGGGGGCGUUAAUGCAAACAAGGUGGGGAGAAUUUUACCAUCGGUCGAAGUCACUAAGCUGCGGGUCCACGACACACCAUGGAGCACCGCCAUUUUCUAAAAAUCAGUGAGGAAUUGCGACGGUGUCUGGCCGUCCACACGCCGGGAAAAUCUAUGGCUAGUCUCCACACACAUAGGCGGUACUCCUCCUUCACAACCCGAGGUCCGAAUGACGAUGAUGCUGGUUCUAUGGCGCGACGGCAUGCGCACCCCUUUCUUUCUCUCCCCGAGUUGCUCACUUUUCUCUAUGUAUUGUUUGUGAUGUGCUUGCGUUGCGGCGGUGACCUAGUCAAGCGAGAUGGGAGGAAGGUGGGGGGUAGCCGAGAGCUCACCUCAUAUAGCCUCAGCUGACAACAACUGCACCCGAUGCUCACGCAGGUUUGUUAGGCGUUUGUCGACCGCGGAGGAUCAUAACAACCAAGGAAGAUGGAUCUGGGUGAUGUGCCCCACAAGUCAGUUGCGUAAGGGAAUGGCUGGCAGCGAAACGACAACCGCGCACAGCUAGUCUCACUAGCACGAGGGGCCCAGGCGUCAGCACAGUGUGUUCGAGGCGCACGCAGGCGGCCAUCCGACACAGCGGACCCACCGUCAGUGACACACCAUUAUCCAUGAGCCGUAGGCACGAGAAAAACAAAUGUGCUGCGGGGAGGAAGCGAGAGUGGGUCAACCAGGACAAUUUGGCCCAUAUGGCAGGUGGGCUUCCCUUUUUAUUUUCCUAUUUCCUUUCUAUUUUUUAAUUCCAAUUUGUGUCCCAAUUCAAAUCAGGUCUUUGGAUUUCAAAAUUUAUUUAAAAUGAACAAACAAAGAAAUUUACCAGCAUGCAAUGCAAGGUUCAUUUUAUUCCUUUGAUUAAUAGUUUAAUUUCGAAUGCAUAGUUCACGCUUCCUAAAAUUCAAAUAACUUUUCUAUUUUUGAAACCACCUAAUCUCCCAUACAAUUUCUGAGAAGAAUAAUUCAUGUAAACUACUUCAUCUUAUAACUUAUGUUUAAAAUGAUUUAAACACAUAACUAAUAUUUUAUUUUCCCCCAUGUAUUUGGUUUUAGGAAAAUACUUUCAAGGACAAACCCUCUUUAAUCCAAAUAUUUCAUAGAAAUUUUCUAAUCACCACACUAAGAUUUUGAGGUGUUACAUCCUCCGUACAUCCUCCAGCGAAAUAUACCUCGGGAUAGUCGUUCAACAUAUCCACUACCCCCGCAUCAGUAUCAUAAUCCUCGACGCGUUGUCUCACCACAUCCUCUCUCAUAUGAUGCGCUUCACCACGGAAGAUCCACCGAGUAUAGUCCGGCGUAAAUCCAUUAUUCCAAAUAUGUUCUACCAUGACUUUCUUUGAUUUUUUUCUAGUUGGCACAUUAGCUGCAUGGGCAUGGGACUAGACUCGCUCCUUUAGCAGCUUCGCCAUAUGCCCAUUCAACGAAAUCAUUGGUCUUUCUAAUCCAUUCAGGGGUGACAUCAUUCCUUCCUACAUGGCCCGUGUACAUCCACUCACGGUCCUCCAUCCUCUAACAUAUAUAACUGAGUAUAGUUUAAUAUAACAUGUAAGGCCUCUGCAAAAAAAUAACUCAAGCCUAUCAACAAAAAAAUUCGGCAGCACCUCUUCUGCACGGGGAGGUUUCCAAAACCUGCAAAUAAAACUAGCAGCACGAUGGCUGACAUCCACACAUAUAUCUAUGGCACGAUAGACGACAAUCACAUCAAUCAGCGUCCAUAUCCAACAUCACAUUAUAUAGAAUUGACACACAUAGUAUAAACUCACUAAACACCCAUACUAAAGUAAUUAAACUUAGUAAACUCACUAAAUUCACUAAACACACAUAAUAAACUCACUAAACCCACUAAAUUCACUCAGUGGCGGAUCUAGGAAUUUAUCUCUGGGUAUGCCGAACCAAUAAUUUGGUGGUACCAUAUAGAAAUAAUAAAAUUUGCCUAACUAAAUAGUUACAAAUAUAUAUAAUUGGUCCCAAUAUAAUAUUUUUAUAAUCAUGAUAAUAUAUUAAUUUAGUUCAAUAUAUGCAUAAAUUUCACUUACUCAUGGGAGUAUGUACUAGAAGAUUACUUGUUUUUCUUUGGCCUGCGGUUUCUGAUGGUAAAAAAGUCUUGAUUACAUCUUCUUCAUCCAGUUGAAAGAAAACAUCUCGCUCAAUAUAUGUGAGUAGACAGUCAUCCAAAAGGCUAUCACCCAUCUUAUUUCUCAACUUACUUUUGAUGAAUGUCAUCGCAGAAAAUGCCCUCUCAACACCUACUGUUGCCACAGGUAGAAGUAAUACUAAUUUGAGAAGCGUGAAUACUAAGUCAUAAACUUUAUGCCUCUUCGUUUGAACAAGCUUCAAUGAGAGAUCAACAAGAUUUUCUAGGCCUUCAAAUAAAACAUCUUUUUUAUGUCAGCAAUAAAGUUACCCAACUGCAAUUCAAGCUUUAGUAAAUCGGUACCAAAUAUGUCCUUUGGAUAAAAAUAAGCAACUCUGCAUAACUUCUGUGCAUCAAAAGAAGCAAAUGAGUCUUUAGGACUGAAUGCCAAAAUACAAGAAAGUAACUCCAUAUUAACUUCAUCAAAGCGACUGUCAAGUUCUUGACUAAUUUGAUCAAUAACCCCAAUAUAUACUUCUCUUCUGAAGUGAUCAUCAUUUGUUUGGUUUUUGGCAAACCGAGCUGAUCUUCCAUAAGGCACAUAAUUAUUCUCCAUGAUAGGAACAUGGACAUCAUGUUUGUUGCAAAAUAAAGUGACCUUUUCAAGGAAUUGACUCCAUCCACUAGACCUUAAUUCUUGCAUUCUAUCCUUUGGCACUCUAAUAAGUGAGAUUGCAUUUAUAAUAUCUUGCUCCCUUCUUUGCAAGCACUCUGAUAAUUCAUUAGUGUAUCCCAAAAUGAUAAACAUCAAGUGUGCACUAAAAAUAUAAUCAAAUGACUCCAAUACUCCAACCAUAGUAUGUAUUUUUGGCCAAUCACUCUUUUGUGAAGUAUCAUUACCAAGAGAGAUGAGUACAUCACGUAUUGUGGGAUACAUACCAAUAAUGUUGACAACAGUUUUGUAGUGAGAUCCCCAACGAGUCUCGCCUGGCCUAGGCAAUCCCAUCUCUUGAUUUAAUCCACUUCCAGUUUGAAGUUCACCACAAUAAAUUGCUUUCAUGACAUUAUCAAGUCUUGCAUCUCGAAUCAUGCCAUGACGUUUACAAGAAACACCAACAAUAUUCAGCAAAAGAGACAUUUGGUCAAAAAACCAAACACAGUCACUAUUCCCCUUGGCAACAACAACAAGAACUAAUUGAAGUUGAUGAGCAAAACAAAGAAUAUAAUAAGCAGAUGGUGACUCUUGCAUGAUCAAUGUUUUGAGCCCUUUAACCUCUCCCUUCAUGUUGCUAGCACCAUCGUAACCUUGCCCAUGAAUUAUUCACUAAACACACAUAAUAUAAUAUGAAAAUCACUAAACUCACAUAGUACAAUAUGAAACUCACUGAAUCUGGGACGGGGUCGGUGUUGAAGAUGGGGUGGCGGCGGGCGAGAGUGUGGGCAGCGGCGGGCGAGGGCGUGACCAGCGGUGGGCGGAAGUGGUGGUGGCGGGCGAGGCCGGCGGUGGGCGGGCUGCCGUGGUGGGGCGGCGUGGCCGAAGGAAGGCACGGCGGUGCGGCGGCGCGGAUGAGGGAAGGGAGGGUAAGAGUGAAUGUGGGCGAGAGAGAAUGGGGGCCAACAAAGUAAAAGUUCUUUACCGAGUGCCCGUGAUCUGGAACUUGGCAAAGAUUUUUUUAAAAUUUUAAAAUAUACUUUACCGAGUGCCCGCGGUCUGGCACUCGACAAAGCCUUCUUUGCCGAGUGUCCUACGGCUGACAUUCGGCAAAGAUUACUUUAUUUUUUUAAAAUAAAGUUUACCGAACGCCCUGUCGGCGUUCCAAGACCGGGGGGUCCCUGGGCCGACGAGUGAAUGUCGCCGCGUGCCCCAGCCCAGAUGGGUCGAGCGCGAGGGCGAGCGCAAAGGGGGGAGAGCGAGGCGGCCGGAGAUCGGCGUGAGAGAGGUGGGAAUCCCGCGGCCUUCGUGUUCGUCCCGCGCCCAGGUCGGGUGCGCUUGCAGUAGGGGGUUACAAGCGUCCACGCGGGAGAGGGAGCGAGCGGCUCCAGGCGAGCGCCUGUUCUCGUCCUCGUCCCCGCGCGGCCAACCUUCUCUAAGAGGGCCCUGGUCCUCCCUUUUAUAGAGUAAGCAGAGGAUCUAGGUGUACAAUGGGGGGUGUAGCAGGGUGCUACGUGUCUAGCGGAGGUGAGCUAGCGCCCUAGGUACAUGCCGUUGUGGCAGCCGGAGAGAUCUUGGCACCCAGCUGGUGUGAUGUCGUGGCCGUCGAAGGAGCGAUGGAGCUUGGCGGAGGGACAGCUGUCGGAGCGGUUGAGCCCUUGCUGACGUCCUCUUGCUUCCGUAAGGGGGCGGAGAGCCGCCGUCGUCACAGAGCAUGCGGGGCGCCAUCAUUGCCUAUCUGGCGGCGCAAGCCAGAUGGGACGCCGGUCUUGUUCCCUGCGGCCCGAGUCAGCUCGGGGUAGGGUGAUGAUGGCGCCUCCUGUCGACGUGGCUGGUCUACGCCCUAGGUUGGGCGAUGUGGAAGCUCCUCCGAAGCCGAGGUUGAGUCCGAGCCCCCGGGUCGGGCGAGGCGGAGAUCGUCGUCUUCUGGGGCCGAGCCCAAGUCCGAGCCCUGGGUCGAGCGAGGCGGAGAUCGUCGUCUUCUGGGACUUAGCCCGAGUCCGAGCCCUGGGUCGGGCAGAGCGGAGUUCGCCGUCUUCCGGGACUUAGCCCGAGUCCGAGCCCUGGGUCGGGCGGAGUUCACCGUCUUCCGGGACUUAGCCCGAGUCCGAGCCCUGGGUCGGGCGGAGCGGAGUUCGCCGUCUUCCAGGACUUAGCCCGAGUCCGAGCCCUGGGUCGGGCGGAGUUCGCCGUCUUCCGGGACUUAGCCCGAGUCUGAGCCCUGGGUCGGGCGGAGCGGAGUUCGCCGUCUUCCGGGACUUGGCCCGAGUCCGAGCCCUGGGUCGGACGGAGUUCGCCGUCUUCCGGGACUUAGCCCGAGUCCGAGCCCUGGGUCGGGCGGAGUUCGCCGUCUUCCGGGACUUAGCCCGAGUCCGAGCCCUGGGUCGGGCGGAGCGGAGUUCGCCGUCUUCCGGGACUUAGCCCGAGUCCGAGCCCUGGGUCGGGCGAAGCGGAGCUUCCUAUGGUGCCUCUGGCAGGGCCUGACCGCUUGCCAGUCUUACUCUGUCCAGUGGCAGUGUAGUCGGUGUGGCGUAGGCGGCGCUGUCCUUUCGUCAGGCCGGUCAGUGGAGCGGCGAAGUGACGGCGGUCACUUCGGCUCUGCCGACGGGGGUGCGUGCCAGGAUAAGGGUGUCAGGCCACCUUUGCAUUAAAUGCUCCUGCGACUUGGUCGGUCGGUGCGGCGAUUUGGUCAGGGUUGCUUCUUAGCGAAGGCAGGGCCUCGGGCGAGCCGGGAAUAUGUUCGCCGCUAAAAGGGGGGCCUCGGGCGAGACGGAAAUCCUCCGGGGUCGGUUGCCCUUGUCUGAGGCUAGGCUCGUGUGAGGCGUGAUCGUGUCCCUCGAAUGGACUGAUCCCUGACUUAAUCGCACCCAUCAGGCCUUUGCAGCUUCAUGCUGAUGGGGGUUACCAGCUGAGAAUUAGGAGCCUUGAGGGUACCCCUAAUUAUGGUCCCCGACAGUAGCCCCCGAGCCUCGAAGGGAGUGUUUGCACUCGCUUGGAGGCUUUCGUCGCACCUUUUUGCAAGGGGACCAACCUUUCUCGGUUGCGUUUUGUUCCGGUGGGUGCGCGCGAGCGCACCCGCCGGGUGUAGCCCCCGAGGCCUCGGAGGAGUGGUUUCACUCCUUCGAGGUCUUACUGCCUCACGUAGUGCUUCGGCUGGUCUGGUCGUUCCCUCAUGCGAACUGGCCGUAGCCCAGGUGUACGGUCGGGUCCCAAGUUCUCGGGCUGGUAUGUUGACGCUGUCAACGGUUCGGCCGGAGUCGGGUUUGCGAUAGCAGCCCCCGAGCCUCUGCACAGAGCGAGAGGGCGGUCAGGGGUAGACUCGGCUUUUUUACAUACGCUCCUGCAUCGCCUUUCCGCAAGGAGGAGGGGGGGAAAGCGCCAUGUUGCCCUCGAUGGGCGUCGAACAUGGUGUCUCCGACGAGCUGCAAGCGGGUAAUCCGAGUGGACGUCCGUGCCCCGUUCGGUAGGGGUCGGCUAGGGGCCCAGAGGCACGCCCAAAAGUACCUGCGGGUGAUCUGCCAGACUCGGUCCCCUGGCGACGGGGUCCGAGGGCUCGAUGCCUCCCUCUGGUGGGAUUCUGUUACAAGAUUGUUCCCGCCGGUCUCGGAAAUGUCCUAGGGUACCUCGGGAGCGCAGCCCGAGCCUUGAUUGUGUAUCGAACGUACCCAUGGUCAUCCCUCGCUCGGCGUCUGAGGUGGCUGUGAACCCUUCGGGGGCCAGCCUUCGAACCCCUGAUUAGUAUUGGGCACGGAGCCCGAGUAGCCUGAGGCGGUCGUUGAACCCUUUCGAGGGGCCGGCCUUCGAACCUCUGACCAGUAGUGGGUGUUGGGCCCACGCGAUCUGAGGCGGCUGUUGAACCCUUCUGGGGGGCCAGCCUUCGAACCUCUGAUCAGUAGGGGGGCUCGGAGCCUGGUUCCUUCUCGGGGAAGGAUCCUUUUCGGGGUAUCCCCCUUUCUCGGUCCCUGUUGCAAGAGAGAGAAAGAGGAAAAACGGAAAAGGAUACGAAAUCGAACGACGCGGCGUACCUUUUUGGACGCGUUCAUUUUGGCGAAGGGGAAGCGUCGCCCGCUUCUCCUGCCAGAGGCGCCGCGUGUCCCGUCGCGGAGUUACUGUGACGGGGCGAGUGGUUGGAGAGGCGACCGUUGCGCAUGCGCGAGCCGUUCGAGGAACGGAUCACGGGCGCGUCGUCUUCACGCCGUGGGAGAGGGUUCUCUCGCUGCCCCCGGAUGGGACGUAAGCUUGGCUGACGACGCGGCCGCUGCGCCUGCUCGCCUGCCACCGCCAUUACUGCCGGCCCACUUCUGGCCAUGUUGACCAUCGCGCCAGGCUGGUGCUGCUGGGUCGCGCGCCGGGUCGCCUCGAGUCGCGGUAUUGGUUCCGCAGUCGAGGAGGUGCGGUGGUGGUGCGGGUGGCGAUGCAGUUACUCACACGUAGCAAACGGCGCACCGGUUGCACGACGCGUGGGCCUGGGCCUCUAUGCUGGGCAUGUUGGGAGUCGGAGGAGCGCGCCCACUUGGCGCGGUUGCAUGCCGCCUGCAUGGCUGCCCACCCUUUCACCCGUUGGUCUGGGCAAAAGUGGAGGGUCGCUUGUAACCGUUGGGCGGUUGUGUGCACCGCGCGUGGCGGUUUGGCUUCUUCUGCCCUGAGUUGGCUUGCAUGACGUGUGGGACCCAGCCCCCGCGCCGUAGGGGAGGACCUUGGAGUGUGUUGGAGAAGACUCAGCCCGUGACGGCUGGGGGCGCGAGUAGGGAGAACCGUCCUUAAAAAGAGGGUGACCCCUUUGGAAGGCGACCAUGUCUUCGCGCUCCCUUAUGCAUCGUGUCUUUCCACCUUCCAGGCCCCCGGAUGGGGGAGAUCCGCCGUCUUUCCGCCUCGUCGUUGGGGGAACGCAACUCCGCGGGAGUUGGUACCUUUCAGCUAUCGUUUGGCUUCAAGGAUUUUCAUCAUGCAGCCCGGCUGCACCCCUCCACCGGUGGUCACCCAAGACGGUGACCACCAGCCCCUGGAUGGAGAGGAGCAAGCUAGGUUGUGGUCUUUGUCCCGCCCCCAGCUGGUCUUCAUCAUCCCCGCUGGGACGGGGCCCGGGCCAAGCCGGUGCUCUGCCUCCUGCGCGGGUCGGCCGACCGCCUCCUCUUCCAGCUUCUGGUGGUGGAGACCAUCCUCCAGUUCUGUGGAGGAGACGUCCUCCAGUCAUGCUGGGGGAGGCGGGCUGUUGUUGCCCAGCUAGGAUGCAACAUUCCAUCCUCUUCCUCGCUUGCGUGGCGAGGACAGGAGUGAGGACCUGCCGAUGCGCCUUGGGGUGACCCGCGUUUGCUGGUGAUUCGCCCAGAGCUUGUCGCUCCACGGGCUUCCCCGUCGUGGGGGUUGUCCAUACCCGCGGGGACGGAACCGGAGUUCCGUUUGUAAUGGCGCCUUGAGUGCUAGUGUUUUUGUUCAUUGUGGCUGUCGGGGCCUGAACAUGUAUGUAGUUUCGGCACGGAGCCGUGUAUUUUCCUCCUUUUCGAGCACUGAAACUCGCCUAUUGGUUGUCUGAACCGCUUCACCAAGCGUGAGUUGCCCCGUGUACAGGUGACGAGUGAGGUAUCCGUAUCCCGGAGGCGUAGGAGUUCCUCGGCUCGGUCGGCCUUGUUGUCCGAGGCUUCUCUAACUUAGUUAAAGGAACCCCUCGGCCGCUCUUCGAUGAGCCGAGGCCGGGGGUAGCGGUGUCAACAUGGGCAGAGGCAGAGUUGUCUUGAAAAGGAAACCUGGUUGGCCGGAGCCUGGCCGGGUCGUCCGUUAGCGGGACCGACGCCGGAAUUGACCAGCCGAGGCCUCGGGUCGGGCUGACGUCCUCGGAGGGAAGCUGGCCGAGGCCCCAGGGUGACCGACCGAGCCGCCUGCUCGGGACGGAUUGACGUCCUUGGAAGGUAACUGGCCGAAGCCCCGGGGCGACCGGCCGAGCCGCCUGCUCAGGCCGGAUUCCCGGAGAAGACCCUAGCGGCGAUGGCCCGGGCGUGGUGAUGACGUCGUCCUCCAGAGUGGAGAUCCUCGGACCGCGUCACCGUCCGAGGCUAGGUCGGCCCUCGCCGAAGGUGUCGUCGAUGCCAAGGGUGCUGCUGCUCCCUUCAGCCGUCAAGAUCCGAGCCUGCAGGAUCGGAUUGUCUUGUAGCGUGUGUUUCCUGCGGCCGCCGAGGCCUGAACACACCCUCGCCGUGUUGUAAAGCUGCGUCUCUUUUCCUUUUAUUUCGAGUAUCUGGACUUUUUUGUUGGUAACAGAAAUGUUUGUGCGAGCAAGAGUUGCUUCUCGCGGAAGGUGACAAGUGAGGUAUCUGUAUCCCGGAGGCGUAGGAGUCCCUCGGCUCGGUCGGCCUUGCCGCUUACGUGCACUCUUACCCGUCCAUGGGGCUCUGUCACCGACGCAGUCGAGAAGGCUCGGAGGAUCGCUUCGGCAUAAGAGCUUUCGGGCGUGAAGACUUGUUCGGUCUGCAGAAUCACUUAUCCGAACGUGAGUUACUUAUCGCAGAAGGUGAUGAGUGAGGUAUCCGUAUCCCGGAGGCGUAGGAGUCCCUCGGCUCGGUCAGCCUUGGCUGCUUACGUGUACUCCGUCGUUUUCAGGAUCCACUUUCGAAGUAGCCAAAAAGCGCGAAAGACAUUCUGGCAGAAAAGAUCUUUUUCCGAGGAAAAUUUCGACGCAGAGGGGGUUCCCCCCCCCUUUUAGCCCCCGAGGGAGGGUCGGGCUUUGCCGAGGCGAAGCCGACCCUUCCUUGAUGACUAAACUUUGCGUGGGUGCGAGGUAUAUGAUCAACUUGAAAAAAUCUUAAGGGUAGAAGCGACGUAGCUGUUGGAUGUUCCAGGCGUUGUCGUAGACCUCGCCUUGGCUGUUGGCCAGCUUGUAUGUUCCGGGCUUCAGAACCUUGGCGAUGACGAAUGGCCCCUCCUAGGGAGGCGCGAGCUUGUGCUGCCCUCGGGCGUCUUGUCGCAGCCGAAGCACCAGGUCGCCCACCUGGAGGUCUCGGGACCGGACCCCUCGGGCGUGGUAGCGUCGCAGGGACUGCUGGUACCGCGCCGAGUGUAGCAAGGCCUGGUCCCGAGCCUCCUCCAGCUGGUUCAGCGAGUUUUCUCGGCUGACUUAGUUGCUUUGGUCGGUGUAGGCCCUCGUCUUCGGGGAGCCGUAUUCUAAGUCUGUGGGCAAGAUGGCUUCGGCCCCAUAGACUAGAAAGAAUGGCGUGAAGCCCGUGGCUCGGCUCGGCGUUGUCCUCAGACUCCAGACCACCGAGGGGAGUUCCUUCAUCCAUCGCUUGCCAAACUUGUUGAGGUCGUUGUAGAUCCAAGGCUUGAGCCCUUGUAGAAUCAUGUCGUUGGCACGCUCCACCUGCCCAUUCGUCAUGGGAUGAGCCACGGCGGCCCAGUCCACCCGGAUGUGGUGAUCCUCGCAGAAGUCCAGGAACUUUCUGCCGGUGAACUGGGUGCCGUUGUCGGUAAUGAUGGAGUUCGGGACCCCGAAGCGAUGGAUGAUGUUGGUGAAGAACGCCACCGCCUGCUCGGACCUGAUGCUGUUCAGGGGUCGAACCUCGAUCCACUUGGAGAAUUUGUCGAUGGCGACCAGCAGGUGCGUGUAGCCCCCGGGUGCCUUCUGCAAGGGGCCGACGAGGUCCAGACCCCACACCGCAAAAGGCCAGGUGAUGGGUAUUGUCUGCAGAGCCUGAGCGGGCAGAUGGGUCUGCCUCGCGUAGAAUUGGCACCCUUCGCAGGUGCGGACGAUUCUGGUAGCGUCGGCCACCACCGUCGGCCAGUAGAAGCCUUGCCGGAAAGCGUUCCCGACAAGGGCUCGAGGCGCUGCAUGAUGGCCGCAAGCCCCCGAGUGUAUCUCUCGCAGGAGUUCCUGACCUUCGGCGAUGGAGAUGCAUCGCUGGAGGAUGCCUGAGGGGCUGCGGUGGUAGAGCUCCUUCUCAUCUCCCAGCAAGACGAACAACUUGGCGCGCCGCGCCACCCGCCGAGCCUCGGCUCGGUCGAGGGACAGCUCUCCUCGGUGGAGAUAUUGCAGGUACGGGGUCUGCCAAUUUUGAUUAGGCGCGACCCCGCUUUUCUCCUCCUCGACGUGCAGUGCCUCACCCUCGGGGGCCGAGGGUACCUCGGACUGAACCGAGGGCGCCUCGGGUCGAGCUGAGGGUGCCUCGGACUGAGCCGAGGGCACCUCGGGUUGAGUCGUGGGCGCCUCGGACUGGGCCGAGGGUACCUCGGGCUCGGACGUGUCGUCGAUCUUGACGGAAGGUUGAUGCAGGUCUCGGGAGAAGAUGUCCGGGGGAACCGUUGUUCGCCCCAAGGCUAUUUUAGCCAGCUCGUCCGCAGUCUCGUUGUAGCGCCGAGCGAUGUGGUUGAGCUCGAGCCCGUAGAACUUGUCUUCCAGGCGCCGAACCUCAUCGCAGUAGGCCUCCAUCUUCAGGUCGCGGCAAUGGGAGUUCUUCAUGACUUGGUCGAUGACGAGCCACGAGUCACCACGAGCAUCGAGGCGUCGGACCCCUAGCUCGAUGGCGAUCCGCAACCCAUUGACCAGGGCCUCAUAUUCGGCCACAUUGUUGGACGCCGGGAAGUGGAGGUGUAGCACGUAGCGUAGAUGCUUUCCGAGGGGUGAGAUGAAGAGUAGGCCUGCGCCGGCUCCUGUCUUCAUCAGCGACCCGUCGAAGAACAUGGUCUAGAGCUCCGGUUGGAUCGGAGCCGUCGGUAGCUGGGUGUCGACCCAUUCAGCCACGAAGUCCGCCAAGACCUGGGACUUAAUGGCUUUCCGAGGAGCGAACGAGAUUGUCUCGCCCAUGAUCUCCACCGCCCACUUUGCAAUCCUACCCGAGGCCUCUCGGCAUUGGAUGAUCUCCCCCAGGGGGAAGGAUGACACCACAGUUACUGGAUGAGACUCGAAGUAGUGUCGCAGCUUCUGUCGCGUUAGGAUCACCGCGUACAGCAGCUUCUGGACUUGUGGGUAGCGGAUCUUGGUUUCGGACAGUACCUCGCUGACGAAGUAGACUAGCCUCUGAACGGGCAGUGCAUGCCCCUCUUCUUGCCUCUCGACCACAAUCGCGGCGCUAACCACCUGGGUGGUCGCAGCGACGUAGACCAGGAGGGCUUCUCCGGCAGCUGGGGGCACCAAGAUAGGCGCCUUUGUGAGGAGCGCCUUCAGGUUCCCGAGGGCUUCCUCGGCCUCAGGGGUCCAAGUGAAGCACUCGUCUUUCCUUAAGAGGCGGUACAGCGGUAGACCUCUUUCGCCGAGGCGUGAGAUGAAACGGCUCAGAGCCGCGAGGCAUCCCAUGACCCUCUGUACGCCUUUCAAGUCCUUGAUGGGCCCCAUGCUGGUAAUGGCUGCGAUUUUUUCCGGGUUGGCUUCGAUGCCCCGCUCGGAGACGAUGAACCCCAACAGCAUGCCUCGGGGCACCCCGAAGACACACUUUUCGGGAUUGAGCUUGACGCCUUUGGCCUUGAGACAUCGGAAUGUCGUUUCAAGGUCGGAAAGGAGGUCAGAGGUUUUCCUCGUCUUGACUACGAUGUCAUCGACGUAGGCCUCGACCGUGCGGCCAAUGUGUUCGCCGAACACAUGGUUCAUGCACCGCUGGUACGUCGCGCCCGCAUUCCUCAAACCGAACGGCAUGGUGACAUAGCAGUACAUGUCGAAGGGUGUGAUGAAAGAAGUCGCGAGCUGAUCGGACUCUUUCAUCUUGAUUUGAUGAUACCCCAAGUAGGCAUCGAGGAAAGACAGGGUUUCGCACCCAGCAGUGGAAUCCACGAUCUGGUCGAUGCGAGGCAGAGGGUAGGGAACCUUCGGACAUGCUUUGUUGAGACCAAUGUAGUCUACACACAUCCGCCAUUUCCCCCCUUUCUCUCUCACAAGCACAGGGUUGGCAAGCCAUUCGGGAUGGAAUACCUCUUUGAUGAACCCUACCGCCAUUAGCUUGUGAAUCUCCUCGCCUAUAGCUCUGCGCUUCUCCUCGUCGAAUCGACGCAGCGGCUGCUUGACGGGUCGGGCUCCGGCUCGGAUGUCCAGCGAGUGCUCGGCGACAUCCCUCGGUACGCCGGGCAUGUCUGAGGGACUCCACGCGAAGACGUCGGCGUUCGCGCGGAGAAAGUCGACGAGCACUGCUUCCUAUUUGGGAUCGAACCCGGAGCCGAUCCGGAUCUGCUUGGAGGUGUCGCCGCUGGGGUCGAGGGGGACGGACUUAACCGUCUCCGCUGGCUCGAAGUUGCCAGCGUGACGCUUCACGUCCGGCACCUCCUUAGAGAGGCUCUCCAGGUCGGCGAUGAGGGCCUCGGACUCGGCGAGGGCCUCGGCGUACACCACGCACUCCACGUCGCAUUCGAACGCGUGUUUGUACGUAGGGCCGACGGUGAUGACCCUGUUGGGGCCCGGCAUCUUGAGCUUCAGGUAGGUGUAGUUGGGGACGGCCAUGAACUUCGCGUAGCAUGGCCUCCCCAGUACCGCGUGGUAGGUUCCUCGGAACUCGACCACCUCGAACGUCAGGGUCUCCCUUCAGAAGUUGGAGGGUGUUCCGAAGCAGACGGGAAGGUCGAGCUGUCCGAGGGGUUGGACGCGCUUCCCGGGGAUGAUCCCAUGGAAGGGCGCAGCGCCUGCCCGGACAGAGGAUAGAUCAACACGCAGGAGCCCGAGGGUCUCGGUGUAGAUGAUGUUGAGGCUGCUGCCUCCGUCCAUGAGGACCUUGGUGAGCCUGACGUCGCCGAUGACGGGGUCGACGACGAGCGGGUAUUUCCCCGGGCUCGGCACAUGGUCGGGGUGGUCGUCUCGGUCGAAGGUGAUGGGCUUGUCGGACCAGUCUAGAUAGACUGGCGCCGCCACCUUGACCGAGCAGACCUCUUGGCGCUCUUGCUUGCGGUGCCGAGCCGAGGCGUUCGCCGCUUGCCCACCAUAGAUCAUGAAGCAGUCGCGGACCUCGGGGAACUCUCCUGCCUGGUGAUCUUCCUUCUUGUCGUCGUCGCGGGCCUUGCCACCCUCCGCGGGUGGCCCGGCCCUGUGGAAGUGGCGCCGAAGCAUGACGCACUCCUUAAGGGUGUGCUUGACCGGUCCCUGGUGAUAGGGGCACGGCUCUUUGAGCAUCUUGUUGAAGAGGUCGGCACCUCCCGGGGGCUUCCGAGGGUUCUUGUACUCGGCGGCGGCGACAAGGUCCGCGUCGGCGGCGUCGCGUUUCACUUGCGACUUCUUCUUGCCCUUCUUCUUGGCGCCGCGCUGAGUUGACGCCUCGGGAGUACCUUCUGAUGGGUGGCCCUGGGGCUGCUUGUCCCUUUGGAAGAUAGCCUCGACCGCCUCCUGGCCGGAGGCGAACUUGGUGGCGAUGUCCAUCAGCUCGCUCGCCCUGGUUGGGGUCUUGCGGCCCAGCUUGCUCACUAGGUCGCGGCAGGUGGUGCCAGCGAGGAACGCGCCGAUGACAUCCGAGUCGGUGAUGUUGGGCAGCUCGGUGCGCUGCUUCGAGAAUCGCCGGAUGUAGUCUCGGAGAGACUCUCCCGGCUGCUGUCGGCAGCUUCGGAGGUCCCAGGAAUUCCCGGGGCGCACAUACGUGCCCUGGAAAUUGACGGCGAAAGCUUGGACUAGGUCAUCCCAGUUGGAGAUCUGCCCCGGAGGCAGGUGCUCCAACCAGGCGCGAGCGGAAUUGGAGAGGAACAGGGGGAGGUUGCGGAUGAUGAGGUUGUCAUCGUCCGUUCCACCUAGCUGGCAGGCCAGACGGUAGUCCGCGAGCCACAGUUCCGGUCUCGUCUCCCCCGAAUACUUCGUGAUAGUAGCCGGGGGUCGGAACCGGGUCGGGAACGGCGCCCGUCGGAUGGCUCGGCUGAAGGCUUGCGGACCGGGUGGUUCGGGCGAGGGACUCCGAUCCUCCCCGCUGUCGUAGCGUCCCCCACGCCUAGGGUGGUAGCCUCGGCGCACCCUCUCGUCGAGGUGGGCCCGUCGGUCGUGGUGGCGGUGCUCGUUGCCGAGGUGACCCGAGGCCGCAGGCGCGGUGUUGCGUGUGCGCCCGGUGUAGACCGAGGCUUCCCGCAUGAAUCGGGAACUCGCGGCAUGAGGUUCCGAGGGGUACCCCUGCCUUCGGGAGGCAGAGCUCUCGGCCCGUCGGACCACGGCGCCUUCCAGGAGAUUCUUGAGUUCUCCCUGGAUUCACCGCCCCUCGGUGGUUGAUGGCUCUAGCAUCGCGCGAAGAAGCAUUGCUGCUGCCGCCAGGUUCUGGCCGACCCCACUGGAUGCGGGUGGUGGCCUGAGCCUGACGUCGUCGGCGAUGCGGUGCUGGAAGCCCUAGGGUAGAUGACGUAUUUCUCCGGCCGGAGGUUGGUCCACCCAUGCCUGCCCGACGUCCCGACGAAUCGGCUCCAGCGCUCCUGCUCCCUCGUCGAGCCUGGCCUGCACCCCGCGGAUUUGCUCGAGCUGUUGGUCAUGACCCCCCGCCUGAACGGGGACCACAGCUAGCUCCCGUGGGAUGUCAAAGCGAGGCACCGGCCUAGGGAGGUCACCGUCCUCCGGCAUACCGAGAUGGCUGCCUUCGGGGGGACCCCCUAGAUCGACGUGGAAGCAUUCGCGACUUGGGCCGCGAUCCUCGUCGCCGAGGCUUCGGCCACCGUCGGAACAGUCGGAAAGGCAGUAGUCGCAUGCGGUCAUGAAGUCCCGCAUGGCACUGGGGUUACCAAGUCCAGAGAAAUCCCAACAGAUGCUGGGUUCGUCGUCUUCCUCGGACCCAGAGGGCCUGUAGGUCGAGACGUCCGUCAGCCGGUCCCAAGGUGACCGCACACGAAACCCCAGAGGGUCUGGAUUUGCUUCUACGAGAGCGCCCGCCAAAGCGAAGUCGCUAGACGGGUUGAGGCUGAACCCAAAAGACGCGGGAUGGGAAUCGAUCGGUACCUUUUGGUCGACGGGCGGCGAUAAGGUCGCGUUGGGGACUGACUGCGCCGCCGUCUCAGGUACGAGGGUGACAUCCAGCAAGCUUUUCGCGAGCGUGCUGGCGUCAUCCGCUUGCUCGGGAUUGGCGUGUCGCGGGGAGAUGGCGCUCGCCUUCGUCUCAAACGCGAGGUCGACGCCUGGUGCGCCCCCCGUUAGGGUGCCGGGACCGUCGACUCGCUCGGCAGCCGACGAGGCGCUGUCUCCUGCUUGGCCUUGGUUGCCCCGCCUCCUCCUCCGUCGACGGGGGAGAGGACGGGGUGAGCUCGAAGGUUGCUCUUCCACCAUGCGGGGAAGACGUCGCCGAUUCCGCCGCCGGCAGGCGGGUUGUCGGCCGCCACUGUUGUUGUCGCACGGCGGUGGAAGGAGUAUCAUGUCGUAGCUGCCGUCGAGGGACAUGAACUCAAGACUCCCGAAACGGAGCACCGUCCCGGGUUGGAGAGGUUGCUGGAGACUGCCCAUCUAGAGCUUGACGGGAAGCUGUUCGUCAACACGCAGCAGGCCCCUACCUGGCGCGCCAACUGUCGGCGUUCCGAGACCGGGGGGUCCCUGGGCCGACGAGUGAAUGUCGCCGCGUGCCCCAGCCCAGAUGGGUCGAGCACGAGGGCGAGCGCGAAGGGGGGAGAGAGAGGCGGCCGGAGACCGGCGUGAGAGAGGUGGGAAUCCCGCGGCCUUCGUGUUCGUCCCGCGCCCAGGUCGGGUGCGCUUGCAGUAGGGGGUUACAAGCGUCCACGCGGGAGAGGGAGCGAGCGGCUCCAGGCGAGCGCUUGUUCUCGUCCUCGUCCCCGCGCGGCCAACCUUCUCUAAGAGGGCCCUGGUCCUCCCUUUUAUAGACGUAAGGAGACGAUCUAGGUGUACAAUGGGGGGGUGUAGCAGGGUGCUACGUGUCUAGCGGAGGUGAGCUAAAGCCCUAGGUACAUGCCGUUGUGGCAGCCGGAGAGAUCUUGGCACCCAGCUGGUGUGAUGUCGUGGCCGUCGAAGGAGCGAUGGAGCUUGGCGGAGGGACAGAUGUCAGAGCGGUUGAGCCCUUGCUGACGUCCUCUUGCUUCCCUAAGGGGGCGGAGAGCCGCCGUCGUCACAGAGCAUGCGGGGUGCCAUCAUUGCCUAUCUGGCGGCGCGAGCCAGAUGGGACGCCGGUCUUGUUCCCUGCGGCCCGAGUCAGCUCGAGGUAGGGUGAUGAUGGCGCCUCCUGUCGACGUGGCUGGUCUACGCCCUAGGUUGGGCGAUGUGGAAGCUCCUCCGAAGCCGAGGUUGAGUCCGAGCCCCCGGGUCGGGCGAGGCGGAGAUCGUCGUCUUCUGGGGCCGAGCCCAAGUCCGAGCCCUAGGUCGGGCGAGGCGGAGAUCGUCGUCUUCUGGGACUUAGCCCGAGUCCGAGCCCUGGGUCGGGCAGAGCGGAGUUCGCCGUCUUCCGGGACUUAGCCCGAGUCCGAGCCCUGGGUCGGGCGGAGUUCGCCGUCUUCCGGGACUUAGCCCGAGUCCGAGCCCUGGGUCGGGCGGAGCGGAGUUCGCCGUCUUCCGAGACUUAGCCCGAGUCCGAGCCCUGGGUCGGGCGGAGUUCACCGUCUUCUGGGACUUAGCCCGAGUCUGAGCCCUGGGUCGGGCGGAGCGGAGUUCGCCGUCUUCCGGGACUUGGCCCGAGUCCGAGCCCUGGGUCGGACGGAGUUCGCCGUCUUCCGGGACUUAGCCCGAGUCCGAGCCCUGGGUCGGGCGGAGUUCGCCGUCUUCCGGGACUUAGCCCGAGUCCGAGCCCUGGGUCGGGCGGAGCGGAGUUCGCCGUCUUCCGGGACUUAGCCCGAGUCCGAGCCCUGGGUCGGGCGAAGCGGAGCUUCCUAUGGUGCCUCCGGCAGGGCCUGACCGCUUGUCAGUCUUACUCUGUCCAGUGGCACUGUAGUCGGUGUGGCGUAGGCGGCGCUGUCCUUUCGUCAGGCCGGUCAGUGGAGCGGCGAAGUGACGGCGGUCACUUCGGCUCUGCCGGCGGGGGGUGCGUGCCAGGAUAAGGGUGUCAGGCCACCUUUGCAUUAAAUGCUCCUGCGACUUGGUCGGUCGGUGCGGCGAUUUGGUCAGGGUUGCUUCUUAGCGAAGGCAGGGCCUCGGGCGAGCCGGGAAUAUGUUCGCCGCUAAAAGGGGGGCCUCGGGCGAGACGGAAAUCCUCCGGGGUCGGCUGCCCUUGUCCGAGGCUAGGCUCGGGUGAGGCGUGAUCGUGUCCCUCGAAUGGACUGAUCCCUGACUUAAUCGCACCCAUCAGGCCUUUGCAGCUUCAUGCUGAUGGGGGUUACCAGCUGAGAAUUAGGAGCCUUGAGGGUACCCCUAAUUAUGGUCCCCGACACGCCCCUUCGUUGGCACUCGGCAAACUAUUCUUUGCCGAGUGUACUCCUAGGACACUCGGCAAAUCAUACUUUUAUUUUUUAUUUUCUCUUCAAACUUUUCUAUUCUCUUUCUACGGUAUAUAAAACUACAUGUUCCAUUUUAUCACAACUAUAAAAGUGUUUGCUAUAACUAUUAGAUUUUGUUCGUUUAAUUGAAUUGACUUGGAUAAUUCAGAUUUGAAUUGCAAGUCACUCGAAAAAUGGAAAACCAUGUAUGAAAAAAUGAUAUUCAUGUUUCUUAGCACCAGUUACGACCUAUUUAACGAGCAGACCAGAAUUUCCGAGAACCAUGCUCACUAAACAUGACCGUGAACUUGUCAUCCAGUUGUUUAAAAAUUGUAUAAAACACAAACAAAGUCAAAAAAUCAUGAAACUUGUCCACAUGUUAUGAUAUCAUAUGUAGAGGCUGUGAUAAAAAUUUGAGAAUGUUUUAAGAAAGUUGUGACGCACUAUAUGUAGAAACCUAAGUCCCCCACACAUGAAAUCAUAGAGUUUCAAUGUAGACCGGCUAGAAUUCUUCACAUAGUGCGUGAUAACUUUCUCGAAACAUGCUCAAAUUUUUAUCAUAACCUCUACAUAUGAUAUCAUGACAUGUGGAUAUGUUUCAUGAUUUUCUAACUUUUUUGUGUUUUAUACAACUGGAUGGUAAGUUCACGGUCAUGUUUAGUGAGCAUGGUGCUCAAAAAUUCUGAUCUACUCCUGAAAUCGGUCGUUACUUGUGCUAACUAACAUGACAAGUUCAUUUUUGCAUUCACGGUUUUCUAUUUUACGAGUGACUUGUAGUUCAAAUCUGAAUUAUCCGAGUAAAUUCAAUUAAAAGAACAAAAUCUAAUAGUUAUAGUAAACACUUUUAUAAUUGUGUCAAAAUGGAACAUGUAUGUCUACAUAGUAUAGGAACAUACCAUAAAAAGUUUGGUUGAAAAAAGAAAAAAAUAAAAUAUACUUUACCGAGUGCCAUCCUAGGACACUUGGCAAAGUAUGGCUUCUGAGUGUCGGGUUUGAGGCACUUGGCAAAGUAGCUUCUUUGUCGAGUGCCAAAUCCCGGCUCUCGGCAAUGAUAAUGGUCGUUAGCUAUAGACGGCUGCUGAUGGCCCUUUGCCGAGCAUCGCCCUUCGCUGAGUGUUUGGCACUCGACAAAGAGGACUUUGCCGAGUGUCUUCCAGUGCUGAGAGUCCUGCUCUCGGUAAACGUGGUCGUUACCGAGAUAGGACUUGGUCGAGUGCCCGAUAAAAAGCACUUGGUAAAGCGCCAAGCACUCGAUAAAAAGCCAGAUUCUAGUCGUGAUUCUUAACUUUGAUAUGUUCACUGGCUUGCAUAACAAGCAAUCUCCACAAUAUCAUAAGAUCCCCUUUUGGCAUGGGCAAAUCUUCUUCAAUGGUCUUUCUGGUAUCCAACAUUGGCUAGAAGAUUAUUAUGUUCGUCUUCAUUUCUUGAGUGUGCAAACAUUGGUCCAUAUUCGUAUCCUUGCUGACCAUCCAUUGAUGUUCCUCCUCCUACCACUGAACCAUUUAAAACCAACACUCCUCCUCCUACUAGUGAAGUUUCUUCCACCGAUAUUUCUCCUCCUCAACCUUUCAAUUAUUCGUACCCUCCUCCAUACUCGUACUUGUAUGGGUAUCCAUAUGAUGCUCCUCCCUCAUUUCCACCUCUAUAUGAUGUUCCUCUAAUAUAUGGUGCUCAUGCUUCUUUUUACCCUUCUAUAGGCACGAUAAUGACCCCAAGCAGCCAUAACGAUGCGACCUCCAACUAGUCCACGUACUCUAGUGUGACUUAGUUCCAAUGACAAAGGGAUUGGACUAAUACGGAGGACAAAAGACUCGUAAGUAGUAAGUACAUAUAUAAUUUUAUAAAUCGGACACAAGUUUUAGGCUGACAACAUUUUUUGACUUCAUAAACUUGUAGAUCCACGCAUGGCUAUUACACUCUAUUGACCCCAUUAAAAUAAACAACAAAAAUGGAUCGAUCUUUUUAUAUAAGCCAAAUAAUAACUAUGUGCAACUCCACCUCAAAACCUCCUCACCAUAAUACCCCCAAGCAACCAAAGCACCAGUGGUCCAUAAGCAACCAUAAGGUCACCCUCUUCAAUGACACCUACAACCAAUUAUCCAUGGCAUGGAUAGUGGAGCAAAUUGUGCUAUGCUUCUCAAAGCGGAAAAGAAGAGCUUCCACAAUAGGCCUGGUGAAACGUAUUUCAACUAGAGCACAUGUGGAGUGCUCUUCACCAGUAGCCCAAGUAGUGCGCAUGGCAUGAUGAUGAUGACGCUAGAGAUGCAACCAAUAGAUCACGUCACAACAUAGAAGUCGAUUAUAGCUCCGCAUAGCUAGACAAUGUCGGACCAAUAUGCCCUAUUGUCCAUGAUAGGGCAAGAGCGCAACACAAAGGGAAGGGUCUAACAAUGAGUAGCAUAGUGAACAAGCUCUACAAGGCUAGCUAGAGGAUAACUCAAUCAAAAUUAUUUGAGAACUUCACCAAGUUAUUAGAUCAGUCAACCAUCGAUAUAGAUGAUGUCUUGAAAAAGACACAUAGGUUGGGUGUAAAAAAAUGACCAAGCAAUUAAAACUAGAUGAGGAAGAAAAUGUGGAAUAGGUGGAGGAGGGUGAUGACGAUGAGUAGUACUAAUGUAUUAUUUUUUACAAACAUGUAUUUUUAUUUUAAAAAAUACAAAUUUAUUUAUUAUUAACUAUUUAAUUUUAUUUUUUAGUUGCAUGAUCCGAUGAUUUUUUCCAACAAAACAUAGUGUAUUGUUUCAAAUACAAAUCUAUAAAAGAAAAGAUGGUGUGGUGUUGACGUGACUAUAGGUUGACAAUAAACUUAAAUAGAAUCUUAUAAUUAAUAAGGGAUCAUAGCACGAUUGAUAGUGUGAUCGAUAGCCGGUGGUUAUAACUGUCAAGUGCAUUAGAUCUAGCCUAGGCCAUAUGGAUUAUGUUAUCGCUAAGCCUCGAUCACUAUUCAUUGUAUGAAAUAUGUUAAAGACUAUGGCAUAUGGUCAAAAGUAUUGAGAUUCUUCAUAUGAAUUCAUGCUAAAAUGCUUUCACAUAUAUAGACAAUUGAUUAUGGAAGAGGUUAUAUUUGUAGGGGUGGGCCCAAUUAUAUUGAACGAUAUUCGAUUGAAUAUCUAGUUUUUUGGCAAGAAAAGUUAUAUAUUUAGUGUAUAUAUGUAUACAUACUGAAAAGAAGAAAAAAAUGAAGAUAAAUAAAUAUCCAAUGAAGAACUGGGUCCAAAAUAGACUUUUCUACUCCUAUCCCCUCCCCAUCCAUGGACUAAAGGCCCAUUUUGGUUGAAGAAUGUAUCAGGCAAAAAGCCAAAAAAAACUUGGCCUCCCCACCCUACCUAUUCGCUCUAUUUCUCAGCCUCACACUUAUGACUGUUGAAAGCAUCUAGGCCCUCAAAAGUUAUGAUGAUUAAUGACAUUAUAAGAUUAUUGUGACUAAUUUGUGUGUUGCAUAGGCAAAUUUGAGUUAGAUCAUAAUGAUGGAGAAUGGUUUAGACAAUGUAUGUUUACUAUGCCCCUACUUAUGAAUUUCGUUAUGAAUCAAUUAGUUCUAAACUUCGAUUGGAGUUGAGACACACUUAGAGUAGUUUGGGACUUUGUUGUUCCUUUUAUCAUACUAUAAAGGGAGUAGUUUAGGACUUCACUUUUCCUUUGAUCGUACUAUAAGGGGAGUAUAAACUAGUAGCUUGAAUAAAUAAGUCUAAUGAGUAUAGUGUGGCAUAAACUAGUUGUUUCUAACUCUAGCUGACUUAGAAGGGGCCAAAAAAAUCAUCAAAACCUAAAACAGUACCUCAUCGAACCAAUGCAUUGGGUCCAAUUGUUUUUGUGAUCAGAUGGAGAGUUCUAGGGGUACGUUGGAUUGGUCCGAUGAUAUGUGUUAGACCGAACAAUGGCACUGUUUCAGCUAUGGUUUUGGCUAUAGGGUCAUCGGGCCCUAUGAACAGUUGCCUCAUUGAAACAAAGAGGAUAAGUAUAACAAGUGCUGCACAAUGACUAGAGAGAUUUUGGUGGGCAUCAUACUAGUCCGACAAUGGGUAUAGGAUCAUACGUCGAAGGCUACGUUUUAAACGACCAGUUCUAACAUGGCAGUACAAUAGUUACCAUUGUGUCUCAUUAGACCCUACAUUCUGGUACGACAAUGAUCAUUGGAUGGUAUGGCGAUGGUGAAUUUAGCCUAACUUGGCAGUAAUGGUUAGUUGGCUGGUUAGGGGCUAUAAAUACCCCAUCAAAUGGCCAGCACACCUACCCUUGCCUUCAUUUAAUAACCAAAGCAACCCAUAUAUUGUGAGAUAAGGAGUCAUUGCAUAGUGGGGGACUUGAGAGUCAGAUUCACAAGUUUAUCAGCCUAAUUAAUGCAAACAAGAGAGAUUAGUGUGCACCCAUUAAUCUCAUCAGUUUUUAGAGACAAGUGAUAAUUUAUGUUUAUUACUCUUGAUGACUAGCAUCACCUAGAUGGUUUGGUGGCACUUGAAGUGCAAUGAUCAUCUAGAGAGAUAGUGGGUGGCCCAACUCAAAAACUAUAUAUGGUUGUGAGCAGUUCACCGUGAUGCAGUGGAAAAGAACUAGCUUGCAGUGAGCACUUAGUCCAUGUGCGAAUCAAGGGUGGGUGAAAACCUUCUGUGGGUGCUCCAAUGAGGAUUAGGGAAGAACGACGACUCUCUGUGACAUCAGAACGAACUUGAGGAAUCUUCUAAAUUCUUGCAUUACUUUCCACAAUUAUGUUUGUACAAAUUUACAUUCUUCUUAGAUUUGCCAUGAUGCAUAGUGUUGAAAUUAAGGCACAAUUUUUUUAUAUAGAUUAGACACUUGGGUGAAGCUAAGAUUAUAAUUAGGAUAUGCAUAUGUAUUGUGAUGAAAAAAUGAAGAUCAAUAAACAUCUAGUGACAAAUUAAAAUUUAAAUAGAUUUUUCUACUCCCCUCCCCACCCGGAGAAAUCCACAGCCACCCUUCCCCACCUAUUCACUCUCUUUCUCGGCCCCUCUCGUGAUUGCAACUAAAAAGCUCGUGAUUGGCAACACCACAAGCCCACUACUUAUCCCCCUUUAGAAUUAAACACCAAUGAGGAAGAUAUUAAAUUAAAGAAAUAGGGAUGGCCAAUUCUUGUGACCCUAUAAAAUUUUCCUCCUUCCAAAUGAAAUCUCCCCCUUUGUUAUAAGAAUUUGUUCACAAUAAUUUGACCCUUGCAAUAAAUAGACUAAGUUGAUCCUAUAUGUAUGCAUAAAUAUGAUGAAUAGAAAACCAUAUGCAUAACAUAGUAAUGAAUUGAAAACAUGUGGGAGUUUAACCUAUACGAAGAAAGCAAGAAAGAGAUACUAAAUAAUCUUGAAACCAAUAUGCAUGGUGUUUGGGGUCUGCUUCGUCGCCGAAGGUCCUGUGAGAUGAAGCACCUUCGGAAGGUCAGAAGAAGAAUAAUGUCGAAGCUACCAAUCAGGAAGCUUCGUAGUAUAAUUCAAAAUGCACCGACUUAAAGAUGAGAUGACCAAUCGGCCCAUGAUAAACUGUGUAAAAAUUGUAAUCAUUUAUAGAGGACAUGAAUGUAAAUUCACACAGGAUGCGUCCUAUGCCUAUAAAUAGGUGAACAGUACCCCAUACUGUUCAAACUUUUUCGCAUCACAUCUAUAUCUUCGUAUUCGAUCAAGCUCAAGGUACAAAUGUAAUUUAGUUUAACUUUCAUGUAUUCUUGAUUAUUUAACAAUAAAUGUUCAUAUUUCAAUAUUAUGUAAUUAUUUAUGUUGUUGUCUUAUGUUUCAUAACCUUCAUCCUUUAAUUAUACAUGUCGUGUUUAUGAAGGUAUGUCCUUCAUAACCUUCGUCUGAAGAUCAUUAUAUUCUAAGGGAAAUAAUGCUUAGAAGGACGAAGGACAUUAACAUUUAAUAUUUUUCUGGUGUGUUGCCUUGUUCUUAAUUCAUAGCAUUUGAGAACAAGUCUCCAACACAUGGUAUUAAAGUCGAUAUAUGUAUGGUACCUACUGCUGUAGAAAUCUUGAAACACAAAGAAUGUUACUUGAUAAACUUGUUUGAUUUCACACCCUUGAAGAGAACGAAAAACACUCUACAUAAUGUUGAUGUAUGGAACGUAUAAACAAACAUAAUUCGCGGGGUAAUUAGCUAAACUUGACGACUAGUAGUGUGGGUUGACGGCGAAGCACUUCUCCCUGAUCUCUCCCUCGUCGCCGGUGAGCACCUGGACCUUGCCCAUCUUAACCAUGGCCUUGGCGAACUUGACCUGCCAUGCCUUCUCGACUGCGGCGUUGAAGUGGACCAUUCCGGCAGUCCAUGGGUUUUCGAGCAGUGUGUUGUCGGAGAUGAACAGGACCUUGUGCGCCAGCACGUUCUUGUAGUACUGGUUGUCGAAGGUCGCCGACGUGACUGGGUCAAGCGGCACCACCGUGGGGUCCAUCUGGUCGUUGCUGGACGGCCAUGGGCAGCGCAUCUUGAGGUGCUCAGCGUAGGCAGGGUCGAGGGACGGGUCCGUCCGCCCCAGCUGCCCGCUGAAGUUGU